GUUUUGCCCACACCCCCCAUUCCAUAUAAUCCGAUACUGCUUACCUGCUCUCCAUCAUCUUGGAGCCAUUUCCAGACCUUCCCAAACAACAAAUCUUGGCCCACAGUCUUGUCCAGAGGCCUCUCGAUCACGGGAGGACCAGGCAAAGGUUCAGCAACUACACUGAAAUUUGAGCCCUCCGUCUUCUUUACCGUCACAACAUCCAUCUUUUCAAGUACCAUCUUGCCAAGCUUGUAGCUAGCGCCACAGUUUUUAGGACAAUAGGUUCCGAGACAUAUCUUCUGGAUUUCUUCAUCACCUAUGGCCAAUAUUUCCAUCACUUGUUCUUCCAUGGCUUCUACAUUGCGGAGCCAGCCAUCGACUACAUGAGUACGCUUCUUCUGAAGUUUCUGUUAGAAUUCAACCAAGAUGAAUACCCUAAUUUCAUAUAUACUGGAAUAGUUAACAAGGUAAAUACCCUAAUUUCAUAUAUAUUGAAAUAUUUAACAAGGUGGAUACCCUAAUUUCAUAUAUACUGGAAUCUCCUGAUUAAAAAACAAUGAGUGGAAAAAUAAUAGCGAAAGCAUACCUGAAUCCAUUGAAGGAGAAACCUUAUAGGAAGAAAACCCUUUGAGAUGGUCUUCCAAUUCUAGCCACUAGAUUCUGUGUCAAUUUCUCUCUGAGAGGAUUUUCAGAAAUUGGAAUGCGUAGUCGUAGAAUGGGGACCAUAACCCUAUUUAUAAACCGCUAGGGCAGUUUUAAUUUUAUCACAAUUAUAUUUCUGCCCCUCAUAGAAAUAAUAAUUGUCUAAUAGUAUCUACACAAUAAUCUCAUGACAAUUAUACCCUUAAGCCAAUUAAUCAAUUAUUAAUUAGAUCACUAUAUUUAGGCUUAAUUAAAUGAUAGCACACACAUUUUAAUUAUUUACAUAAGUGGCCCAAAUUAUAGAUUAAUUACAAAAAUUAAUCUAACAAUCUCCCACUGGGCCACAUGCAUAUGUAAUCAAAUAAAUGUGCUUAACCUUAUGAGCUCAAAAUUUGCUAUCAUGUCCUUAGGGUAUAUCCGAACAAUCUCGUCCAUUAACUAUACUGACAUAGGAUCAAGGUGGCCUUUGUUACAUCAAUCAUUACUAGACCAAUCAAUGGUCACAUAUAUCUGCACAGCUAAAUGACAUAGAUCAAUCAUGAGUGCAUAACAUGGAAAUUACAUGCAAUGUGAUCUAUUCAUGCCUAUUUCCAACUGGUCCAACUUAACUUUAUUGAGAUCAAAUCUUUAGCAUAAUUUAACAGAGUGCAAUAAAAUGAAUACUUUAUUUCUGCAGAACACAAUCCAAAUGUAUAGAUAAAGUCUAAACAUAACAUAGAGCAAUAUACAAUGAAUAAUACAAACUCCCACUAAAUUUGGAUAUCCUCAAAUNNNNNNNNNNNNNNNNNNNNNNNNNNNNNNNNNNNNNNNNNNNNNNNNNNNNNNNNNNNNNNNNNNNNNNNNNNNNNNNNNNNNNNNNNNNNNNNNNNNNUGCUCUAUGGAUAUCUGUCAACUCUGUACUUUUUCUUUUACAACUAGGAACUUGAUAUCAAUGUAUUUUGAUUUUGUAGAACUCCUAUUGUUAUUGGAAUAUAAAACUGCUGAUUUAUUGUCACAAAAUAUCUUCAGUGGUCUUUCAAUACCAUCCAGAACACGCAGCCCAGUGACAAAAUUUCGUAGCCAUAUUCCUUGAUUGGAUGCCUCAUAACAUGCUACAAACUCUGCUUCCAUGGUGGAUGAAGUUACGAGUGUCUGUUUGCCAGACCUCCAUGAAAUUGCUCCACCAGCCAACAGAUAAAUAUAGCCUGAUGUGGAUCUUCUGCUGUCUUGGCAUCCAGCAAAGUCGGAGUCGGAAUACCCAAUCAACUCUAACUGAUCCAAUCUCCUAUAUGUAAGCAUGUACUCUUUUGUUCUCUGUAAAUAUCUCAUAACCCUCUUGGCUGCUCUCCAAUGAUCCAUUCCAGGGUUACUUAGAUAUCUGCCUAACAUGCCAACAAUGUAUGCAAUAUCCGGACGUGUACAUACCUGAGCAUACAUUAGACUCCCCACAGCCGAAGCAUAAGGAAUCUUUUGCAUUUCUUGACUUUCUAAACUAUUUUUAGGGCAUUGAUUAAGACUGAAUUUGUCUCCUUUAGCGACAGGGGUAUCACUUGGUUUGCUAUUUUGCAUGCCAUACCUUUGGAGGACUUUAUCAAUAUAGGUCCUUUGUGACAAUCCUAAAAUACCCCUAGAACGAACUCGGUGUAUCUGGAUUCCUAAGACAAAGGAGGCAUCACCAAGAUCUUUCAUCUCAAAAUGUUUUGAUAAAAAUCUCUUGGUGUCGUGCAAUAUGCUAAUAUCAUUUGUGGCUAGCAAUAUGUCAUCGACAUAUAAAACCAGGAAAAUAUACUUACUCCCACUGAAUUUGUGAUACACACAUUCAUCCAUAAGAUUUGCCUCAAAACCAUAUGAGACAAUAAUUUGAUGAAACUUGAAGUACCACUGACGAGAAGCUUGCUUGAGCCCAUAAAUGGAUUUAGUUAAUUUACAAACCAUAUUCUUUGAGUCUUCGGACACAAAAUUUUCUGGUUGUACCAUAUAAAUUGUUUCAUCAAUGUCACCAUUGAGAAACGCUGUUUUAACAUCGAUUUGAUGUAACUCAAGAUCAUAAUGUGCAACUAGUGCCAUGAUUAUCCUGAAAGAGUCCUUCGUAGAAACUGGAGAGAAGGUCUCUUUGAAGUCAAUUCCUUCUUUUUGAGUAAAGCCUUUAGCUACAAGACGUGCUUUAUAUCUUUCUACAUUACCAUUUGAAUCCUUCUUGGUUUUAAAUAUCCAUUUACAACCAAUGGGCUUCGUACCAACUGGUAAUGGGACAAGUUCCCAAACUUUAUUGUCUUGCAUAGAUUUGUACUCUUCAUUCAUGGCUUCAAUCCAUUUCUGAGAGUUGGAACUUUUCAUGGCUUGCUGGAAGUUGAUUGGAUCAUCUUCCAUCAUUCCACUUUCUACCUCACGUUCCUGGAGAUAUACGAUAUAAUCGUCCGAAAUUGCAUUUCUCCUCUCUCUAGUGGAUCUCCUUAAUGGCAUAUUUUCUUGAGGUUGUUGAGUUUGUUCUUCAGGAGCAAUGUCCUCAUUUGCAAUUAAGGGUUGAACAAUAUUGUCUGUUGGUUGAGGAUCCAAAUUUACUUCUUGAUCAAUGAUAGGUAGUGAAACCUGUACAUUAUCAAAAGCAAUAGUAGAUCCCUCUUCCUCCUCAAAGACAAUAUUCCUAGCCUGAUUUCUCCCCCCAAACUCAACAUCCUCAAAAAAUGUUGCAGUUCCCAUCUCAAAAAUUGACCUAAUAGCAGGAUCAUAAAAUUUAAAACCCCUUGAUCGCUCUGCAUAGCCAAUAAAGUAGCUGCUAACUGUUUUAGAGUCCAAUUUCUUUUCAUGAGGCUUAUAAGAUCUCGCUUCAGCUGGACAUCCCCAAAUAUGAAAAUGCUUUAAACUAGGCUUUCGACCUGUCCAAAGCUCAUAAGGCGUUUUAGCAGCCGCUUUAGUUGGCACCCGAUUUAGGAUAUAAGCUGCCGUUUUGAGUGCUUCACCCCAGAGUUUUUCGGGUAAAGUAGAAUGACUAAUCAUACUCCUUGCCAUGUCCUUAAGGGUUCGGUUUUGUCUUUCUGCUACACCAUUCAUGCUAGGUGAUCUUGGCAUGGUGUAUUGAGGGACGAUCCCACAUUCCUCUAGGUAUUUAGCAAAUGGUCCUGGACGUUGUUCACCUGAUCCGUCAUAUCUACCAUAGUAUUCACCACCACGGUCAGAUCUGACGCUCUUUAUUCUUUUGUUGAGUUGUAACUCAACUUCUGCUUUAAAUGUUUUGAACACGUCCAAUGAUUGUGAUUUCUCAUGUAUAAGAAAUAGGUAGCCAUAUCUUGAAUAGUCGUCUAUGAAUGUUAUAAAGUACUGUUGACCAUUCCAAGAUGCCAUAGGGUAUGGUCCACAGAUAUCUGUAUGAAUUAAUUCUAAGACGUCUGUAGCUCUAUUGGCACCUAAUUUCUUUGUUUUGGUCUGUUUUCCUUUAAUACACUCAACACAAAUAUCAAAAUCUGAAAAGUCAAGUGAAUCCAAAAUCCCAUCGGACACAAGUCGCUCAACUCUAGAUUUAGAGAUAUGACCUAGGCGUUUGUGCCACAAUGAGGCCGAAUGAUCUUUAUUCAAUUUACGUUUCGUACCUCGUGAUUCCACAUGCAAGGUUUCAUUAUAGGACGGAAUAGUUUCCAACAAAUAUAGAUUAUCAUAAACAUUAAGUAAACCGGUUCCUACAGCAUUUGAAUUAAUAGAUAAUGUAAAUCUAUUGUUUCCAAAUGAACAAUAAUAAACUGAUUUGUCCAAAACAGAAACUGAAAUUAAAUUCCGUCUGAAAGACGGUACAACAAAAGUAUCUAUUAAAUCCAAAAAAUAACCAGAUUUCAAUAAUAAUCUAAAGUGCCCUAUUGCCUCUACUUCUACCGACUGACCGUCUUCGACAUAGAUGCAUCUUUCAGCAUCACUUGGUUUUCGGUAACUCAGGCAACCCUGCAUAGAAACACAAAUGUGAGUAGUAGCACUAGAAUCUAACCAUCAUGUGUUUCUAGAUACUGAAGCUAAAUUAACUUCAGAACAGACCAAAGUAAGAAACAUACCUUUCUUAACACGCCAAGCAGCAUACUUGGUACAUUCCUUCUUAGUAUGUCCAGGCUUAUUACAGAAGAAACAUGUUACCUCAACUUUCUGUUUCUUUUGUUCUGGACCAUUAGAAGUAGCAACCUUAUUAUCCUUAUUCUUUCGUUUGCCCUUAUCCUUGGAAGUGCUAGCCAGAUGAGCACUUUCGGUCUUGUCUUGCUUCAAUCUCUCUUCCUCUUGCACACAGAAUGAAAUGAGCUCAUUAAGAGUCCGUUUAUCCUUUUGACAGUUAUAACUGACCUUGAAUUGAUUAAAUUGUGCAGGAAGAGAGAUGAGAACCAAAUGCACGAGUAAAUCAUCAGAUAACUCGAGUUUCAAAGCCUUAAGUUUUGAAGCAAGAUGAGACAUCUCCAUGAUGUACUCCCGAACAUUACCCUUGCCUUUAUACUUCAUUGAAAUCAAGCUUGCUAAAAGCGUGCUCGUUUCAGCCUUAUCGUUUUUGGCAAAACGUUUUUGAAUUUCCGCAAGGAAGUCACUGGCAUUAGUAACCUCAUCGGUUACCGCACCCCUGAAAGCUUCUGGAAUGCCGCGCUUCAUGAUCAUAAGACUUAGCCUAUUUGAACGUUCCCACUUACCCCAAUAAACCUCAUCCUCUUGAGUACUUUGCUCAUUGAGUUCAUCAGGUUUGGGCAUUCUCAAGGCCAAGUCUAUAUCCAUGCAGCCUAAGAGAAUCAUCAUAUUCUCUUUCCAGUCGUUAAAAUUAGUCCCAUUUAACAUAGGGACAUUAUUGAUGUUGGCAGAUAUAGAAGUAGUUGAUAUAAAAGCUGAAUCGAGAACAAAAUAAAAUGAAUCAAAUAAACCAUCAUGCUCACAUAAAAUAAGCAAUUAAACACAUAAUCUUUAAAUUUAAAAGCAAAUUAUGACAUUUCAAGAUACCUAGCACAACAUUAAUAUCAAGUCUUUGGACAGUAAUAUUAACUGUAAGUGGUACUCUUGUUGUAGUGAUCAAACAUUGAUGAUAAGUUAUGUCAAAUAAUAAAUCUAUCUUUGGAUUGAUUUAUUAUUCACAUUAAGUUACCUUUAUAAUCAUCACAUAUUUAUCACCACAAGUAUGUAUGCAAUUUGACCAAAUAUUAACUUUCCUUUGGGCCAGUCAAUACCCGCAUGAAUCACAUACACACAAAUAUCUAACACCCCGAACAGACUAAUCUACACGGAAGAUGUCACUUUGGUGAUUUUCCGCUUUAAUUAGCCUAUUUAAAAUGCUAGAUCAAUAACUUAAAUAUUAAUAUCAUAAAAUGCUAUUAAAUAAUAAUAAUAAUAAUAAUAAUAAUAAUAAUAAAAAUUUUAUCAGCUCAAUAUUUCAUAAAUCUUAAUCCAUUGACAUAUAUUAAAAUAAUAACUCAAAGAAUUAAUCAAGGAGUAGGCUCUGAUACCACUUGUUAGAAUUCAACCAAGAUGAAUACCCUAAUUUCAUAUAUACUGGAAUAGUUAAUAAGGUAAAUACCCUAAUUUCAUAUAUAUUGGAAUAUUUAACAAGGUGGAUACCCUAAUUUCAUAUAUACUGGAAUAGUCUUGUUAAAAAACAGUGAGUGGAAAAAUAAUAGCGGAAGCAUACCUGAAUCCAUUGAAGGAGAAACCUUAUAGGAAGAAAACCCUUUGAGAUGGUCUUCCAAUUCUAACCACUAGAUUCUGUGUCAAUUUCUCUCUGAGAGGAUUUUCAGAAAUUGGAAUGCGUAGUCGUAGAAUGGGAACCAUAACCCUAUUUAUAAACCGCUAGGGCAGUUUUAAUUUUAUCACAAUUAUAUUUCUGCCCCUCAUAGAAAUAAUAAUUGUCUAAUGGUAUCUACACAAUAAUCUCAUGACAAUUAUACCCUUAAGCCAAUUAAUCAAUUAUUAAUUAGAUCACUAUAUUUAGGCUUAAUUAAAUGAUAGCACACACAUUUUAAUUAUUUACAUGUGUGGCCCAAAUUAUAGAUUAAUUACAAAAAUUAAUCUAACAGUUUCUCUUCACGUUCCACCCCUUUCCUUCACAUCUUCGUAUAGGUUCUUGAGUUCCUCCAUUGCAGUUCUCAAAGAGUUGAGAUUUUGUGGGAGAUGACGGAUGUAAACAGCACGCUUGGCAGUGCAAUUCCACAAGCGAGUAGCGACAUCCAGGAUUGGGCUCACACAAUCCACGGAGAAAACAAGGACUGGGAUUCAAAGCCAAGAAGAACUUAAUCAGAAUAGGAAAACAGGUGCUGGAUUGAAAUUGGAGAGGAAAAGAGAAGAAUUCUGGAUUUAUGUUUGUUGUGUACAAAACCCAGCAAAGUUGUAGAUCAGUAAGGAGAAAAGUAAUAAUGAAAUAUCACUUUUUUUUUCAAGUAAAAGACUCCGCAAUCAGUGUAUGAUGUACUCAAAUUACAUAUCCAAAAUCAAAAUGAGUUCACAUUUGGGUAAUGGAAAAAAAUAAAUUCUAAACAAAAUUAGCAAAGUAUUGUGCAUGCUUUAGAAAGUUUGGUGAUUCAUAAAGGAAGAAAAGAAGAAAAGCACCGAAAGUGCGGAUUCUUUGAUAACAUUUUUCAAGACAUUCAUUCGCAUCAUAUAUCAUUUGUGUCUUUUAAUCAUUAUUAAAUGUUGGACAUCAUUCAUGACUCAAGACCUAUAUGAAGAGUGCUUUUUUUAUUUUUUAUUUUUAUAAAAUAUAAUAUUCUAAAUAAUAAAUAUUACUAACAUUUUACAAAAAGAAUAUUUACUUGUUCAUUUGUAAAUAAUUUUUAUUUUUUACUUUUGUUAAUUUUUUGUAAGAGGAUAUUUUGAUAUUCUCAACAACUCAAAUUAGUGAAACAGGCGAUGGAUAGGAGUUGGUGAGGUGAAGAGAAGAAUAUUGGGUUUAUGUUUUUGUGUUCAAAACCCAGAAAAGAUGAUAAUGAAUAAAGACUGAAGUAAUAAUGACAUUGUCUUCCAUGCAGACUGUCAAGCUCUGUAAAGAUGAAUAUAAGGCCACCCCACCACUUCUGGUAUGAUAUUUUCCCAUUCUUUCCUUCCUUUGUGUUUCCAUCAAUCAAGCAUAGUAAAGGGUCCACAGCUUUUCUGGGUUUCUCUUUUCCUUUAGUGGGAAUCUUUUUCUUCCAACACAAAUAUGAAUUCAUUUACAUAUGAAGUUUGUGUACUGGUUUGUAACUAUAAAACUGUAAGUAGCAGUGCAUAUAAUUCUUCAUCCGUUCUACUGUUUAAAAAUAUAAUUCUUUUUUCUUGAUAGGUUGGGAUCCAUUUUAUUAGUAAUUAUUUAGGAAUUUAUUAGGUUUCUUUCAUCAUUCCAAACACGAAUUUAUUAGGAAUUUAAGGAUUUUUCCGUAAUCCCAUUCCAAGUUUUGGAUUAUCAAACAUGGGUACAUGAGCGGAGGAGAAUUAAUUGGUUUUUGAAUUUUUUUUGAUGAUAUACAUAAACAAAAUUUUGUUAAUUUAUUUUUGGAGAAGUAAUUUUUAUUUAUUGAAAAUUUGAUUUUUAUUUAUUUGAAAAACGAGGAUAUUCAAAUUGUUGAUUAUAACCAAAUAUCUAAUUACAAGAAAAAAAAAAAGAUUAAUAUAAAGAUAAAAUUGCAACCUCUCUCUCAAUUAAGAUGAGAGAAUUUAAAAUCUUACAAAAUGAUGAAAGAAAGCCUCUUUUUUUUUUUUUUUUAAUGAAUAGUAAGGGGUGGAGACCACGUUUUAUAGCAUAGGGAAACUCCCCCCCUUUUGUCUUCUAAACGAGAUGGGAUGACUUCAACUUUGACACGAUACACUUAGAAAUGUAAGGUUGGAAUGAUUAUUUAUUUCUAUUUUAAUGUUAAGUAACAAUAAAAAUGAGAAUGAAAGAGAAAUAAGUUCACAAUAAUAUCUAUACGCAUAGUUUAAAAUAAUUUUUUAUUUGUAGGACAUCUAAUAAUGGUUUAAAAUCAUAGUUAUUUUUUACCAUAUUUUGUUAUGAUAAUAGUAAUUAACUCCAAAAACAAUGAAAGUUCAUUUGUAUAUUUGUAUAUAGGUUUAUUUGAGCACUUAAAAAUGGUUAACUUGGAUAUAUUUUUAUGAUAGAGAAUUCUCUAGCUAAGAAGUCUUCUCUUAUGCACUUGUUUGUACAUUUAUAAUUAUUUUCUUUAGGUUAUAUAUGGUUCAUGAUUUUUUUUUUAGAGGAAAGAAAAUAGUGAGAAAAUUAUAAGGAAAAAAAUUUAUAAAAAUAUUUCGGGAGACGUCUCCUUGAUGUUUGGGUUUGAUUCAGCUAUGGAUUUGGGUGACAAAGAUCACACAUUUGAUGAUGGAUGAUUUGAUGUUGUCCGAUUUUCGGCUUAUCCUACAUCUGAUUCCAUACUGGGGCAUAUUUCUGUUUCGAUUGAGAUUUACAGAUCUCAUGGAGUCGCAUGAUCAUCCUCACCUACUAGAUAAACGCUGAGAUGAUGACCUGUUUAUUAUCUUAUCAUGAUUCCUCAGUGGAGCCUCUCUAGAGCCAUCUAGUCAGACCCCCAUUUUUCGGCAUUUGGUUGUCAUCAUGUUUCUCAUUUUGGGGUACGCCUUUUGAUCUAUGAGUUCGAUUCAGUUAUGGAUGUGGAUGACUAGGAUUGCACAUUCAAUGAUGGAUAAUUUAAUAUCAUCUAGUUUCCCAACCUAUCACACAUUCGAUGCCAUACCAGGGCAUAUUUCCGUUUUGGUUGAGAUUUGUAGAUCUUCAUUGAUUUGCAUGAUUGUCCCCAAUCAUGAGAUGCACGUUGGGCUAAUGGUUUGCUUUCAUUUUGUCCAGAUUCUCUAGUGGAGCCUUUCUUGAGUCAUUCAAUCAAGCUCAUAUUUUCUGAUAUUGUCAUGAUUCUUAGAUGAAGUUAUCUCAGGUGCAUAAACUCCCACAUCAUCAUUUCAGUAGAGUGCAUGUCAGGUCUCUUACACGUCCCCAUUGAGCUAUACUGGGGCAUAUUUCCCUCUUUUAGUUGCGGAGAUGAUUGUAUUCUCACAGACUUGUUAUAGUCUUCAUUACUUGGACGAGGGAUAUUUCUUUGCAUUACUGGUCACAGUUUCAGUGAUUUUAGUCGAGAUGGUCUCCAAAGGAGCACAACCUUCUGGGUUUUAACUACCCCUCUAUCCAUGACCUUUCAGUAGAUUUUUGUGUUGGGGUCGCAGUAGUUACCCUAUUAGACUAUUCUCUUGAGACUUCUUAGUGGAUCAUUCAUUUGAGAUGACGAUGGACUCCUCCAGUAAAGCAUUUUGAGUUAGAGGCGCUUGACUUAUUGUGACACAUCAUCAGGCCUCGUGAUUUAGUCGGAUGGAUUAUGAGGCUGUACUUAUAAUCGAUUUGAUCAUUCCGACUCUCUAGUGGAGCAUCUUUCGAGACACAGUGAGCCUCUUUCAGACCUUUCCAGUGGAUUGAGAGUUGUGGCGGCACGCUACACUAGGGCAUGUUUCCCCCUUUAUCAUUUCCUUGCAGAUUGGCGUUCAGAGCCACCAUAUUUUCUCAGUUAUGACGUUUAGAGUCGUCAUUCUCAGUUCGACGUUCAGAGUCGUCCUUUUCAGUUUGGCGUUCAAAGCCACCAUCUCCUUGUAGCUUGGCGUUCAGAGCCAUCAUCGCUUCUCAGUUACGACGUUCGGAGUCGUCUUUCUCAGUUUGACAUUCAGAGAUGUCAGUUCUCAGUUAUGGCGUUUAGAGCCUUUAUCUUCUUUAGUUCAUUGUUCAGAGCCACCAUCUAUUCUCAGUUCGACGUUCAGAGUCAUUCUUCUCAGUUCGACGUUCAGAGUCAUCCUUCUUAGUUUCAGCGUUCAGAGCCACCAUCUCUUUUCAGUUUGGGGGUUCAGAGCCACUAUCUCUUUUCAGUUUGGCGUUCAGAGCCACCAUCUCUCCACAGUUUAGUUUUUAGGGCCACCACAUUUUUUCAGUUUGGCGUUCAGAGCCGUCGUUCAUAGUUUGACAUUCACAGUCGUCGUCCACAGUUAAGCGUUUAGAGCCACCAUCUCUCCACACCCGUCUAGGUUAACUUAGGCGGCCCAUUUAGACACUUUAGGCCCGUCUAGCUUCAUUUAGGCCCACUUAGGCACACUUAGCCCACUAGACAUUUUUAGAGUGACUUGUAUGGUUGCAUGGAUCAUUUAUCUCAUUUACUUAUUUAUUUUUAUUUUUUAUUAUUAUUAUCAAUCACUUUUAUUUAAUCAUUUACUAUAUUUUUAUUUGUUUAUUUAUUUUAAUUUACUUUCAUUGUUAUCAAUCACUUUUAUUUAUUGAGUUAUUUUUUAUUUCUUGUUUAUUUAUUUGUUUAUUAUUUUGUUGUUUAUUCAUUUAUUUAUUAUUAUUAUUUCAUCAUUCUCUAAUUUAUUUAUUUUAUUCAUUUAUUUAAUUUGAUAAUUUGAUGUUUUUAUGGGAAAAUUUGCCAACUGGAGGAAAAAGAAUUUUGAAAUUGGUAAGAAUUUGAAAAGGAAAGAAACUCUUCGAAGAUGGGACUCUUUACGUGAUAUGCAUGGAUUCACUUGUGAAAUUUUUAAAAAGGAGUUUUUUUGGUGGAUGAGAUAGAAUUUGGCAGAGAGGAGAAGUCCUCAGUGGGGACGACUCUAAUUGCUAUAAAAAGCAUAGGUGGUGGGUAUGAAUGGGGGGAUUUUUUGGAGGAUCUUGAGAGGGAGAAGAAGGAAGCACGACAAAGUGGAGUAAGUGAUUUGGGACAAUAUACAAGCGGGGAUUUUCUUAUCAGGGGGAGCGUUUUCCAGGUACGUUUUUUGUAGACCCUUUGUAAGAAAACAGAGUAGAAAUCUGGUGUAUAUUUCAUUCAUCAACUUAAAGGGAAGAAGAUACAUAUAUACAAAGUAUUGGUUAGCCUAUUUUAGGAAUCUAUGAGCAAACGUAUCAGUUACAAUCAAUCAAAAUAAUCUUCUAUAUACAAUCAAAUAUCAUCCUCAAAUUACGGGAUCCUUGAUUCCUUUCCCUUAAUACUCCCCCUCAAGUUGGAGCGUGUAUGUCAAGAACGCCAAACUUGCUGAGAAGGGAAUGAAAAAUUGAUGAAUUGAGUGGCUUAGUGAACAAAUCAGCAAGCUGGCAAGACGAUGGAACAUGAGCAGUUACUAUGGCUCCUGAUUGAAUUCGUUCUCGAACAACAUGACAAUCAAUUUCUAUAUGCUUGGUACGUUCAUGGUAAACUGGAUUAGCAGCAAUAUGGAGUGCUGCUUUACUAUCACAGAAUAGUUUGGCAGGUUGCGAGUGUUCUACUUUCAAGUCAUCCAACAAAUACCUGAGCCAUGUAAGUUCACAUGUAAUGGAAGCCAUUGCUCGAUAUUCUGAUUCAACUGAUGACCUUGACACUGUUGUCUGUUUCUUGGUUUUCCAUGAAAUGAGAGCUCCUCUAAGAAAAAUACAAUAUCCAGUCACAGAUCGUCUUGUGAUCGAACAUCGAGCCCAAUCUGAAUCACAAAAUCCUCUUAGUAGCAAAUUUCCUUUUGCAGGAAAAUAUAAUCCUUGUCCAGGUGCACCUUUAAGAUAUCGUAGAAGAUGAUGAACAGCAUGCAAAUGAGGCUUUCUUGGUUCUUGCAUAAACUGGCUUAAAAUGUGAACUGAAUAACUUAUCUCUGGCCUUGUAAUGGUAAGAUAAAUGAGUUGUCCGACCAAUCUUCUAUAAGUGGAUGGAUUCUUCAAUAAAUCUCCUACUGUGGGUAGGAGUUUAUUAUUUUCUUCCAUAGGUGUUGACAAUGGUUUGGCCCCAAGCAAGCCUGCUUCAUCUAAAAUAUCAAGAGUAUAUUUUCGCUGAGAUAUUGAAAUACCAUCAGUAGAACGAGCAACUUCAAUACCAAGGAAAUAUCGUAAUUGACCGAGGUCCUUGAUGCGAAAUUUGGUGUGGAGAGACUCCUUAAGAGCUGCAAUUACAUUCUCAUCAUUGCCGGUGAUGAUCAUGUCAUCUACAUAGAUGAGCACAGCUGUGAAAGAAUUACCAGAGAUCUUUGUGAAAAGUGAAUAAUCAGCCCUUGAUUGAUGGAAACCAUCUUGUUGAAUGGUGGCCGAAAAUUUCCGAAACCAGCUACGAGAGGCUUGUUUAAGUCCAUAUAAUGACUUGUUGAGUCGACAUACCAUAGGUGUCUCCCCCUGUUGACGAAAACCGAGUGGCAAUUGCAUAUAGACUUCUUCAAGCAAAUCACCAUGGAGAAAGGCAUUUUGAACAUCCAUUUGGUGAAGUGACCAAUGUCGGACAGCAGCUAUAGCAAGUAAACAUCGAACUGUAGUUAACUUAGCCACAGGAGAAAAGGUCUCCUUAUAGUCAAUCCCUUCGCGUUGAGUGAAGCCUUUCGCCACCAACCGAGCUUUGUAUCGCUCAACUGUGCCAUCAGAGUUAUAUUUGAUCUUAUACACCCAUUUGCACCCAAUUGGACGAUGACCGUAAGGGAGAGGUGUGAGUGUCCAAGUGUGAUUUUGUUCAAGAGCAUGGAGUUCUGCAGCCAUAGCUUCCUGCCAUUUUGGAUCUAAUACUGCCUGUUCAUAAGUUGUAGGUUCCACAAGAGUGGUGAUGGCACAAACAAAAUUCCGAUAUUUUGGUGAGAGUUGUGCAUAGGAAAUAUACCGAGUCAAAGGGUGACGCGUACCUGACAAGGAAGAAGAUUGGCUGGAAGCAACCUUGGCGGUGUGGUAGAGAUGAAAAUUCCGGAGGUGGACAUUGGGUUGCUUGAUGCGGUCAGAACGACGAGUAGUAGGAGGUGGAGGUGACACAAUGGUGUCAAGAUGAAGUGUGCGUUCAUUAGAGGUAGACUCAAGAGAUGAAAGCAAUGGUGGUGGCUGAUCAUCGGCUUGUGGUUUGGUUGUCUCUGUGGUUAUGGGUUCAUAUGAGGUUUGUGGUAAAGGAAGAACUACCACAUCAUGUUGUUCUUCUUGUGGAUUAGUGUGAAACGGAAAUAUAUGUUCAUGAAAGACAACAUCUUGGGAAGAAAAGAAUUUAUUAGUGUCAAGAUCAUAAACCCGAUAACCCUUUUGACCAAGAGGAUAACCAACAAAUAUGCAACGACGAGCUCUUUGAUCAAAUUUAUGUGUGGGUAAGAGAUUGGUGGCAUAACAAAGACAUCCAAAAGUUCGUAGAUGAUGAUAUGAAGGUAGCUUGUUAUGGAGAAGUUGGUAUGGCGAUUUGUGAGAAAGAAGGGGUGUAGGUAAGCGAUUGAUUAAAUAGCAAGCCGUUUGAAUACUUUCCCCCCAAAAUUUUAACGGCAAGUUUGCUUGAAAACGAAGAGCUCUUCCCACAUUUAAAAGAUGACGAUGUUUCCUCUCAACCACCCCAUUUUGUUGGGGGGUGUAAGCACAUGAAUGAUGGUAAUUGAUCCCCUUAGUAUCCAAAUACUGUUUCAUAGAGGAAAUUUCAGUCCCAUUAUCGGUUCGAAGGGUUUUAAUGCAACGAUUAAAUUGGGUUUCCACCCAAGAAAUGAAUGAUUGCAAUAUCCCUUGUGUUUCAGAUUUAAAACUCAUGAGAUGUAUCCAAGUAUAUCGAGUAUGAUCAUCAACAAUUGUUAGGAAAUAACAAGCCCCAGAGUGAGAAUUUAUUCGAUGUGGUCCCCAAAUAUCACAAUGUAUCAAAUCAAAAGGUGCAUGAGAAGAAAUGAAACUAGAUGGAAAGGACAAACGAGUUUGUUUGGCUAAAGGGCAAAUAUCACAAACAUGCUUGGAAUCAAAAUAAAUUUUAGGAUUAACUUUAGCAAGAACUUGAAGAGGACCGGAUGAUGGGUGCCCAAGACGUUGAUGCCAAAGAUCAGAAUGUUUGUGAAUGGCGUAAGCCAAGGCUGGAUUUUGGUCUUGUGCGAGGUAGUAGAGGCCAUUAUGUUGCUUGCCCAGGCCAAUCGUCUUCCUCGUAGUAGCGUCCUGCACAACACAAAAAUCGAAAAAAAACAUCACUAUACAUUGUAAUGCCCGCGUUAGUUUACUAACUGAUAGUAAAUUAACUUGAAAUUGUGGAACUUUGAGUACGUCAUCAAGUUUAAUGUGGGGGGUAACAUGCAAUGAACCAAUUGACUCAAUAUGUGCUUGACCACCAUUUGGCAAACUAAUGGUAGUGGUUUUGGGCAAAUUCUUCGGAUCUAAUAAUUCAGCUGAGGAAGUCACAUGAUCCGUGGCUCCGCUAUCAAUAAUCCAACACAUAUUUGAGUGUGGGCAAUUCGGAAUAAUUUUGGACGAUGACAUAUUUAUACCUGUGGCAUUUGCAAAAUGUUGUGAAUUACCACCGUUGUUUUUCCGAAUCAUAGCCAUUAAUUGGUUAUAUUCCUCAGUUGUGAGCCUUGGUCCAUCAUUUGUUGGAAGAAGUUUUGCUUCUGUCUCCACAGCCUUAUUUGUUUCCACUUUCACAUUGUUUGCAUUUGAGUGACGUUGAUUGGGAGGCUUCACGUUCUUCCCAUGGAGCUUGUGGCCAAUCGGAAAGCCAUGUAGGUAGUAACACUUCUCAAUGCUAUGAUAAUCACGGUCACAAUAAGAGCAGUGCAGUGGAGUCUUUUGCUUUUGAACCUGGUGUGCUGAAGUCGCCUUAUUGUCCCGAUCUGCAAGCAUGGCAUAAUGGUUCUUGUUCCCAUUAUUGAGAGAAACUUCAACCUGUUUUUCUUGUUGAAGGACAAGUGAGUAAACUCGGCGUGUAUCGGGUAGAGGGUGCAUCAAUAAGAUUUGUCCACGAAUGGCAGCAUAACUAUCAUUCAAUCCCAUGAGAAAUUGCAUAACUCUCUCUUUUUCAUCCCUUUCCUUAAGUUUCUCUAAUCCUCCACAAGAACAGGAUAACACUUCAUGAUAGGAUGAAAGUUCAUCCCAAAAAGCUUUAAGCUUUGUGUAAUAAACCGAAAUUGAUUGCUGCCCCUGCCUAUGCUCCACAAUGUCUCGCUUGAUUUGAUAAAUUCUUGAAUCGUUUCCUUGCGAAAAACGUUCUCGCAGAUCUGCCCAGAUUUCUGAUGCUGUUUCGGCAUAAAUCACACUGUUGGCUAUGUCUGGAUGAAUAGAAUUCAAUUGCCAUGAGAUCACCAUAUCAUUGCAACGUUGCCAAGAAGGGAAACUAUCAUCAGUCGAAGAGGGUGGCUUAAUGGAACCUGUGACGAAUCCAAUUUUGUCUUUAGCACUCAAACUGAUCCUCAUAGCCCGACUCCAUGUGCUGUAGUUAUCUCCUUCAAUUACUUUGGAGACAAGUACCAUACCCGGGUGGUCCGAGUGGUGUAGAGAGAAGGGAUCUAAAGCUUCUGUGGUAGCCUUAGAUGAUGUCAAUCCCGUUUUGUUGGCGUCCAUGGCAGCAGCUGUAACGAGGAAAUAAGUUGCGGAAGCGUUUGGAAGAAUUCAGAGUCACCAGGUUUGGUGCUCUGAUACCAUGUAAGAAAACAGAGUAGAAAUCUGGUGUAUAUUUCAUUCAUCAACUUAAAGGGAAGAAGAUACAUAUAUACAAAGUAUUGGUUAGCCUAUUUUAGGAAUCUAUGAGCAAACGUAUCAGUUACAAUCAAUCAAAAUAAUCUUCUAUAUACAAUCAAAUAUCAUCCUCAAAUUACGGGAUCCUUGAUUCCUUUCCCUUAAUACCCUUCCUUCAUUCCCAUUAUCCUUUUGUUAUGUAUUAAUCUUCGCUAGAUUUUGAGCCUCGUCUGGAUGUUUGGUUAUAGAAUGAAAGAAGCCAAAUAUUUAUUUGCAUUGAUACUAGAUAGCUCAUAUAGUUGUUGUUGAAAUAAAUUCCUUUGGAGGUUCCUAGUUUUGGUUUGGGACUGUAAGGUGGUGUUUGUUUUUUUGGCUUUUUGCUGAAAACCAUUUAGCUUUAGAAUUUAGGUUGUUUGUUUUUUUACUUUUUUAUGACUUAUUAUAAAUUUUUUACUAAAUAGAAAAAGCCAAAAAAUGUGGCUUUUUCUAAAUAGAAAAAAUAACACAAUGGUUUUUUUUACUUUUUAAUACUUAAUAGAAAUAAAAUACUAUAAAAACAAACAACCUAAUAUUUAAUACUAUUAAGUAUUAAGGUUCUAUUUAGAAUUAAGUAAAAAAACAAACACCACCUAAGACUCUGUUUUCCUGUUUACUGUGUGUUAUGUGUGUUAUGUGAGGACUUUGGUUGCCUUUGUUUGUUUGAAUCUGUUUAUACUCCUCCCACCAAUCUAAACCCCUCAUAUGAAACAUGAAAUGUGGCCUUCACCGUGUUUUUUUGGUUUACAUUCUUCAUGCUCUGUUUUCUUGGUCGUCUUCCUCUGUUUUCUAUGGGUAUUUUGGGUGCAUAGUUGUAUGUGCAUCACUAGUUGAUGGUGCUAGAGAAUGGCUUGCAUGGGUUGAAGGAGCAAUCCACUUUCCAUAGUGGAGAAUUGGCACUCGCGCACAGUCCUUAUUUUUUUUUAAAAGAGCAAGCGCACAGUUGAGAUGGUGAUAUUCACGCACAGCAGCCCGUUGUCAAUUCCAUGAAAAACUGGGAUGUAUCCUCAAGAAAUGAGUUGCGUAUCAAGAAGAACAGGAAAAGGAAAGCAAAAAUAGAAAAAGGAAGCAGAACAGGAAGAAGUGGGAACAGAGAGAGAGGUCUGAAGGGAAAUUCAAUGGAUAUCUUGAGGGGAAGAUAGCAAAAAUGCGGAUAAAAAAAAAUAAAAAAAAUCAGUCGAGGCUGACAAGGAGAAGCAUGAUGAUGCUGCCAAGGGAGUUUUGAAAAAAGCAAGGUUGUUACUCAUUGAGCCGGAACCAUUGGGAGGAUCGUGACACAUACAUACAGAAUCACAGUUUCGGACUCCGAGGAACAGAUCGGAUGAUCUGGAAGGCCCACAGUCUGUAUACAUGAUCAAUGUCCCUUGAAUGCAUGAUGAUGGGAGUGGUAUCCAUGAAGUCAUUACCAAUGGGAUUCAGAUUCAGGCCCACCGACGAGGAGCUCAUCAGCCACUACUUGAAGUUGUAGAUCGAAGGGUGUCAUUCGGAGGUGGAGGUUAUUCGGGAACUUGAUGUUUGCAAAUGGGAGCCUUGGGAUUUGCUUGGCUCCUCCACGAUCAAGACGGAUGAUCGGGAACGGUUCUUCUUCUGCCAUCGUAAUAGGAAGCACCCAAACAGCCGUCGUUCCAACCGGGCUACCGACGCCUGUUACUGGAAAGCUACUGGCAAGGGUCGAAUCAUAAACCACGGGGUUUUCUCUGCAACCACUAAUUUGGUUCUCAUCUCUCUGAUAUGGAGACUACUUCUGUGGCUUUCAAAUCCAAGGAGGAUCACCGAAAAUAGCUGGAAUUAGAGGAAGCCUGUGAAGCUGGGCUUGCACCAGCUGAGCUUGAUGAAGAUGGGAAAGAAAUCGACCCUCACAUUCCUCAGUAUAUGUCCUCAGUGCCUUGGUAUCUUAAUGCUGAGAGACCUAGUCUGAAACAUCAAAGGAAAUGAAUGUGAACUUGAUGAUUUGGAGAUUCUUAGAACGCUAGAGGAGGGACGUGAUUAUGUUUUAGUUCCUCAAGAAGUUUGGGAGAAGCUUUUUACUGGUAUAAAGGAGGACCGACAUUACCCAGAAAGAUGAAUCCUCAAGGUAUUACUCACAAGAAAUUCAUGGUGGAGAUUUAUCGACUAUGCCUUAAGUUAAUUGAUUUCAGCAUGAGCUUUAUGAGAGGGUGUGUACACUUAAAGAGGAAGCAACAGGUUGGUUUCUGUGCAUGAGCUUUAUGAGAGGGUGUGUACACUUAAAGAGAAAGCAACAGGUUGGUGGUCAAAACAUUAGUAUAUUGCACAACUUCGGUAGUCAAAGGGUGGACUUAGGUCCGGAUUGCAGCAGAAAACUUAUGCUUUUUUUUUAAAUGGGACUUUAAAUGGUGGGUCCCUUGGAAUCAGGGCUGAAAGAUAGUGAUAGUUAUGUAAGGAUGGUGGCAGCUUGUGGGGUUCUGAAAUUAUAUCACAUAUCAGCUUCAACACAUGUUGAUGCAGAUUUUCCAGCAAUGCUUAAGCAUUUAAUGCUUAACGAUCCAGAUACUCAAGUAGUUGCAAAUUGUUUAUCAUCUCUACAAGAGAUCUGGAGCAAGCAAGUACCUUUGAGGAAGCAUCUAGGGAGAGAGGGGCAAUAUGCAUUCAUUGAAGGAAGCGACCACCAUUCUGAUAUGAAUUCCCAAUUGGUGCACCUUGUUCAUGGUUGCCUUCCUACAAAAUACACAAGAUUUUGGUGGUAUGGAUGAUACUUUGUCAUCUCAGAUGCAGCUAUAAUAUCAAAUUACCUGUUAAGACCCCUUCUUAUUGAGAUUUAUUGAUUUAAAAUUGGUUUGUUAGAAAAGAAAUACCCAUCUUAGGUAUUAAAUGAUUUGAUCAUUGCUGUCAGUUUUCACUCAACCAUUGACCCUUUAAUUUCAAAAUUCGUUUCGGCAACUUUAGAAUAUUCAUAAAAAAUUUCCAAAACUUGUAUGAAUUUCCUUACUUCUUGAACUUGAAUUUAAAUUUUUGUUUGAGUUAGAAAGCCAUUCUAGAAUAGGAGGUAUAAACGAGUCUUUUAGGGGGCUCCUUUUCACCCAGUUCUAGACACUCGAGAUCUUUUUGCAAAAAUAAAAUACGAGACUACUUUUUAAUGGACGUCUAAGUUGGUAAUCUAUAUAUCAUGCAUGGGAAACUAUGGCCCAACAUACAUUUCUAGCUUCAUUGUCUAAUGUACACUUCUAGGCUCGUGCAAGGGAGAUGGUUAUCCAAAAUAUGUGAAUGUGAAGUUAACAUUUUUUAGUUUUGGUCAAUAUUACUGAAGAUAGUUAAUAUUAUUAUCAUCACUUGAAUCAUUGCUUAUUCAGAUGUAAGGGUGGUUCUCAUGUCAUUUGGUGGUGUUUCAAUGUUUGAUGAAUACCUUAUAACGACUUUUUGCUACAACUAUUGCACAUUUUCAAUUGAGUGUGUGUUCUAUUGUACUAUUGAUAAGUUUUUCAUAUAACAAUUUGAACACACAGGCAUGGUAUAUCAUAAUGCUAUCAUUCAUUGUAACUACCAUAUGAACCAUAUAUAAAUGUAUAAACAUAUAUGAAUAAUAUGUGUUUAUUUUUUAGUACCAAUUUCUUUACAAAAAGGUUUCAAUGUUUGUCAAUAGCACUCUUGAAACCAACUUAAAAACACAGCCCAUGCCAUACCAUUCACAAUCACCAACUUAAUAUUGGUCGACCAUGCUAAAUGAAGUGGUACCUUUAGUUGCCGUUAAUGUUACUUUUAGGUUAAUGUAGUGUUACUAUUAACAAUGUCUGUAUCUAGAAACAUAAACAUAAUCUUAAUAUUAUCCCACUUAGGUUUAAAGCACUGAGCUGACUGCCAAAUUAUGUCAUUGAAUGCUAAUUUACAUUGGAAUGGAGUAGUAGUCCAAAACAUGCAGCAUCAGAAUAUUUCAUAGUUUUUAUGGGAAAGUAUAUAUCAUUACCAAAUGGACAUAAUUUGUUAACAUCAAAAUAAAAUUGAAAACAUGUUGCUUUUAAAGAAAAGCAGCCAUACAAUUAUUUAAAAAAAAUGAAAUAUCCGUUAUAAACAACUUAAUGUUGUCCAAUCCGUGUAACAUUAAUGACAUUUUCAUUCUCCACAGGCAAAAGCCAUGGAGGUCGUUCGAAUUCUUCUUAGACAGAUAUAUGUUAAUACCAUUGAUGCUUCAUGCCAUGUCUUCACAAUGCCUCCUUUCUUUUGUGUCAUUGAUUGAGGAUGAUGUUUCUUUAGAUACCGAAGAUUUUAUUAAUACACUAUGAAGACAAGAAUCUGCAUAAAUUAAACAACGAAAAAUGUCAUACAGAUGAACAUUCACAAAUAAGUCAUAGUAAUAAAGCAAACUAAUCUUUUGUAUUGUUGCCACUGAACUUGUAUGUGGUAAAUGACACCAAAGAAGAUGAUCUACAUAGGCCUCCAUUUGGAGCUACUAGUUUAAUUUGUUCUCUCACCAUUUACAUGGGAGGAAUAUCAGUAAAAUGUCGCUUUUACAUUACCAUUGUUAUACCUUUCACUUAAACAUGCUUAGGUGGCAAUCCCCAGUCCAAAUUAUGGAACAUCAAAAAAGAAACCAAGCCCAAAGUCAAUCCCAACCCCAACUCACAUGAGCUUAGUACAUCAUUUAACCAACGGUUUUACAUUUGUUGGUACAUUAUUUAACCAACAAUGUUACUUUAAGGCCAAAAUGGUGUUACAUUUAUGUCACAUUUAUUGUAUCGUUAACUUAUAUAAGGAUUGGAUGACAUGACCUAGUCCAAAUCAUGUAGAAUGCCAACUAGGAAUGAAUUCCUACAUCAAUCUACAACCCAACUCACAUGAGGAUGGUACAUCAUUGAACUUAUAGUAAUACUUUAAUGCCAAAAACAAUGUUAGUUUAUGCCAAAACCACUAUUACAUUUAUAUUAAAAUUGUUUUACCUGUUGCUAAUAUGGAAGAAUUGUGUGUACUCCCAUUGUCCAAAAAAAAAAAAAAUGAUGAACCACAAACAAAAACUAAGUCAAUCUACACCUCAAAACACAUGAGGAUGGUACAUCAUUCAACCAAUGAAGGUACUUUAAGCCCAACACAGUGUUACUUUAAGACCAAAACACUGCUACUUUUACAUUACAAUUAUUGUACCCUUCAUUAUUUUCUGAAUACUACAUGUUUACAUAAUUCCCCCUCAAAACAAUGUAAUUGAUAAUGGAAAAUAAGUAACUUAAACUCAAGUGCAAAGUGAAAACCAACUCUAUGCUCAUAAUGCAAACCAAAUUGAUCCAUGCCAGAAUCGAUCUCAUAAAAAGUUCUACAAUGAAUAAUUUAAAUUGGUCGUUUCAUAAGCUUAACAUUACAAAAGCAAAAUUGCCAAUAUCACAACUAAUCCAUAAGUUGUUCAACUUCAAUAAGUAUUUUGAAAACUAACCCCAAAAUAAUCAAACAACAUCUCUUCAUAACUCUCUAUAAAAAGGAAGACCUAAUAUUGAAAGGAAAUUUAAUUCUCUAAGAGCAUUUUAGUUUCUUCUUCUUGUAAUUCUUCUAUUAUAUAACAAAACUUAUUUUUGUAUAUUACACCUAAUUUUCUUUUUUAUUUAUUUAUUCCUUAACCUUUAAUUUUCCCACAUAUCUUAAUAUAGCCUUGCAUCAAUUAAGCAUAGAUUAGCUAAAUAGUAAAAUAAUAGGUAUAAUAUAUUUAUAUCACUAUGGUAUAAACUUAUAGUUUAUGUUUUGUUUUACAUUAAAAAAAUGUAAUUAAAAUUAGUUAAAAAGUGAUGUAUUUUAAAAUUAUUUCAUCUUUAUAUAAAAGUUUUAAAAUAUGUAAAAAAAAAAAAAAAAAAAGACUGAGUUUGAAAUAACAUAUAAAAAUAUAAAUCCAAAUUGAUUCCAUUCAUUCUCCUUUCAUUUUGUGAUUUUGCAUUAAAGAAGCUCAUCCCAACAACCUCACAAAUAAUGCUUAUGAAAAAAUAAAAUAAAAUUAAAGGCAUGAUGAAGUGAAAAGAGGAACAUCCCAAUGAAUGAAGCAGAGAGCAAAGUUCUUAUCUUGAUUUCCAGUUGAUGUUUUUUCCCUGUUUUAGCUCCUUAAACUUUUCCUUUCAACUCCACAGCAAAAUGCUCUGAAUUUUCACCUUCUCUCCCCCAAUGCUCUCUUGGAUUUAUGAAAAUAAUCCCAUUAGUUUCCAAAGAGUCAAGCCUUUUCGCCAUUUUUUUUCUCCCAUGGAAUAAUUUUCCAACCUAUACUUUUAGUCAAAUAAUAAAGAGAAAAAUAAAUCUUGAAUUUAAAUAAUAAAAAGGCUAUAAAUUCAUUAAAUCUAUUUUUAAAAUAUUUUAAAUUUAAAUUUAACUACUUUUUACCUUCAAAGUUUUAAUGAGAAAGUGUUUUUAACCUAUCCCAUUGCUUUCUUACUCUAUCUUUCUCUAUUUUCAGCUUUCUUUCUCUAUAUUUCUCUAUUUUCAUUCGUCAACCUUGGAAAAAGACCUGAUUUUGAAUAUCGUCUUUGCUUCCUUAUCUUUCAAUCUUUGUUAAUUAUGUAAUUGUGUAAAUAAUUAAUUUAAGAAGAAAGUUUUUUUCAUUACUCAUGACAUGAAAUGAUAAAAAAAAAAAAAAAAGUAAUUAUAUGAAUAGCAUAUGAAAGGUUAAUCUCUUCUUAUGAAGGUAUAUGAUCAUAGUAAUGGAAUGUGAAAUCCAUUCCAUCUUCAACUUGCAUGAGAUUGCAUUAUUACAUGCCAAAAUCUAUUUAUAGCCAAAUAGAAAAACAGUCUAAGCUACUUCUUGGGACGCACCCAUGGGAGCACUUUUUUUUUUUCUUUAUGUUAGGAUCAAACACGGGUUCAAAUCUUCUUGUAAGGUUGGAAAUCUUGCGAAGAAGCCUACAAUUUUGAAGGUUGGGCUUAGGAUUUUGGAUCGAAACUUUCAUUUAUCUUCAAUGGUAUCACUGGGUAUGGUGCUUAAGCCAAAGUCAUUUCUGGAUCAACUACUGUUUUUGACAAUCCUUUCAAAUUAGAGAGAGAAUAAUCUUGUGCACUAGAGUAACUUAUACACAUGGCCCCAUUCAAUCAAUUUCAUUGUUCUAAGAUUUAAAAAUUCCAAUUUAUUUUCUUUUUCUUUACAUUAAUUUUCUAAACAAAUAAGCAGUUUCUCAUCUUCUACUUUUAUGAAAUCAACCAAAUCUCAAACAGAGCACCUACAAAACCACAAAAAAAAGAAAGAGAUCGAAAAAGUGAAAAAUUGCCAAUUCAAGCUUCCUUUCAAUACAAAAGCGUUGAAUCUAUAUUUAUCAUCAUCUUCAAGUUUUAUGGCACAGGCUGACAAGAGACUAAUGAAAGUAAAACAGAAGCUCUAACAAGAUAAUCAGAGCUUGGAGCUCAAGUUUGUAGACAUGGAAGCUCAUGUGCAAUGGAAAAGAUGAAAAUGCCUGGUGAUGAUCCAGCAAUGCACUAAUCGAGGCUUGUGGGGAUUGGAGAAGAUUGUUGUGUCUUCCUUUGAGCUUUUGCAUUUUGAUUUUGAAUUUCGUGGAGAUUAAGGGAUUGUUUCCUGGAGAAAGAGGUUGGAGAAAAAUAAAUGAUGAUGUUGCCAAACAAUCUUUACAAAUAAUAUCUAUUUUUGCAUUUUUCUACAAGAAUUUUACCUGACGGUUGUGUAUUAUCUAAUGGCUCCACCACUCCCAAGUGCCAAACAAUCUAAUGAAGCGUGUAGAGUGAGAAACUAGAGAGAAAUUAAAUAUAAUCAAAAUACAUCAAUAGUUAACAUAAUGUUUCAAAUAGAAAAUAAAAUAAUAUAUUGAGAGGCAAACUCAAACAAUCACAAUGCACAUUUGGACUUGGCCAUGUUUAUAUUAUGAAAAUUUUUAAAUACAAUUAUAUAUAUAAAAAAAAAAGGAAGAAAAAGGGAUUUUACCUAUAAUAAGACGAAUGCAAUGGGUGCUCAAAUCUUGCCUCAAAUUUUUGAGGGUUGAAAAUAUGGAGUGAGGUUGUGCAUAAUGGUUUGAUUCUCCCAAUCCAAACCAUCCCACCAUUCUUGGUCUCCCAUGAUUUUCUCUAAUUUCUUGCUCACUCCAAUAUUGGAAUCAAAUGGCAGCUUCCUCAAACUUGAACAUCCAAGCAUAAGAAUGUGUCUUAAAGAUGGAAAAAGUAGGGCACGUCCAUGUAUACUUCUUAGCUUUGGUAGAUAAACUAAGGUGAGAGAUACGAGUCUCGAGAAUACGCCCAAAUGAUCUACUUCAACAAUUUCUAAAACUUCACUCCUUUCAUCAUCUAUCACUUUUUCCAUUGAUUCACAGAAUUCAACACUUAGCAAUUGAAGGUUUGGAGCAUAAAUAAGCCAUGUCAAAUUCAACAAUUUAUGACAUCCAAAUAUUUCGACAUCACAAAGGUUGUUCAAGCAUUGGUGCCUUGGGAAUUUUGAGUAGACCACCACUUCCUUUUCAAAAUUGAUUUUCACAUCUUGCAAUUCAACACAAUUUGUAAUACGGAGUGUCUCUAUAUAAAGGGAUAGUUGGACUAGGUUCAUACGCUUACAAACUAAUUGUAGCCAUCUUGUGGAUCUUUGCAACUUGUGGGAGUUAAAUAAUGUUUGGAUGGUUGAUACACUUGUAAGGUUGAUGGAUAUAUCAUCAAUGUGUUCCAACUGCUCUAACUCUUCUAAUAACUUUCCUUCAUGAUCUCCUGUAAAGUCUGACCCUACAAUCGUUCUAUACAUGCUGAACAGUUGCAAAGAGGAAAGACUCGAUACCAUUUGAGAUGGAAGUGACUUGAGCAAAUACAUAUCAUUCAAUAUCAAGCACCUUAAUUUUUUCAAGUUUUUGAGCUCCAUAGGUAAGUAUUUUAUACUUAGACCUGACAAAUUAAGAUAUUGCAAAGUAACUAAGUUUCCAAUCUCCAUUGGUAACUCUGUGAGUUCAAAAUUGUUUGACAAGUCCAAAACUCUUAUAAUAGGCAUGUUUGUAAAGAAUCUAUUUGGAAAUGACCGAAUAAACUUACGAGAUGCCAAAAAGGUCUCCAUAUUAGGGAAAUAUGGUGGUUCCCCAAGUUCUUCAAUGUUGGUAUCCCACAAUGAUAUCCUCUGUGUCUCUUUCCAUUUUUCAACUUCCUGAGCUCUAAUCGAUUCAACUCCAUCUUUUACCACAAAUUUGUUCUUCUUCUUCCCGUUUUCGCGAGCCAACCACAAAGCCAUAUCACGAAUAACAUCAUGCAUCUUCGAAUAUUCGUCUUUUUUAUCUAAUCGAGAUCUGCCAUUCUCUAAUAGACAUGCAAGUUGUAAACUUUUAAUAACUUCUUCUCCUUGAUAUCUUGCUUCUUGUAUGUUGUCAUAUUCAUCCAGAAAACCCUCCCCGAUCCAAAGUUGUAUAAGAUUUCGAUGAGAGAUUUCAUAAUCCUCCGGAAAUAAAGAGCAAUAUAGGAAACAUGAUUUGAUGGCUUCAUCGGGUAGGCGAUCAUAACUGAAUGCCAAGCGUGAAAACAAAUGAUUCUCCAUACCUGGAAACUUUGCCGGAUAAUUCUUCAACAUUUGUAUUUUUUUCUCCCAUUCUUCUGGUGUUUUUGUUCCCGCCAUUGCUCGCCCUAUGGUGAUGAGGGCAAGUGGUAAGCCGCAACACUCUUUGGCAACCAUCUCCGCCAGCUUUGGUAUAUCUGGAUGAGAAUUUAUGGUGUCUGCUCCCACCUUGGUCUGAAACAGAGCAAAAGCAUCCUCCCAUGGGAGACAAUUCACUUCAAUGCUCUCUGUAACUUCCAUAUCUUGGCACACAUCUUUAGAUCGCGUUGUAAGUACCAUCUUCAACUUAUCUUGAGGAUUCAGAGGAGGAAUACCAACUUUGGAUAGAUCCAGCCGCUCCCAUAUGUCAUCUAACAAAAGCACAAAUUUCUUUGUCUUCAGGACAUUGAAUAUUUCUUCUGCCCUUUCAUCCUCACUUCUACCUUCCCAUUUAUCUUGGGGAAUCUCCACUUUAUUGAAAAGAACUCGCUGAACCUUUUCCACAUUGGCUGGUCUGGACACAGUCACCCAAAUCACUGCAUCAAAUUCAAGCCUGGUUUUGAGGAGCUCAUUGUUGAUCCUGGUCAAGAGGGUGGUUUUGCCCACACCCCCCAUUCCAUAUAAUCCGAUACUGCUUACCUGCUCUCCACCAUCUUGGAGCCAUUUCCAGACCUUCCCAAACAACAAAUCUUGGCCCACAGUCUUGUCAAGCUGCCUCUCCAUCACGGGAGGACUAGGCAAAGGUUCAGCAACUACACUGAAAUUUGAGCCCUCCGUCUUCUUUACCGUCACAGCAUCCAUCUUUUCAAGUACCAUCUUGCCAAGAUUGUAGCUAGCGCCACAGUUUUUAGGACAACAGGUUCCGAGAUAUUUCUUCUGGAUUUCUUCAUCACCUUUCGCCAAUAUUUCCUUCACUUGUUCUUCCAUGGCUUCUACAUUGCGGAGCCAGCCAUCGACUACAUGAGUACACUUCUUCUGAAGUUUCUCUUCACGUUCCACCCGUUCCUUCACAUCUUCGUAUAGGUUCUUGAGUUCCUCCAUUGCAGUUCUCAAAGAGUUGAGAUUUUGUGGGAGAUGACGGAUGUAAACAGCACGCUUGGCAGUGCAAUACCACAAGCGAGUAGUGACAUCCAGGAUUGGGCUCACACAAUCCAUGGAGAAAACCAGAACUGGGAUUCAAAGCCAAGAAGAACUUAAUCAGAAUGGGAAAACAGGUGCUGGAUUGAAGUUGGAGAGGAAAAGAGAAGAAUUCUGGAUUUAUGUUUGUUAUGUGCAAAACCUAGCAAAGUUGAAGAUGAAAUAUCACAUUUUUUUUUUUCAAGUAAAAGACUCAGCAAUCAGCAUAAGGGUUUUUGAUUGGCUACAUAAGGGUCCACCACUAGUGAUAUUUUCCUAUUCUUUUCUUCCUUUUGUGUUUCCAUCAAUCAAGCUUAGUAAAGGGUCCACAGCACUUCUGGUUUCCUCUUUUCCUUUCAUGGGAAUCUUUUUCUUCCAAUACAUAUGAAUUCAUUUAGAUAUAAAGUUUGUGUAGUGCAUAUAAUUCUUCACCACUGUUUUUGAAAUAUAAUUAUUUUCUCUUGGUACGUUGAGAUCCAUUUUAUUAGUAAUUUAGGAAUUUAGUAGGUUUCUUUCAUCAUUCCGAAUACGAAUUUAUUAGGAAUUUAGGAAUUUUUUUGUAAUCCCAUUCCAAGUUUGUGAAUUCAUUGGUUUUUGAAUUUUUGAUAAUAUAAAUAAAGAAAGUUUGUGUAUUUAUUUUUGAGAAAAUAAUUUUUAUUUAUUUGAGAAACCAAUACAUUCAAAUUGCUCAUUAUAACCUACCUUGACUAUUGUGGAUUAGGGUAGACAUUUUAACCUGCUAUAAUAACAAUCAAGAAUAUAAGAGGAAAGUGACAAACUAAUAGAGAGAGAAGUCAUGCAAAUAAAUCACUUAAACUCAGUAAGUCCACCAUGCUAGAAUUCCCAUUUCUCAGUUAGGAAAGCAAAUAAAGAAAAAAAAAAAAAAAAUCAAAUGCACAACUAAUUAAAUACCAAAUUUUUCCUUAACUCAAGUUCCAGUUUGAACCUUUUACUAUCCCAACAAAAUCGUUAUUUUGUCUAUCGGUAUAUUUUAUUUGCAACCUUGCUUGAUGACUAAAUUAUCUUCUAUUAGAAAAACACUUUUAAAGGUUAAUUAUGUAUGCUUUCUCUUUCGUUUAUAAUUUUUUUUACUAGUAUUAAUGAUUAAUUCUCUUUUAUUCACGGAUAUAAACAUAAUUAGUUGAACUCACUUUUUUUAUGUUUACAUUUACUUUUGUCUGUAUGUUAUUACACUAAUAUGUACUUGAUAUUGAAUUUUUUUUAACAUAACAAAUAUAUAUACACUCAAAUUACAUAUCCAAAAUCGAAAUGAGUUCACAUUUGGGUUGUGGAAGAAAAAAAAUUCUAAAAAAAUUGACCAAAGGCAUUGUGGACUCUUUACAAAGUUUGGUGGUUCAUAAAGGAAGAAAAUAAGUAAGAUAUGCUCAAAUUACAUAUCCAAAAUUCAAAAUGAGUUCAAAUUUUGGUUAUGGAAGAUUUUUUUUUUUUUUAAAAAAAAAAAUGAGCAAAGACAUUGUACCCAUUAAAAUUUUGGUGGUUCAUAAACGAAGAAAAGAAGUAAAGAUAUACUCAAAUUAUGCAUCCAAAAUUCAAAAUGAGUUCACAUUUGGGUUAUGGAAGAAAAAAAAAGAGCAAAGACAUUAUGGACCCUUUACAAAGUUUGGUGGUUCAUAAAGAAAUAAAAGAAGUAAAGAUGUGCUCAAAUUAAAUAUCCAAAAUUCAAAACGAGUUCACAUUUGGGUUAUGGAAAAAGUAAAAAUUCUAAACAAAAUUAGCAAAGUCAUUGUGUACCCCUUACAAAGUUUGGUGAUUCAUAAAGGAAGAAAGAAGUAAAACACCGAAAGUGCGGAUUCUUUGGUAACAUUUUUCAAGACAUUCAUUCGCAUCAUAUAUCAUUUAUUAAGGAAGAUUGCCAAAAUCAAGAUCAAGUCAAACCUUCAUGAUUUCAGCCUACAAUCAAGCCAUUUGAAUAAAGUCUUUGAUCUGUUUCUAUUUAUGUGAUUAUUAGCCGAGAUUGGUGUAUAGUUAUUUUGUCAUAGUAAUUGCUAUAAAUAUUUCCUAAAAUAGUUCUCUGUGAUGUUGUAUAUAUUUACGUACAGAUCAAUUGAAUAAUAGAUGAAGAAAUAGUUUAUUUAAUCCAGCAGUAUAUUUCUCUAUAUGGUAUCAGAGCAACCCUUCUCCAACGAGUCAAUCCCUCCCAUUUCCCCAAUGUCUUCCUCACCCGAACAACCUCAAAUUCAUCUCAACACCCACCCCAUUUCCUCCAUUGAAACCACUCUUGUUGCUCUCAAUAUCACUGCCCAGAUUAAUGAAAAAUUGACUCCUUCUACUUUUCCUCAAUGGCGUGCUCAAUUUGAAGCCUUACUCAUAGGAUAUGAUUUGCUUGAUUAUGUCACCGGCAUCUCUCAAUGUCCCUCUCCGAGUGAUCUCUCUGUUUCUGCCCUACACAAAACUCAUUGGGUUCGGCAAGACAAACUUAUACUCAGUGCCCUUCUUGCUUCCACUUCCCCUACCAUCACCCCACUCAUUGCAACAGCAAAAACGUCCCAUGAGGCUUGGCAAAAAUUGAACACCCUCUAUGCUAGCAAAUCACGAACUCGGGCUAUGUAAUUAAAAGAGGAACUCACCUUAAUACAGCGUGGAAAUCGGCCUAUCUUUGAUUAUCUACAUGCUGUGAAGUCUCUGGCAGAUGAAAUUGCCAUUAUUGACCACCCCAUUUCUGAUGAUGACCUAACCCUCUAUGUGCUUAAUGGCUUAGGUUCUGAUUUCAGGGAAAUUGCAGCACCAAUCCGAGCUCGCGAAAAGUCUCUUGCCUUUGAGGAGCUCCACGAUCUUCUGGUCGGCCACGAACAUUAUUUGCGUCGCCUUGAAACUGCUACUCAGCAACUGGUAGCCGCUGCAAACUAUACAACCAGGAAGUCUGGUUCUUCGGGAGGUCAACAACGCAGCUAUAGGAAGCCGAAUGGGCCUCAGCGUCAGUCUGGGCAAGCUCCAGCCCGAAGUGGAAAUCGUGAUGGUCGACGUCCCAAUGGUUCCAAUCGGCCCAGCAACAACCAGCGGCCUUAUAGGCCCAAAUGCCAAUUCUGUGAUGAGUUGGGCCAUACGGCCAAAAAUUGUCCUCAGCUGAAGCCCAGUGAAAUUACUGCAAACAGUGCAACAACUUCUACCAUGAAAGAGCAAAAAUGGCUCCUUGAUUCCGCUGCCUCCCACAACAUCAUUGGUGAUCUUCAGAAUUUAUCUAUUCACUCCGAAUAUGACGGCACCGAUGAAGUGGUUCUGGGUGAUGGUUCAGGUUUGGCUGUUUCACAUGUUGGUUCUUUAGCUAUACACUCACCCAAUCGAACCUUUAUCUUGCGUGAUACUAUCUGUGUUCCAAAUCUUAAAAAAAAUUUGAUUUCUGUUCAUCAUUUUACCUCACAAAAUAAUGUAUAUGUUGAGUUUCACCCAUCUUAUUUUCUUGUGAAGGAACUGAUCACGGGGGCGAUCCUACUAAGAGGUUCAUGUGAGAACGACAUUUACAUUUUUCCGGAAUCACUUGUGGGAAAUUUUUCACAAAAGGUUGCUAAUGUGCAUGAACGGACGUCGCUUGAUGGGUGGCACAAGCGUCUUGGUCAUCCUUCCUAUCCCAUUGUUAAAAAUCUUGUUUCUACUUUUUCUCUUCCUACCACUACAAAUAAAAUGUCCAUGUUAUGUCGUUCUUGUUCUAUUAAUAAAUCUCAUCAACAACCUUUUCGCACAACUAGUCUUUCGAGUACUGGUCCACUUGAAAUUAUUUAUACGGAUGUUUGGGGUCCCGCACACUCAAUGGGUCUUGAUGGCUCUCGUUAUUAUCUUCUUUUUGUGGACCACUACACGAAAUACAUGUGGUUUUAUCCCAUGGCUACCAAAUCGAGUGUGUCAACUAUUUUUCCACAAUUUAAAAUUUUUGUUGAAACUCGGUUUCAAGCCAAAAUUAAAACCCUUUACUCUGAUAAUGGUGGUGAAUUUAUUUCUCUCAAACCUUUUUUAAAUCUUCACGGCAUUAGUCACUAUACUACUGCUCCUUACACCCCGCAACAAAAUGGAGUCUCUGAACGCCGUCAUCGACAUCUUGUUGAAACUGGCCUCACCUUACUUUCGGAUGCUUCCUUGCCUCUUUUAUAUUGGCCUCAUGCUUUUCGAACUGCCACCUAUCUCAUAAAUAGGCAACCGACUCCUCUUCUCACCAACAAGUCCCCCUUUGAGGCUCUUUUUGGACAUAAACCAAAUUAUCUUAAAUUAAAAAAAUUUGGUUCGCUUUGCUAUCCCCUUACACGUCCAUAUAAUAAUCACAAGAUGCAACCUAAGUCCAUUCCAUGUCUUUUUUUGGGCUAUUCUCAAACUCAAAAUGCCUAUAUUUGUUUGGAUCUUAAGACCCACAAAACUUAUGUGUCUCAUCAUGUGUUAUUUGAUGAGACCCAACUGCCUUUUCAAUCCGAGCAAGCCCAGAGCCCAGCCUAACCCGAGUCUUCUUCUCAUCUGUGCCCUACUUCCUUUAUUCCAUUGUCUUCUCAGCCCGUGCGAGUUCCUCCUCAAGUGAUUCCGUCCGUGCACUCUUUUGGCUCGGCACCAUCACAUGUGCUUCCGGCCGAUGUUUCUACUGCAUCUCCAUCACCUCCAGGUAACCCCCCUCUCUCUUCUCCUAAUUUUCCUUUGACUGAUGUUCUUAGAAAUUCCGGUUCUCAUUCGGAUGUUCUCAUCUCGCAUGACCCUGUUCUUCCUUCCUCCCUUCAUCUGACUCACACACACACGGUUGUUGAUCUUACUUUAUCUCAGUCCCAUUCCAUUCCCCCUUCGUGUGUUCAAACUGGGAACCCUCGUCUCCACAAAAUGACAACCCGUUCCAUGAACAACAUCUUUAAACCCAAGCAACUUCAUUUGGUUUCCAAACAUCCCAUUCCUCUAGCAAUUGAGCCAACUUGUGUGACUCAAGCCGUGAAUCAUCCUCAGUGGCGUGAUGCUAUGUCCAUUGAGCUCACUGCCUUGAUGAAACAUGGAACCUGGGAUUUGGUUCCACACCCCCCCCCCCCCCCCCCCAAAACUGUACACCUGUGGGCUGUAAAUGGGUGUUUAGAGUAAAACACAAAGCUGAUGGCUCGGUGGACAAAUUUAAGGCCAGGCUUGUGGCCAAAGGCUAUACUCAAAGACCGGGCCUAGAUUACAAGGAAACCUUCAGUCCUGUUGUUAGGCCAGCCACUAUUCGAUGUGUUUUGACUAUAGCCGUGAUGAAUGGGUGGCCUUUACGCCAAAUGGACAUCAACAAUGCUUUUUUACAUGGAACCCUCACAGAAACUGUUUAUAUGAUGCAACCUCCAGGGUUUAAAGAUACCAGUAAGCCUGAUCAUGUGUGUCGAUUGAGAAAAGCCAUUUAUGGGCUUCGACAGGCUCCUCGAGCUUUGUACACAACUCUGAGAACUGCUCUUUUUCAGCUUGGGUUCAAAAAUUCCAAAGCUGAUUCUUCUCUAUUUAUUUAUACACAUGGUCCUAUCAUUUGCUAUUUUUUGGUUUACGUUGAUGAUCUUGUAAUUACUGGCAAUGAUAUUCAGUUUGUGGAUCACAUAAUUCAGAAAUUGGGUGAAAUUUUUUCCCUAAAAGAUAUGGGAAACCUUAGCUUCUUUCUGGGAGUAGAGGUUAUUCCUACUCGUGCUGGUGUGUUCUUGUCACAGCAUCAAUACAUUCGUGACUUAUUGUCCACAACGAAUAUGCUUGGUGCUAAGGAUGUGUCCACUCCUUUAUCCACAACUGCUUCUCUGAAAUUGUUUGAUGGCACAACACCUGUUGACAGCACUGACUUUCGGCGUGUCAUUGGUAGUCUUCAGUAUCUUUCACUGACCCGACCGGACAUUUCGUUUGCUGUGAAUAAGCUAUCUCAAUUCAUGCAUAAGCCAACUACAGCCCACUGGACAGCCACGAAGAGACUGCUUCGUUACUUGAAACAAACCAUUUUUCAUGGUAUUCAGCUUACUAGAAACACAACUUCAGUUUUAACCACGUUCUCUGAUGCUGACUGGGCAGGGAAUGUGGAUGACAGAACCUCUACUUCGGCUUAUAUUAGUUUUCUUGGCACAAAUCCCAUUUCUUGGAGCUCCAAGAAACAACGAGCUGUUGCUCGCUCAUCGACGGAAGCUGAAUACCGUGCUCUUGCCAAUGCUGCGUCUGAAACUGUGUGACUGAACUCCUUACUUCAUGAACUCGGUUUUCCACUCAAGGUGCCUCCCUUGUUGCUAUGUGACAAUCUUGGCGCCACGCAUCUGAGUUUUAAUCCAGUUAAUCAUUCUCGCAUGAAGCAUAUUCAGAUUGAUUUACACUUUGUCCGAGAGCUUGUUCAAAAUGGGACCCUUCAUGUUCGUCAUGUUCACACGCAAGAUCAACUUGCUGAUCUCUUGACAAAACCCUUGUCACGACAACGGACUGAAUUGUUACGUACCAAGAUUGGUCUUGCCGAUGGAAGCUCAAUCUUGCGGGGGCGUAUUAAGGAAGAUUGCCAAAAUCAUGAUCAAGUCAAACCUUCAUGAUUUCAGCCUACAAUCAAGCCAUUUGAAUAAAGUCUUUGAUCUGUUUCUAUUUAUGUGAUUAUUAGCCGAGAUUGGUGUAUAGUUAUUUUGUCAUAGUAAUUGCUGUAAAUAUUUCCUAAAAUAGUUCUCUGUGAUGUUGUAUAUAUUUACGUACAGAUCAAUUGAAUAAUAGAUGAGGAAAUAGUUUAUUUAAUCUAGCAGUAUAUUUCUCUAUAUCAUUUGUGUCUUUUUAGUCAUUAUUAAAUGUUGGGCAUCAUUCAUGACUCAUGACCUAUAUGAAGAGUGCUUUUUUUAUUUUUUAUUUUUAUAAAUAUAAUGUUCUAAAUAAUAAAUAUUACUAACAUUUUACAAAAAGAAUAUUUACUUGUUCAUUUGUAAUUAAUUUUUAUUUUUUACUUUCGUUAAUUUUUUGUGAGACGAUAUUUUGAUAUCCUCAACAACUCAAAUUAGUGAAACAGGUGAUGGACAGGAGUUGGAGAGGUGAAGAGAAGAAUAUUGGGUUUAUGUUUUUGUGUUCAAAACCCAGAAAAGAUGAUAAUGAAUAAAGAGUAAAGUAAUAGUGACAUUGUCUUCCAUACAGACUGUCAAGCUCUCUUUUCUUUUAACGGGAAUCUUUUUCUUCCAACACAAAUAUGAAUUCAUUUACAUAUAUGAAGUUUGUGUGUACUGUCUUGUAACUUUAAAACUGUAAGUAGCAGUGCAGAUAAUUCUUCAUCCGUUCUACUGUUUAGAAAUAUAAUUCUUUUUUCUUGAUAGGUUGAGAUCAAUUUUAUUAGUAAUUAUUUACGAAUUUUUUAGGUUUCUUUCAUCAUUCCGAACACGAAUUUAUUAGGAAUUUAGGGAUUUUUUCGUAAUCCCAUUCCAAGUUUUGGAUUAUCAAACAUGGGUACAUGACCGGAGGAGAAUUAAUUGGUUUUUGAAAUUUUAUGAUAUACAUAAACAAAAUUUUGUUUAUUUAUUUUUGGAGAAGUAAUUUUUAUUUAUUGAAAAUUUGAUUUUUAUUUAUUUGAAAAACGAGGAUAUUCAAAUUGUUGAUAGUUAGGAAGUGUCCCAAAUUCCUAAUUAGUAUAGAUUCUUUUUUUGUAAAUAAUAUUAUAUAGAAUAUUUCUAGGUUGAUAUAUUAUUGUAAUAUUAGACUUCCUUACAGAAUAAGGAAGGUUGUUGGAAAUAUCUCUAUAAAUAUUCUAGGUCAUGAGGGGAAAAAGUUAUGAGAUGGAGAUGGACCUGUAGAGACUAUACGAGGUGGAUAGAGAUGCGAGGAAGAACGAGAGGUACUCUAUGGAGCAAGAGGGCUCGUAGUAGGGUAUGGAUACAAGGAGUGGGGAAACAUGUGAUGUUUCGGGAACCCAAUAGUUGUAUUUGGUUCUGUCCUCUGUAAUAUUCUCUAUUGUAUAGUGGAAUCAUUCUCUCUCAUCCGUGGACGUAGGCAUGGUUGGCCGAACCACGUUAAAAUCUCAUGUACCGUAUGUGUGAUUGUUUUAUCUUUGUGUUCUUGAACUAACAUUGUUGGCAUCAAGGCUUUCGCUGGCCCUACAAUUGGUAUCAAAGCUUGGGUUGAAGAUUUCUGAAAGAGUAAAAGAUCACAAAGCACACAAGAUGAAAACAAAAGGAAUUUUCACUGAAGGUGGAGUCGAUUGCUCUUUCGUGGUGAUAUGAUACUAAAAGGUUUGUGUCAUGGAGAGAUUGAAGAUUAACUUCAUGGAAUUUACUCAAAGGUGGAGAUUGUUAGGAAGUGUCCCAAAUUCCUAAUUAGUAUAGAUUCAUUUUUUGUAAAGAAUAUUAUAUAGAAUAUUUCUAGGUUGAUAUAUUAUUGUAAUAUUAGACUUCCUUAUAGAAUAAGGAAGGUUGUUGGAAAUAUCUCUAUAAAUAUUCUAGGUCAUGAGGGGAAAAAGUUAUGAGAUGGAGAUGGACCUGUAGAGACUUCCGUAUGUGUGAUUGUUUUAUCUUUGUGUUCUUGAACUAACAUUGCUGGCAUCAAAGCUUUCGCUGACCCUACAUUGAUUAUAACCAAAUAUCUAAUUACAAGAAAAAAAAUAGAGAUUAAUAAAAAGAUAAAAUUGCAACCUCUCUCUCAAUUAAGAUGAAAGAAUAUAAAAUCUUACAAAAUGAUGAAAGAAAACUUUAUUUUAAUGAAUAGUAAGGGAUGGAGACCUCCUUUUAUAGCGUAGGGAAACUCUCCCCCCCCCCCCUCCCCCCCUCCCCCUUUGUCUUCUAAACGAGAUGGGAUGACUUCAACUUUGACACGAUACACUUAGAAAUGUAAUGUUGGAAUAAUUAUUUAUUUAUAUUUCAAUGUUAAGUAACAAUAAAAAUGAGAAUAAAAAAAAUAAGUCGACAAUAAUAUUCAUACGCUUAGUUUAAAAUAAUUUUUUAUUUUUAGGACAUCUAAUAGUGGUUUAAAAUCAUAUUUCUUUUUUACUAUAUUUUGUUAUGAUAAUAGUAAUUAACUCCAAAAACAAUGUAAGUUCAUUUGUAUAUUUGUAUAUAGGUUUAUUUGAGCAUCUAAAAAUGGUUAAUUUGGAUAUAUUUUUACGAUAGAGAAUUCUCUAGCUAAGAAGUCUUCUCUUAUGUACUUGUUUGCACAUUUAUAAUUAUUUUUUUUAGAGGAAAGAAAAUAGUGAGAAAAUUAUAAGGAAAAAAAUUUAUAAAAAUAUUCUCUAUUUUGAUGUCCAUUAAAAAAUUGAAGGAAAUAAAAUUAAGUUAUUUAGAAAUACACUUUACUCACCUUUAUAUAAGGAAAAUGAUGAGGACAACCAUUUAGCAUUUUCCAAUUCUUUUGCUUAAUAUAUAUUUUUUCAUCGCCUUUUUUCUUAAUAUUUUUAUUUCAUUUUUUAAUAUUUUUUAAGAACUAAAUAUGAUCUUAAUUAUCAUAAUUAUUAUAUUUAAAAGGUCUACCCAUUUUUGGUAUAGCGUGUCAUGUAUGCAAAACCUUAGUUGUAUUACAAAAGGGAUUUGUAUGCAUUAAUAUCACAACAAGAAAAGUGAGAUAUGGUCACAUAGUUUUUUUAAGAGGGGUCAACAAAAUUCACAAUGAAAGAGUGUAUAUAACCUCACUACUAUUUGAGCCACAAUAGUAGGAAUUCUCCCACCAAGCUUAUAGUUCCAGGAUUAAUCGGAUACAACCAUAAAACCUCCUAUUGUUGAGGGAUAAAAUUGGUCGCUAUAAUAUAUGGCCCAAUGAAUGCAAGUUGGUCACUACAAUAAAACCAAUAUAUAAAUUCCCUACCAUUUCUCUUUUGCUCACCCUUGAUUGCUAAACUCAUUUCUUCUUUCAUCAUUGCUAGUCCAAUGUGAGAUUAAUCUUUAAUCAUGAAUUUUUUUUUCUCAAUGAUCACUCAUUGUGGGACGUAGCUUGAUGUUUUUUUAUUCACACAUUGCCCUCUCAUUAUUGUCAUUUUAUUUUAUUAUGAUUUCACUCUCUCAUUAUCUACUGUCUAAUUUUCUAGGAUUUUGAAUUGCUAGGUUUCGAGUUAUCACAAGAUUUGAAGGCUUUUCAAGCAUGACUUCUCCAUCAUUUUUCUCUUUUCUAGGGUUUUCUAGUUGAUUUCUCCUUUUCCAUUUUUGGGUUUUAUUUCUCUUCAUGUUUUGUGAUUUUCUAGCUUUCUAGAUUUUUUUUUUUAAUUUUUAUAUUAAAAUGUGAGAGGUGAUUGAUGCAUAGGGAAAUCUAGAUUUCAUAAAAUUGUUGAAAAGUAUAUAACUCUAUUUUCCAAACAAAAACUCCUUUGUUUGCCAAAAAGAUGAGGUGAAAGUUGAAGUAGAUAAGAAGUACAGGGAAGGGAGGGGAGAAGGAGGGGCCAUCAACCAUGUAUAGAAUGAGAAAACUUGAGAAGAGUGGGUUGUGUAUUUGAGGGGUGAGGGGUUAGUAUUCUCUAUACUUACUUUGGCCAUAUGUUUUUUCUUUGUCCUAUUUGGUUCUAGAUAUUUUUUUUACUAUGAAUUACUUCUAACAUAGUAAAAAUAUUUCUACCUAGCUUAACUAGUUGUGUUGAAUUCAAACAUUACAAUGACUAUGAGAAUGUGGAGUGAUAGGUAAGAUAAGUAGCUAUUAUAUCAACAAAUGAACUAAUUAAGGUGCAUUUGAAGUGUAGUAGAGUACUUAUUAGCUCAAAAACACAUAAAAAACUUGAUAAUUUUGAAAAGGCGACAAAUGACUAAUCAGUUCAAAAUUGAGAAACUAAUUACUUUUGGAGAGGUACAACUAAAACAAAUAGCUACUAAAGAUGUACAAAUUGAAUAAAUAACCCCUGAAAGACACAUAUAGAAAUAGCCCCUAAAGAGAUACAAUUUGAACAAAUAGCCCUUUACUUCACUAGGGUUUUUCUUAAUGGGUGUUUUGUAGUUCUGAGAUAUAUUUUUAUGAUCAUCCAAGAUGGAGUGUUAAUAAAAUAUGAGAAUAUGGAAACUUAUGAAUGAUCAUCUAUAUUGAUGUAAAUCUCUUCAUAACUCUCUAUAAAAAGGAAGACCUAAUAUUGAAAGGAUAUUUAAUUCUAUAAGAGAAUUUCAGUUUCUUCUUCUUGUAAUUCUUCUAUUAUAUAACAAAACUUAUUUUUUUUGUAUAUUACACCUAAUUUUCCUUUUUAUUUAUCUAUUCCUUAACCUUUAAUUUUCCCACAUAUCUUAAAAUGGCCUUGCAUCAAGCAUAAAUUAGCUAAAUAGUAAAAUAAUAGGUAUAAUAUAUUUAUAUCACUAUGGUAUAAACUUAUAGUACGUUUAUGUUUGGUUUUACAUUAAAAAAUAUAAAAAUAUAUAAUUAAAAUUAGUUAAAAGUGAUGUCUUUUAAAAUUAUUUCAUCUUUAUAUAAAAUAUUUAAAAUAUGUAAAAAAAAAAGGAUUGAGUUUGAAAUAACAUAUAAAAAUACAGAUCCAAAUUGAUUCCAUUCAUUCUCCUUUCCUUUUGUGAUUUUGCAUUAAAGAAACUCAUCCCAACAACCUCACAAAUAAUGCUUAUGAAAAAAUAAAAUAAAAUUAAAGGCAUGAUGAAGUGAAAAGAGGAACAUCCCAAUGAAUGGAGCAGAGAGCAAAGUUCUUGUCUUGAUUUCCAGUUGAUGCUUUUUCCCUGUUUUAGCUCCUUAAACUCUGUUCCUUUCAACUCUACAGCAAAAUCCUCUAAAUUUUCACCUUCUCUCCUCCAAUGCUCUCUUGGAUUUAUGAAAAUACUCCCAUUAGUUUCCUAAGAGUCAAGCCUUUUCGCUAUUUUUUUUUUCUCCCAUGGAUUUUAAUAAUUUUCCAACCUAUACUUUUAGUCAAAUAAUAAAGAGAAAAAAUAAAUAUUGAAUUUAAAAUAAUAAAAAGGCUACAAAUUCAUUAAAUGUAUUUUAAAAAUAUUUUUAAUUUAAAUUUAACUACUUUUUACCUUCAAAGUUUUAAUGAUAAAGUGUUUUUAAGUUAUACUGUUGCUUUCUUACUCUAUCUUUCUCUAUUUUCAGCUUUCUUACCCUAUCUUUCUCUAUUUUCAUCCGUCAACCUUGGAAAAAGACCUGAUUUUGGAUAUUGUCUUUACUUCCUUAUCUCUUAAUCUAUGUUAAUUACAUAAUUGUGUAAAUAAUUAAUUUAAGAAAAAAGUUUUUUUUCAUUACUCAUGACAUGAAAUGAUAAAAAUAAAAUAAAAUAAAGUAAAAAAGUAAUUAUAUGAAUAGCAUAUGAAAGGUUAAUCUCUUCUUAUGAAGGUAUAUGAUUAUAGUAAUGGAAUGUGAAAUCCAUUCCAUCUUCAACCUGCAUGAGAUUGUAUUAUUACAUGCCAAAACCUAUUUAUAGCCAAAGAGAAAAACAAUCUAAGCUACUUCUCGGGACGUACCCAUGGGAGCACUUUUUUUUGUUGUUGUUGUUUCUUUAUGUUGGGACCAAACACGGGUUCAAAUCUUCCUGCACAGAGGUUGGAAAUCUUGCCAAGAAGCCUACAAUUUUGAAGGUUGGGCUUAGGAUUUUGGAUCAAAACUUUCAUAUAUCUUCAAUGGUAUCACGGGGUAUGGUGCUUAAGCCAAAAUCAUUUCUGGAUCAACUUCUACUUUUGACAGUCCUUUCAAAUUAGAGAGAGAAUAGUCUUGUGCACUAGAGUAACUUAUACACAUGGCCCCAUUCAAUCAAUUUCAUAGUUCUAUGAUUUAAAAAUUCCAAUUUAUUUUCUUUUUCUUUACAUUAAUUUUCUCAACAAAUAAGCAGUUUAUCAUCUUCUACUUUUAUGAAAUCAACCAAAAUCUCAAACAGAGCACCUACAAAACCACAAAAAAGGAAAGGGAUCGAAAAAGUGAAAAACUACCAAUUCGAGCUUUCUUUGACAAGAUAAUCAGAGCUUGGAGUGCAAGUUUGUAGACAUGGAAGCUCGUGUGCAGUGGAAAAGAAGAAAAUGGCUGGUCAUGAUCCAGCGAUGCACUAAUCGAGGCUUGUGGGGAUUGGAGAAGAUUGUUGUGUCUUCCUUUGAGCUUUUGCAUUUUGGUUUUUGAAUUUCGUGGAGAUUAAGGGAUAGUUUCCUGGAAAAGGAGGUUGGAGAGAAAUAAUUGAUGAUGUUGCCAAACAAUCUUUACAAAUAACAUCUAUUUUUGCAUUUUUCUAUAAGAAUUUUACCAAGUGGUUGUGCAUAAUCUCAUGGCUCCACGACUCCCAAGUCCCAAACAAUCUAAUGAAGUGUGUAGAGUGAGAAACCAGAAAGAAAUUAAAUAUAAUCAAAAUACAUGAAAAGUUAACAUAAUAUUUCAAAUAGAAAUAAAAUAAUAUCUUGAGAGGUAGACUCAAACAAUCACAAUGCACAUUUGGACUUGGCCAUGUUUAUAACAUUAAAAUUUUUAAAUACAAUUAUAUAUAUAAAAAAAAAAGGAAGAAAAAAGGAUUUUACCUGUAAUAAGAUGAAUGCCAUGGGAGCUCAAAUCUCGUCUUGAAUUUGUGUGGGUUGAAAAUAUGGAGUGAGGUUGUGCAUAAUCACUUGAUCCUCCCAAUCCAAACCAUCCCACCAUUCUUUUUGUCCACGGAUUUGCUCUAAUUUCUUGCUUAUUCCAGUGUUGGAAUCAAAUGGCAGCUUCCUCAAACUUGGACAUUGAAGCACACGGAUGUAUCUUAAAGAUGGAAAAGGUAGGGCACGUCCAUAUAUACUUCUUAGCUUUGGUAGCCAUGUUAAAGUGAGUGAUAUGAGUCUCGAGAAAACACCCAAAUGAUCUACCUCAAUUUCUAAAACUUCACUUCUUUCAUCAUCUAUCACUUUUUCCAUUGAUUCACAGAAUUCAACACUUAGAAAUUGAAGGCUUGGAGCACAAAUAAGCCAUGUCAAAUUCAACAAUUUAUGACAUCGAAAUAUUUUGACAUCACAAAGGUUGUUCAAGCAUGGGUGCCUUGGGAAUUUUGAGUAGACCACCACUUCAUUUUCAAAAUUGAUUUUCACAUCUUGCAAUUCAAAACAAUUUUUAAUAUGGAGGGUCUCUAUAUAAAGGGAUAGUUGGACCAGGUUCAUACGCUCACAAACUAAUUGUAGCCAUCUUGUGGAUCUUUGCAACUUGUGGGAGUUAAAUAAUGUUUGGAUGGAUGAUACACUUGUAAGGUCGAUGGAUAUAUCAUCAAUGUGUUCCAACUGCUCUAACUCUUCUAAUAACCUUCUUUCAUCAUAUCCCUUAAAGGCUGACCCUUCCGUGCUAUACAUACUAAACAAUUGCAAAGAGGAAAGACUCGAUACCAUUUGAGAUGGAAGUGACUCAAGAAAAUACAUAUCAUUCAAUAUCAAGCACCUUAAUUUUUUCAAGUUCUUGAGCUCCACAGGUAAGUAUUCAAUACUUGUACACGACAAAUUAAGAUAUUGCAAGGUAACUAAGUUUCUAAUCUCCACAGGUAACUUCAUAAGUUUAAAAUUGUUUGACAAGUCCAAAACUCUUAUAAUAGGCAUGUUUGUAAAGAAUCUAUUUGAAAAUGACUCAAUAAACACACUUGAUGCCAAAAAGGUCUCAAUAUUAGGGAAAUAUGGUGGUUUCCUAUGUUCUUCAAUGUCGGUAUUCCACAAUGAUAUCCUCUGUGUCUCUUUCCAUUUUUCAACUUCCUGAGCUCUAAUCGAUUCGACUCCAUCUUUUACCACAAAUUUGUUCUUCUUCUUCCCAUUUUCGUGAGCCAACCACAAAGCCAUAUCACGAAUAACAUCAUGCAUCUUCAAAUAUUCGUCUUUUUCAUCUAAUGGAGAUAUGCCAUUCUCCAAUAGACAUGCAAGCUGUAAACUUUUAAUAACUUCUUCGCCUUGAUUUCUUGCUUUUUGUAUGUUGUCACAUUCAUCCAGAAAACCCUCCCCAAUCCAAAGUUGUAUAAUAUUUCGAUGAGAGAUUUCAUAAUCCUCCGGAAAUAAAGAGCAAUAUAGGAAACACGAUUUGAUGGUUUCAUCGGGUAGGCUAUCAUAACUGAAUGCCAAGCGUGAAAACAGACGAUUCUCCAUACCUGGAAACUUUGCCGGAUAAUUCUUCAACAUUUGUAUUUUUUUCUCCCAUUCUUCGGGUGUUUUUGUUCCCGCCAUUGCUCGCCCUAUGGUGAUGAGGGCAAGUGGUAAGCCGCAACACUCUUUGGCAACCAUCUCCGCCAGCUUUGGUAUAUCUGGAUGAGAAUUUAUGGUGUCUGCUCCCACCUUGGUCUGAAACAGAGCAAAAGCAUCCUCCCAUGGGAGACAAUUCAUUUCAAUGCUCUCUGUAACUUCCAUAUCUUGGCACACAUCUUUAGAUCGCGUUGUAAGUACCAUCUUCAACUUAUCUUGAGGAUUCAGAGGAGGAAUACCAACUUUGGAUAGAUCCAGCCGCUCCCAUAUGUCAUCUAACAAAAGCACAAAUUUCUUUGUCUUCAGGACAUUGAAUAUUUCUUCUGCCCUUUCAUCCUCACUCCUACCUUCCCAUUUAUCUUGGGGAAUCUCCACUUUAUUGAAAAGAACUCGCUGAACCUUUUCCACAUUGGCUGGUCUGGACACAGUCACCCAAAUCACUGCAUCAAAUUCAAGCCUGGUUUUGAGGAGCUCAUUGUUGAUCCUGGUCAAGAGGGUGGUUUUGCCCACACCCCCCAUUCCAUAUAAUCCGAUACUGCUUACCUGCUCUCCACCAUCUUGGAGCCAUUUCCAGACCUUCCCAAACAACAAAUCUUGGCCCACAGUCUUUUCAAGCUGCCUCUCCAUCACGGGAGGACUAGGCAAAGGUUCAGCAACUACACUGAAAUUUGAGCCCUCCGUCUUUUUGACCGUCACAGCAUCCAUCUUUUCAAGUACCAUCUUGCCAAGAUUGUAGCUAGCGCCACAGUUUUUAGGAUAACAGGUUCCGAGACAUUUCUUCUGGAUUUCUUCGUCUCCUUUCGCCAAUAUUUCCUCCACUUCUUUUUCUAUGGCUUCUACUCCGCGAAGCCAGCCAUCAACUACACGAAGACGCUUCUUCUGACGUUUCUCUUCACGUUCCACCCUUUCCUUCACAUCUUCGUACAGGUUCUUGAGUUCCUCCAUUUCAGUUCUCAAAGAGUUGAGAUUUUGUGGGAGAUGACGGAUGUAAACAGGACGCUUAGCGGCGCUAUCCCAUAAGCGAGUGGCGACAUCCAGGAUGGGUCUUACACAAUCCAUGGAGAAAACAAGGAUUGGGAUUCAAAGCCAAGAAAAAUAGAAGAUGAGUAAGGAGAAAAGUCGUAAUGAAAUGUCACCUCUCUUUUUUUCAAGUAAAGACUGAGAAAUCAGUGUGUGAUCAAUAAUUAUAAUGGGUGAGAUUGUGGUUGGAAGAUUGAAUGGUAUAAAAUGCUGAAUUCAUAAUGCCGACACUGUCAGUGUCCUCUAUACAGACUGUCAAGUUCUGUAAAGAUUAAUUUAAGGCCCCACCACAUCUGAUAUUUACCCUUCUUUGAACAUGUAAAUUUGAGAGGGUGCUCCAAUAUGAUAUUUGUUUGGAUAAGAGGACUAUUUUACCCCAAAAAAAUAAGUAAAAUGCACUUCACUCUCAUUUAUGUUGGUAGGGUGAGAUCCAUUGUCAAGCCUUUCAUCUAUUCAUAUUGGUUUCUCUUCUCCUUUCGUAUCAGUAGAAGAUCAUGAGAAAGAAAGUCCUCUCUUUAUAGCCUUUUCUGAAAUAAAUUAUCAACAAGUAAUUGACUUGUCAACUCUAGCUGCCAAUAAGUUAAUUGGAUAGCUAUCACUUUAUUUAUGAAGAAGAGAACACUUGGAUUUAUUUGUUUACCGACUUAUUGUUUCCUUAAAAGCUAUCAUUCUUUUCUUGAUGCAUUAAAUUUUCAUUUGCAUAUUUUUUAGUGCACCUUUGUGAUUCGUCUUGACCUUGAGUUGUAUUUGAGUCAUUGUUGAGCUAGGUUGAGAGAUUCAAACUUAUUAUUUGAGUAUUAAAACCUUCAAUUGAGUAGAGACUUGAAGAGAUUAUGUAGGAAUCCAUUGGAGUCGGAAUCCAAGUGUAAAAGUGAUUAGAUGUUUGGUUGAAACUUCAAGUACAGUGGAACCCUCACUCGAUUAGGAGCUUGAAGAGAGUGGAUGUAAGCAAGGAAGUGCUGAACCACUAUAAAAUCUGAGUUUGCUUUCUUUAAUCUUAUCUCUUUAUAUUUGUGCUUCUUGUGCUUAAAUUUGUUGUGUUUGAAUUUAUUUUUUUUAAACUCCAAUUCACCCCCCUUCCCCCUCUUGGGUGUUUUCUCUAUUAAGGUUAACCUUUAUUUUCUCAAUUGAUAUCAGAGUUAGACCUCUUGUUUAGGACUUAAUUGUCUAAAAAGAAAUGGUGAAUCCAUCAAGCUCAUCUCACAUUGAAAGUUUUGCAACCAAUAAACCUCCAUUUUUUACGGGAACCGAUUAUCCAUAUUAGAAAACUAAAAUGACUUGGUUUUUACAAUCAAUCAAUUUAGACGUAUGGGAUGUCAUUGAAGAUGACCCAAAUUUUCCUUCAAAACUAGUUGAUGGAGUCUGGUUCCAAAACCCAAGUAAGAAUGAGAUGAGUGUGAUAAAAGAAACUUCCAAUUAAAUGCUAAGACCGUUUAUACUUUGCAAUUUUCUAUGGAUAGAAAUGAAUAUGAUAGUUAUGUUUUAUAUAUUAUGCUUAUUUUUUCUUUAUUUCUUGUUCUUUUAAUUUUCUCACGUCUUUCAAGAUUGAAAAACAACCUUGUAUUAAACAUUAAAUAGUUAAGGAAAAAAUGUUUGGUUUUAUAUUAAAAAAAUAAAAAAUAUCAAAUAUAAUUAAAAUUACUUAAAAAUUUUAAAAUUAUUUUAUCUUUAUAUAACAUAUUUGAAAUAUAUAAAAUAGGUUUGAAAUAUGAUAAAAAAUAAUUUAUUAAAUUUAAAUAUUUUUAUUUCUUCUAUUUUGUCUUUCUAUUUUCUUUGUAUCACAUUUUCCCUUCAAUAUUUUGAAAACUAAUCAUUGUUUGGAAUUACAAAAUUAGUCAAGAUCAAAUAUUGUCAAAAGCAAAAUGUGUGGAUGACAUAAAGCUUAUAUGAUUAAUUGAUCCAUAAAUUUUACAAAUUAUUAAAAAAUUUAUUAAAUACGACUCAUCAAUUUUUGUGGAAAUGAAUAACCUAACUGAAAAUCCAACUAAAUGGUAAACUGAUGAGAUGUGUUAAAUAUAUAUAUAAAUAACUUAUAUACUGUCAAUUUGAUGAAAAAAUAGUUUUUUUUUUUUUUUGGUAAAAUUAAAAGAUAUAGUUGAAAUAUUUCUACUAGAUAACAAGAGAAAAAAGUUAUGAAAUACAAGGGAGAUUUGGACUGAUGGAGAAAAAAAUCAUCAUUCAUGAUAUAGGUAUUGAGGGGAAGGAAGAGAAUUAUAUAACCAUAUAUGGGUUUCUUUUUUGUUUGUUUUUUUUUUUUUCUCAUAUUACACCAGCACUUUAUAUUGAAUUUUUCUUUUUUAAAUAUAGCGAGUGAAUAAAUUAGAAUUUUUAUUAAAACAAUAGUCUCUUUCUCUCUCUACAUAUAUAUAUAUAUAUAUAUAAGAUAUAAAUUUUGUUGGGUGUAAUGAUGCUACUCUUAAAUCGGAAGAUAGGUUAUUCAAACAAUAGUUUUUAGGACAAAUAAUAUUUGACUAAUCUUCAUUAAUUUGUCUUUAGAUGAAAUAGUCAAAAUACCUACAAUAAACUUCAUAUUGAAAGUUUCAAAUUCAAGAUUCAUCAAAAUGAGUUCAUAUUUAGGUUAUUGAAGACAAAAUCAUAAUGAAAUAUCAUCUUUUUUUUCAAUUAGAAGACUGAGAAAUCAGUGUAUAUAUCCAAUGGGUGAGACAUUGAAUGCUAUAAAAAAUUCAUAUAUUGAAUAUAUAAUGCCGGCCAAUAAUAUCAUUGUCUUCUAUACGGACUGUCAAGCUCCAUAAAGAUUGAUAUAAGGCUCCACCACUUUCAAUAUUUUCCCUUUUUUUCUUCCUUUGUGUUUCCAUCAAUCAAGCUCAGUAAGCUUUUCUCAUUUCCUUUUUCUCUUCAGCGGGAAUCUUUUUCUUCCAACACAAAUAUGAAUUUAUAUAUAUAUAUAUAUAUAUUGUCUUCUGUACAGACUAUCAAGCUAUAAUGAUUAAUAUAAGGCUCCACCACUUUUGACAUUUUCCCUUCUUUUCUUUCCUUGUGUUUCCAUCAAUCAAGCUUAGUAAGCUUUUUUCAUUUCCUCUUUUUCUCUAUAUAUGUAUGUAUAUAUAAUUUCAAUUUAAUUUCAGCCAAAAGUGGCAUUUUAUUUGGCCAAAUAAUAUCGAUUGUGGGUUCCAUUUAGACCCUUUUGUCCAGGUGGAUGCCAUGACUUUUUAUUUUGUACUUUUAAUUUUCAUAAAAAAAUUAAUGGUUUGUCUUAAAAAAACAAGUCUUAAAACUAAUGGUUUACCUUAAAUGUCUUUUGAUAAGAAGAUUUUUAAAGUAACAAUUAUAAAGAUAAAUCAAAAUAAAGGAAAAUUAAGAAAAAAAAAAAAAGAAGACCUUAAAGAGAAGAUCAAUUAAAAUCAUUUGUCUAGAAUCUCUUUGUAAUGUUGUUGAUACACUAGGUUCAUAUUGCAUUACAUUUUUAUUAAAAAACCUAAAAUUAUGUAAGUGUUUAAAUUGAUUUUAUUCUUUUAUAAAUUGGAUGAAAAGUAUUUUUAAAUGAAAACCACCUUUGUUUACUACUAUUCAUAAUUAAAAAGGUUCUCAAAAUGACAAGGUAUUUAUCUAGCCAAGUUCCCUUAAAUAUUUUGUGGUAAAGAUACAAAAACUAUGGAGUUUAUUUCUACAUCUUAUAGCAUUUUUUUAUAAAAAGUAAGAUUGAUUGUUUCAAGGAUAAAAACUAAUAUUUUGACAUAUAUUUCAUCAUUAAAAGGGUUUUCAAUCUUAAGUUUUCAUAUUGAAAUAAUCUAGGUCAUUAAAGAUCAUUUGUGUAUUGAUUUCCUAUAUUUUGUGUAUGUUUGACUAGGGUAUGACCAAAGUGGCUCAACUAAUUACUAUUCAACCGACUCAACUGGUUAUCAUUCACUAAACCAAUUAAGACUAUUCACUCAAUCGGUUGAGGAUUGAUUCAAUUGAUAACCGAUUGAUUGAACUCUUGUAACCUAAUAGUCACUUUUUGUGCCUUCUGCCACCCAACUGCUAGUAGACAGUUUGAUUGGUUAGUUGACUUAUUGACCCCAAACCAUGCCUAACGACUAGUUUGAAUUUUGAACUCCUAUUUAAAUGCUCCAAACUUAUUGUUUUAAAAAAAAGAAGAGUUCCAAAUUAUUAUUCAAUCAUCUUUUGAGUCAUAUGAAAAUCUUUUGAGUGCAUUAAGCUUAGCUUGCAUUCCAUUCUUAGUGUAUAUCUCAAUCCAAGUUUCCUUGUAUUCAUUGAGCAAAAAAUUGUAAACUAGGAAAUUGUAUUGAAAAAUUCAUUUUUUGUAAACCUUGUGAGGUGAGCUCAAGUAUGGGGUAUUGCUUGAGAGGAAAAUCUAAAUGUGAGAUAUUACUUGGGAUUUGCCAAGUGUGAGGUAUCACUUGUGGAGUUCAAAAGUGAGGCAUCUCUUGGGGAAUAUUGUAAAUUCUUGUGCUAGUGGAAGCUUUAAUGAAACCAAUAUUAGUUGAAAAACACAAAAAUAAAAUAAUCCACACAGCUACAUGAGGUUUUAAUAUGGUUUGACCAACCAUGCCUAUAUCCACGAAUGAGAGAGAAUCAUUUCACUAUAUCAUAAAGAGUAUUACAAAGGAUAGAAACCAGAUAUAAUUAUUAAAUUCCCAAAACAUCCCAUAUUUUCCCAUUCCUUGUAUCUACACCUUGAAUCACGAGCCCCUCACUUCUUCUCGUAUCUCUAUCCACCUUGUAUAUAUUUAGUCUUUACGAGCAUAUCUCCAUCUCAUAACUUUUACCUUUCAUGACUUAACAUAUUUAUAAAGAUAUUACUAAUAAUUUUCCUCAAACUUUAUAAGGAAAAAAUUUAUAAAAAUAUUCUCUAUUUUAAUGUCCAUUAAAAAAUUGAAGGAAAUAAAAUAAAAUAAUACAAAAAUACACUUUCCUUAAACUUUACUCAUCUUUAUAUAAGGAAAAUGGUGAGGAUAACCAUUUAGCAUUUUCCUACUCUUUUGCUUAAUAUUUUUUCAUCACCUUUUUUGUUAAUAUUUUUAUUUCAUUUUUUAGUACUUUCUAAGAACUAAAUAUAAUCUUAGUUAUCAUAAUUUUUAUAUUUAAAAGGUCUAUGCAUUUCUGGUAUAGUGUAAUGCAUGUAAAACCUUAGUUAUAUUACAAAAAGGACUUGCAUGCAUUAAUCACAACAAGAAAAGCAAGAUAUGGUCACAUAAUUUUAUGAGGGGCCAACAAAAUCCACAAUGAAAGAGUAUAUAUAACCUCACAACUAUUUGAGCCACAACAGUAGGAAUGCUCUCGCCAAGCUUAUAGUUUUGGGAUUAAUUGGAUGCAACUAUAUAACCUCCUAUUGUUGUGGGAUAAAAUUGAUUGCUAUCAUAUAUGGCCAAUGAAUGCAAGUUGGUUGCUACCAUAAAACCAAUACGUAAAUUGCCUACCAUUUCUCUCCUACUCAUCCUUGAUUACUGAACUCAUUUCUUUUUUCAUCAUUGUCGAUGCCAAUGCGAGAUUAAUAUUUAAACAUGAACUAUUUUUUUCUUAGUCAUCACUCAUUGUGGGAUGCAACUCGGUAUUUUUUUUAUUCACACAUUGUCCUUUCAUUAUUGUCAUUUUAUUUUAUUACGAUUUCACUCUCACAUUUUCUACCCUCGGGUUUUUUUAGGGUUUUGAAUUGCUAGGGUUUCGAGUUAUUAGAGGAUUUGAAGGCUUUUCAAGUAUGACUUCUCCAUAUUUUUUUUCUCUUUGCUAGAGUUUUCUAGUUGAUUUCUCCUUUUUCCAUCUUUUGGUUUUAUUCCUCCUCACAUUCUCUGAUAUUAUAGCUUUCUAGAUUUUUUUUAUUUAAUUUUUCUAUGAAAAUGUGAGAGGUGAUUGAUGCAUAGGGAGAUAUAGAUUUCAUAAAACUGUGGAAAAAUAUAUAGCUCUAUUUCCCAAAUGACACCUCCCUUAUUUCCCUAAAGAAGGUUGUGAAAGCUGAAGCAGAUAAGAAGAAUAGAGAGGGAAGGGUCCGAUGAAAGGGCCAUCAACCAUGCAUGGAAUGAUAAAACUUGAGAAGAGCAAGUCGUGUAUUUGAGGGGUGAGGGGUUAGUAUUCUCCAUCCUUGCUUUAGCCAUAUGUUUUUUCUUUGUCCUAUUUGGUUCUAGAUAUUAUUUUUACUAUGAAAUACCUCUAAUGUAGUAGAAAUAUUCCUACUUAGCUUAACUAGUUGCAUUAAAUUCAAACAUCACAAUGACUUUGAGAAUGUGGAGUCAUAGUUAGGUGGUGGAGUUGUUAGCUUAAAUGAUGUAAUUCAUUGAAAAAGGAAAAUAGAAGAAAAAAAAACACAUAAAAAACUUGAUACUUUUGAAAAGGCUACAAAAUAACUAAUCAGUCCAACAUUGAAUUCAUAACUUUUGAAGAGGUGCAACUGAAACAAAUAGGUAGUAAAGAUGUACAAAUUGAACAAAUAACCCUUAAAAGACACAUUGAACAAAUAAUCCCUAAAGAGGUACAAUUUGAGAAAAUAGCCCUUUACUUCACUAGGGUUUUCCUCAGGGGUAUUUCCUAAUUCUGAGAUAAGUGUUAAUAAAAUAUGAGAAUUUAUUAUAUUAUGAAAACUUGUAAAUAAUCAUCUAUAUUGAUAUACAUCUCUUUAUAACUUGUAAAUAAUUCUUUAAGAGUAUUUCCGUUUCUUCUUCUUGUAAUUCUUUUAUUCCAUAACAAAAGUUAUGCUUUAUAUAUUAUUCUAUAAAAAAAAAUAUUUUUUUUAUUUGUUCUUUUGAUAAGACCAAUCACUUUCCCACAUAUCUUAAAAUAGCCUUGCAUCAAGCAUAGAUUAGCUAAAAUAGUAAAAUAAUAGGUAUAAUAUAUUCAUAUCACUAUGGUAAAAUGUUUGGUUUUACAUUACAAAAAUAUAAAAAAAUCAAAUAUAAUUAAAAAGUGAUGUAUUUUAAAACUAUUUAAUCUUUAUAUAAAAUUCUUAAAAUACAUAAAAAAAAAUCAAGUUUGAAAUAACAUAUAAAAAUAUUUUAUUGGUUUUACAUCUUUUUUUUUAACACUAAUCCAAAAUAAUAAGUAGUUGAAACUAAACCGUGCUCAGUUGAGGGUUGGUCUUAAUCUACCGCACAAAUUUGUACGGUGGGUGGCUGUGAUUUGUGAAUAAUCAAGGCACUUAAAAGAGGUUCUUGAUCUCUCUCCAGACUAUUCUCUUUCUGUCAAAAGCAGGAAUAUAAAGUUUUUGAAAUUCUGCAUGCAUGCGCACAAGGAUGUUACCUCUGUUACUCAACCAUGGUUUUUAUCUAAGUGCAGGACUAAUAAAAAAAUUUGGUAAGAUCUAUAAUUUGGAUAAUUACAGAGGUUAGAAACUUAGGACUAAUAAAAAAAAUCAAAGCACUUCCUCUUUUUUUUUUCUCUUUAUGUUAGGAACUUAGGACCAAACGUCAGGUUCAAAUCUUCCUGUACUGAGGUUAGAAAUCUUGCCAAGAAGCCUACAAUUUUGAAGGUUGGGCUUAAGAUUUUGGAUUGGAACUUUCAUAUAUCUUCAAUGGCAUCACUGAGUAUGGUGCUUAAGCCAAAGUCAUUUCUGGAUCAACUUCUACUUUUUACAAUCCUAUCAAAUUAGAGAGAGAACGGUCUUGUGCACUAGGGCAAAUAAUACACAUGGCCCCCAUUCAAUCAAUUUCAUAGUUCUAAGAUUUAAAAUUCCAAUUUAUUUUCUUUUUUCUUUACAUUAAUUUUCUCAACAAAUAAGCAGUUUAUCAUCUUCUAGUGCUUUUAUGAAAUCAACCAAAACCUCAAACAGAGCACCUACAAAACCACAAAAAAAGAAAGGGAAAAAAUGAAAAACUGCCCAUUCAAGCUUCUUUUCAUUACAAAAGCGUUGAAUCCAUAUUUAUCAUCAUCUUCAAGUUUUGUGGUACAGGCUGACAAGAUACUAAUAAAAGUGAAACAGAAGCAGCCGACUCUCAACUACAAUUGUUUCUUGCUUUACCUCCAAGAACUGAGUCUCAAUGGGCAGUUUGCAUCUAAGCUUGUGAUGCCCUAUACACGUCAAAGCUAAUUUAUGCUGUGAAUUAGAGCAGAUUUGCGGUGGAAAUCAGAGCUUGGAGCUCAGGUUUGUAGACAUGGAAGAUCAUGUGUUUUAAAUUAUUUUUAUAGUCAUUAUAUAUACUUUUUCAGUUUUAAAUUAUUUUUUAAAAUUAUUAAACUUAUUGAUAAAUUCAAUAUAAAGUCUCACUUGAUUUGAAAUUCAUUGCCUCUAAUGAAAUAAGAUUAGGAGAACAAUUCUCUCUUUUACUUUAUUUUUAAAAAUUAUUUCUAAAAAACAACAACCAAAUGAUGGUAUAAAUUUUUAAAAACGAUUUUGUUUUUAAAUUGCAUGCCCAAAUAGGUUUAUAUUAUUUAGCAAAAAAAAAAAAAAAAAAAACUCCCAAUGAUUUUUUUAAAUAAAAAAAAUUUAUUUUAAACCAUAUGUCCGAAUAUUAUUGACAUUUUUUUUUUCAUUUUUAUUCCCAUUUUCACUUAACAUUUAAAUGAAACAAAUCAUCAUUCCAAUCUUAUAUUCUUACAUGGAUCCAAACACAAGAAUUGAAAUUACUAAAAUUAUUUCUAUUUGACAAGAAAUAGGAGUGGACACAAAAGAUUCAUUCCCAUUUCUGAUUCUCAUGUGCCAAACAUGUCCUUAGGAUAGCGGCUAAUAAAUUAUUGCAACUAUGUGUUUUCCUAGGAAUUUUUUCCACAUGUACCAACACCUUUAGACACUAGUGGAGCAAGUGGGUAGCCAUAUAUUUUUUUGACUAAACCUACAUGAUAUCUCUCUUUUCUUAUAGUGAGUGGUUUGAAUUAAUGGUGAAGAGGAUGAUAUGUCGAGCUUCUGCAUAAGGAGAUCAGUGGAAAUGAGGCCCGUAAACUGAAGAUUAAAUGAUUAAAGUGAGAGAUGGGAGAAAGAAAAAAAAAAUGAUAAUGGUUGCCAAACAAUCUUUACAGUGCGCGAGAAUAAAGUAGUGUCUAUUUUUGCAUUUUUCUCUAAGAAUAUUUCCAUGAGUUCCAAGCACUGAAGAAUCUAAUUAUAUGAAUGAAGUAUGUAUGUAGAGUGAGAAACUAAAUAUAAUUAAAAUACUUGAAAAGUUAAAAAUAAUAUUUCAAAUAGAAAAUAAAAUAAUAUCUUGAGAGGUCGACUCAAAUACAAUACAAUUAUAUAUAAAAGGAAGGGAAAGAAAAUGAAUUACCUAUAAUGGGGCGAAUGGGGGCUCAAGCCCUUGAUAUGAGCUUCGUAUAUAAGGGUCGGAAAAUAUGGGAGUGAGGUUGUGGACAAUGGUUUGAUCCUCCCACUCCAAACCAGCCCACCAUUUUUGUUCUCCCUCGAUUUUCUCUAAUUUCUUGCUCAUUCCAGUGUUUGAAUCAAAUGGCAGCUUCUUCAAAUUUGAACAGGAAACCACACUGAUAUAUCUUAAAGAUGGAAAGGGUAGGGGGCAUCCACAUAUAUUCCUUAGAUUUGGCAGACUAGAUAAAGUGAGAGAUAUGAGCCUUGAGAACACACUUGAAUCUUGUUCAAUUUCUGAAACUUCACUCUUUUCAUCUUCUAUCACUUUUUCCGUUAUACAGUCUUCAACAUUUAGAAAUUGAAGUUUUGGAGCAUGAAUAAGCCAGUUCAAGUUCAACAAUUUUCGACAUUCACAUAUAUGGACACUAUGAAGGUGGUUCAAGUGUUGUUGCCGUGGGAAUUUUGAAGGGACCACUUCCUUUUCAAAAAUCAUUUCCACAUCUUCCAAUUCAAGACAAAAAUUCAGCUCAAGAUUCUGUACACAAGGGGAUAGUUGGACCAGGUUCAUACCUUUGCAGCCACAUAACACUAGCCAUCUUGUGGACCUUUGCAACUUGUGGGAAUUGAAUAAUAUUUUGGUGGACAAGACUCUUGUAAGGAAGAUGGAGAUAUCAUUAAUGUGUUCCAACUGCUCUAACUCCUUUAACAGUGCUAUCUGAUCUCCCUCAGGCGGUGAGGAUUGCAUGCCGAACAAUUGCAAAGAGGAAAGACUCGAUACCAUUUGAGGUGGAAGUGACUUGAGUGAAUACAUAUAAUUUAGUAUCAAAUACCUCAAUUUUUUCAAAUUCUUGAGCUCCACUGGUAAGUAUUCUAUACUUGUAUUUGACAAAUUAAGAUAUUGCAAGGUUACUAAGUUGCCAAUCUCUGCAGGUAACUCCAUAAGUCAAUUAUUGUUUGACAAGUCCAAAACUCUUAUGAUAGGCAUGUUUGUAAAGAAUCCAUUUGGAAAUGACUCAAUAGACUGAUGUGAAGCCAAAAAGGUCUCAGUAUUUGGGAAAUAUGGUGGUUCCCUAAGUUCUUCAAUGCUACUACCCCACAAGGAUAUCCUUUGUGUGUUUCUCCAUUCUUUAACUUCAUGAGCUCUGAUCAAUUCAACUCUAUAUUCUACCACGAAUUUGUUCUUCUUCUUCCCCUUUUCACAAGCUAACCAUAGAGCCAUAUCAUGAAUCACAUCAUGCAUCUUCAAAUAUUCUUCUUCUAUGAAUGGAGGUGUGCCAUUCUCGACAUGCAUCUUUUAAGCUUUCAAUAAUUUCUUGUCCUUGGAUCCUGUCACAUUCAUCCAAAAUCCCCUCCCCGAUCCAAAGUCCUAUAAGAUCUCGAGAAGAGAUUCCAUAAUCCUCCGGAAGUAAAGAGCAAUACAGGAAACACGAUUUGAUGGCUUCAUCGGGUAGGCUAUCAUAACUAAACGCUAAUACUCGAAAUAAAUCAUUCUCCAUACCUAGAACCUUGUCCGGAUAUUCCCUCAACCUUUGCAUUUUUCUCUCCCAUUCUUCUGGUGUUUUUGCCCGAGCCAUUGCUCGGGCUAUGACAACGAGGGCGAGCGGCAGGCCUUUGCAUUCUUUGGCAACGAUUUCGGACAGCUUUGGUAUAUCUGGAUGAGAAUUUAAAGUGUCGUCUCCUACCUUGGCCUGGAACAGAGAUAAGGCUUCCGCCUCUUUCAAGCACUCCACUUUAAUGCUCUUCUGUGCUUCCAUGUAGCCACACACAUCUGCAGAUCGUGUUGUGAACACUAUCUUGGACUUUUUAAUUCGAUCACUCAAAGGAGGAAUUCCCACUUGCAAGAGAUUAAAGGGCUCCCAUAUAUCAUCUAACAAGAGCACAAAUUUCUUGGUUUUCAAGACCCUGUAUAUUUCUGCAGCCAUCUCAUCCUCGCUCCUAUUUUUCCAUCUGUCAUCGGGAAUCUGGAGUCUACUCAGAAGUGUUUCCUGGAUCUUCCGCAAGUUUGUUGGUUUGGAGAUGACAACCCAUAUCACAAUAUCAAAGUUAUUAUUGGGUGUGAGGAACUUGUUAUUGAUUUUCUUCAAGAGGGUGGUUUUCCCCACAUCCCCCAUUCCGUAAAUUCCAAUAGUCCCCACUUGUUCGUCUUGGAGCAAUCUCCAGACCUCAUGAAAAGGUGAAUCUAAGCCUACAGGCUUCUCCAAUGGCAUCUCAAUCACCUGAGAAAAACGCAAAGGGACAGCCACUUCUUGAAAAUUAUUUCCUUCGGUUUGUAGUGCAGCCACAGCAUCCAUCUUCUCCUGUACGAUUUUCGCAAGCUUGUAGGUGGCGCGACAGUUUCUGGGACAACAGGUUCCGAGACAUUUCUUCUGGAUUUCUUCAUCACCUUUUGCCAGUAAUUCGUUCACUUCUUUUUCCAUGGCUUCUGCUCUCUGAAUCCAUCUAUCCACAACAUGUGUACGCUUCUUCUCAAGACUCUCUUCACGUUCCACCCUUUCCUUCACAUCUUCAUAGAGGUUCUUGAGUUCCUCCAUUGCACUUCUCAAAGAGUUGAGAUUUUGUGGGAGACGACGGACUUUAACAGCACGAUGGCCAACGCAAUUGCAGAUGAGAGAGGCAACAUCCAAGACUGGGCUCACAAAAUCCAUGGCAAAAUUCAGGGGUUGGAAUUCAAAGCAAAGAAGAAAUUAAUCAAAGUAAUAAGACAGGUGAUGGAUUGGAGUUGGAGAGGUGGAGAGAAGAAUUCUGGACUUAUGUUUGUUGUGUACAAAACCCAGAAAAGUUGAAGCUGAGUAAUAAUGAAAUAUCACCUCUCUUUUCUCAAGUAAAAGACUGAGAAAUCAGUGUAUAAUGUAUAAUGUCCACUGUGUGAGACUGUGGUUGGAGGAUUGAAUGGUCUAAAAAUCUGAUGUACUGACUACAUUAGGGUCCACCACUUCCACUUUUCAUAUUUUCCCAUUCUUUUCUUCCUUUUGUGUUUCUAUCAAUCAAGCUUAGCAAAGGGUCCACAGCUCUUUUGCUUUCAUGGGAAUCUUUUUCUUCCAACACAAGUAUGAAUUCAUUUAGACAUAAAGUUUGUGUGUACUGGUUUGUAACUUUAAAACUGUAUGUAGUAGUGCAUAUAAUUCUUCAUCUGUUUUAUUGUUUUUGAAAUAUAAUUCUUUUCUCUUGGUGGGUUGAGAUCCAUUUUAUUAGUAAUUUAGGAAUUUAUUAAUUUAUUAGUUUUCUUUCAUCAUCUCCAAUACAAAUUUAUUAGGAAUUUAGGAAAUUUUCGAUAAUCGUAUUCCAAGUUUCAAAUUAUCAACCAUGAGUACAUGAGCGGAGAAGAAUUAAUUGGUUUAUGAAUUUUUGAUAAUAUAAAUAAACAAAAUUUUGUUUAUUUACUUUUGGAAAACUAAUUUUUAUUUAUUUGAAAAAUGAAUAUAUUCAAAUUAGUAAAUUACUCAUUAUAACCAAGUUUCUAAUUACAAGAAAAAAGACCAACCUUGACUAUUAUGGACACCGCCGAGCAAACCAAACUAGAAGAUUUUCCCCCUCCAAAAAAAUAUAAAUUUAAUUGAUAAAAUUUUUAAAAAUAUAAAAUAAUGAUAACUAAAUGUUAUUACCAAAAUUAAUAUUUACUAUUAAUUACUAAUAGUAUAUUGAGAUUGAACUAAAAUUUUUUUUUUUUUAAAAUCUUAUUUAAUAUUAUUCAUAUUUAUUUUUUCUUAUUCAUUCAAUAUUUUUCCUUUUUAUACUUUUUUUUUUUUUUUAUGAUUGGUUUAACUAAAAUAUGAAAAAUAAUGCUUGCUAAGUUCUUAUUAACUAUUUAUAUUUCUACUUAGAAGUAAGAAUAUAACGUGAGUCCAUCAAAAUCUUAUCAUUAAGUUACUAGUGUUUUAGUGAUUUAUUAUAUGAAACAUAAAUUUUAAAUUUUAAGUAAAAGACUUUACUUUCAACUAUCUUACAUUUAAUUAUUUAAAAAAUGAGAAAAAUUAAGGUAUUGAUUUGGUAUUUAUGAAAAUCUUAAUCUCCACUUUUGAUAUUACAUAGAAAAAUCUAGACCUUUGCAUGUAAGUACAACAAAUGAGAUAAAAUUGUAAGACAAUGAGAUCUAAAGCUAUACAGUUCUUCUAUUUGAAAAAUAUCAAAAUUUAUAACAAAAAUUAUUGAAUUCUUUAAAAUAAUUUUAAAGGUUUUUGAUACAAAAUGAUUUAAAUUAUUGAAAAUUUUAGUGAGUUUUCUUUCUAUUUUUUUAAAUUCUUUUGAAAAUUUCCUUUAAAUAUUUUUGCUAAUUUUUUAUAUAAAAUCUAAAACUUUUUUUAAGUGUUAUUAGUAUCAUGAUUGUUCAAUUUGAUACAUUUUUAUAAUUAAUAUUUAAAAUUAUUUAAUUUUUAAAUAAUAAUAUAAAAUUCUAUUAAUUACCUUACAAUUUUUAAAUAAUGACUAUAAUAUAUUAUUUUUCUUCAAUGCCCUCGCGACAAAAGUCUUUGGCUCCGCCACUUAUUGUGGAAUAGGGUAAACAUUAAUGAGUUCACCAUACUAGAAUUCUCAUUUCUCAAUAGGAAAAUAAAUAAAGAAAAAAAAAAAAUCAAAUGCACAACCAAUUAAAUAUCAAAUUUAUCCUUAACUCAGGUUCGGGUUUGAACCUCUCACUAUCCCAACAAAAUUGUUAUUUUGUACACCCGUAUAUUUUAUUUGCAACCCUGCUUGAUGACUAAAUUAUCACCUAUCAGGAAAAUACUUUUUAAUGGUCAAUUAUGUGUUUUCUCUUUUCAUUAUAAAAUUUUUUAUUAGUAUUAAUGGUUAAUUAUCUUCUAUUCACGGAUAUAAACAUGAUUAGUUGAACGUGCUUUUUUUAUAUUCACAUUUAUUUUUGUUUGUAUGUUAUUACACCAAUACUUAAUAUUGUAAUUUUUUUUAAUAUAACAAAUAUAUACAUAUAUAUACUCAAAUUACAUAUCCAAAAUUCAAAAUGAGUUCACAUUUGGGUUAUGGAAGAAAAAAAUUCUAAAAAAAAUGAGCAAAGAAACUGUGGACCCUUUACAAAGUUUGAUGGUUCAUAAAGGAAGAAAAAAAUAAAGAUAUACUCAAAUUACAUAUUCAAAAUACAAAAUGAGUUCACAUUUGGGUUAUGGAAGAAAAAAAAAAUUCUAAAAAAAAUAAGCAAAGACAUCCCUUUACAAAGUUUGGUGGUUCACAAAGAAAAGAAGAACCAAAAAUGUGGAAUCUCAGGUAACAUUGUUUAAGACAUUGAUUGACAUCAUAUAUCAUUGUCUUUUAAUCAUAUCAUUGUUAAAUAUGGGGCAACAUUCAUGACUUAUGACCUAUAUAAAGAGCGGUUUUUCAUUUUUUCAUUUUUUUCUUUUUUUGUAAAAUAUAAUAUUCUAAAUAACAAUUAUUAAUAAUAUUUUACAAAAAGAAUAUUUAGAUGAUCAUUUGUACUUAAAUCUUUAUUUUAUUUUAUUUAAAAUUUUUUUUUAAGAGGGUAUUUGGAUCUUCUUAGCAACUCAAAUUAGUGAAACUGGUGAUGGAUAGGAGUUGGAGAGGUGAAGAGAAGAAUAUUUUCCCAGAAAAGAUGAUAAUGAAUGGAGAGUAAAGCAAUAAUGGCAUUGUCUUCCAUACAGAUGUCAAGCUCUGUAAAGAUGAAUAUCAGGCCGCCACACCACUUCUGAUAUGAUAUUUUCCCAUUAUUUUCCUCCUUAGUGUUUCCAUCAAUCAAGCUUAGUAAAGGGGCCACAGCUUUUCUGGUUUUCUCUUUUCCUUUAAUGGGAAUCUUUUUCUUCCAACAUAAAUAUGAAUUCAUUUACAUAAAAAGUGGGUAUGUACGCUUGUAAUUUUAAAACCGUAAGUAGUAGUGCAUAUAAUUCUUCAUCUGUUCUACCGUUUUAGAAAUAUAAUUCUUUUUUCUUGAUAGCUUGAGAUCCAUUUUAUUAGUAAUUUAUUAGGUUUCUUUCUUCGUUCCGAACAUGAAUUUAUUAGGAAUUUAGGGAUUUUUCCGUAAUCCCAUUCUAAAAAUUUUGGAUUAUCAACCAUGGGUACAUGAGCGGAGGAGAAUUAAUUGGUUUUUAAAUAUUUUUGAUGAUAUACAUAAACAAAAUUUUGUUUAUUUAUUUUUGGAGAAGUAAUUUUUAUUUAUUGAAAAUUUGAUUUUUAUUUAUUUGAAAAAUGAGGAUAUUCAAAUUGUUUUAUUAUAAAGAUAAAAUUGCAACCUCUCUCUUUUAAUUAGGAUAAGAGAAUAUAAAAUCUUACAAAAUGAUGAGAGCCUUUAUUUGGGAUGAACAAGGGGUGGAAGCCUCCUUUUAUUGCAUAAGAAGCUCUCCCUUUUGUUUUCUAAAUGAGAUGGGAUGACUUCAACCCUGAUAGGAUGCAUUUAAAAAUGUAAGGUUGGAAUGAUUAUUUGUUUAUAUUUCAAUGUUAAGUAACAAUAAAAAAUGAGAAUAAAAAAGAAAUAAGUUGACAAUAAUAUUUAUACACAGUUUAAAAUAAUUUUUAAUUUUUAGCACAUCUAAUAGUGGUUUAAAAUCAUAUUUCUUUUUUACUAUGCAUUGUUAUGUUAAUAGUAAUUAACUCUACAAACAAUGAAAGUCUAAGAAGAAUGAAAGUUCAUUUGUAUAUUUGUAUAUAGGUUUAUUUGAGCACUUAAAAUGGUUAACUUGGAUAUAUUUUUAUGAUAGAGAAUUCUCUAGCUAAGAAGUCUUAUCUUAUGUUUUUGUUUGUACAUUUAUAAUUAUUUUCUCAACGUUAUAUUUGGUUCAUGAUUUUUUUUUUUUAAGGAAAGAAAAUAGUGAGAAAAUUAUAAAGAAAAUUUUUUAUAAAAAUAUUCUCUAUUUUGAUGUCCAUUAAAAAAAUUGAAGGAAAUAAAAUAAAAUAAUUUAGAAAUACACUUUACUCACCUUUAUAUAAGGAAAAUGAUGAGGACAACCAUUUAGCAUUUUCCAAUUCUUUUGCUUAAUAUAUAUUUUUUCAUCGCCUUUUUUCUUAAUAUUUUUAUUUCAUUUUUUAAUAUUUUUUAAGAACUAAAUAUGAUCUUAAUUAUCAUAAUUUUUAUAUUUAAAAGGUAUACCCAUUUUUGGUAUAGCGUGUCAUGUAUGCAAAACCUUAGUUGUAUUACAAAAGGGAUUUGUAUGCAUUAAUAUCACAACAAGAAAAGUGAGAUAUGGUCACAUAGUUUUUUUAAGAGGGGUCAACAAAAUUCACAAUGAAAGAGUGUAUAUAACCUCACUACUAUUUGAGCCACAAUAGUAGGAAUUCUCCCACCAAGCUUAUAGUUCCAGGAUUAAUCGGAUACAACCAUAAAACCUCCUAUUGUUGAGGGAUAAAAUUGGUCGCUAUAAUAUAUGGCCCAAUGAAUGCAAGUUGGUCACUACAAUAAAACCAAUAUAUAAAUUCCCUACCAUUUCUCUUUUGCUCACCCUUGAUUGCUAAACUCAUUUCUUCUUUCAUCAUUGCUAGUCCAAUGUGAGAUUAAUCUUUAAUCAUGAAUUUUUUUUUCUCAAUGAUCACUCAUUGUGGGACGUAGCUUGAUGUUUUUUUAUUCACACAUUGCCCUCGCAUUAUUGUCAAUUUAUUUUAUUUUAUUUUAUUAUGAUUUCACUCUCUCAUUUUCUAUUGUCUAAUUUUCUUGGGUUUUAAAUUGCUAGGUUUCAAGUUAUCAUAGGAUUUGAAGGCUUUUCAAGGAUGACUUCUCCAUCUUUUUCUCUCUUUUCUAGGGUUUUCUACUUGUUUUCUCCUUUUUCCAUUUUUUGGUUUUAUUUCUCUUCAUGUUUUGUGAUUUUCUAGCUUUCUAGUUUUUUUUUUUUUUUUUUUUUUUUAAUUUUUAUAUUAAGUGCGAGAGGUGAUUAUUGCAUAGGGAGAUCUAGAUUUCAUAAAAUUGUGGAAAAGUAUAUAUCUUUGUUUCCCAAACAAAAACUCCUUUGUUUGCCAAAAAGAUGAGGUGAAAGUCGAAGUAGAUAAGAAGACCAUGGAAGGGAGGGGAGGAGGAGGGGGCAAUCAACCAUGUAUAGAAUGAGAAAACUUGAAAAGAGUGGGUUGUGUAUUUGAGGGGUGAGGGGUUAGUAUUCUCUAUACUUACUUUGGCCAUAUGUUUUUUCUUUGUCCUAUUUGGUUCUAGAUAUAUAUAUAUUUUUUAACUAUGAAUUACUUUAAAAAUAUUCCUACCUAGCUUAACUAGUUGUGUUGAAUUCAAACAUUAAAAUGGCUAUGAGAAUGUGGAGUGAUAGGUAAGAUAAGUAGCUAUUAUAACAACAAAUGAACCUAAGGUGCACUUGAAGUGUAGUAGACUUAUCAGCUCAAAUGAUGUAAUUCAUCAAAAAAGGAAAACACUAGAAAAAAAAACACAUAAAAAACUUGAUAAUUUUGAAAAGGCUACAAAAGACUAAUCAGUUCAAAAUUGAGAAACUCAUUACUUUUGGAGAGUUACAAUUGAAACAAAUAGCUACUAAAGACGUACAAAUUGGAUAAAUAACCCCUGAAAGACACAUAUAGAAAUAGCCCCUAAAGAGAUACAAUUUGAACAAAAAGCCCUUUACUUCACUAGGGUUUUUCUUAAUGGGUGUUUUGUAGUUCUGAGAUAUAUUUUUAUGAUCAUCCAAGAUGGAGUGUUAAUAAAAUAUGAGAAUAUGGAAACUUAUGAAUGGUCAUCUAUAUUGAUGUAAAUCUCUUUCAUAACUCUCUAUAAAAAGGAAGACUUAAUGUUGAAAGGAUAUUUAAUUCUCUAAGAGCAUUUCAAUUUUUUCUUCUUGUAAUUCUUCUAUUAUAUAACAAAACUUAUUUUUUUUUUUUGUAUAUUACGUCUAAUUUUCUUUUUUUCUUUAUUAUUUAUUCCUUAACCUUCAAUUUUCCCACAAAUCUUAAAAUAGCCUUGCAUCAAGCAUAGAUCAGCUAAAUAGUAAAAUAAUAGGUAUAAUAUAUUUAUAUCACUAUGGUAUAAACUUAUAGUUUAUGUUUGGUUUUACAUUAAAAAAUAUAAAAUAUAUAUAUAUAACUAAAAUUAGUUAAAAAGUGAUGUAUUUUAAAAUUAUUUCAUCUUUAUAUAAAAGAUUUAAAAUACGUAAAAAAAAAAAAAAAAAAAAAAAAAAAAAAAAAAAAAAAGGACUAAGUUUGAGAUAACAUAUAAAAAUACAAAUCCAAAUUGAUUCCAUUCAUUCUCCUUUUAUUUUGUGAUUUUGCAUUAAAGAAACUCAUCCCAACAACCUCACAAAUAAUGCUUAUGAAAAAAUUAAAUUAAAUUAAAGGCAUAAUGAAGUGAAAAGAGGAACAUACCAAUGAAUGAAGCAUAGAGCAAAGUUCUUGUCUUGAUUUCCGAUUGAUGCUUUUUCCUUGUUUUAGCUCCUUAAACUCUUUCCCUUUCAACUCCACAACAAAAUCCUCUAAAUUUUCACCUUCUCUCCCCCAAUGCUCUCUUGGAUUUAUGAAAAUACUCCCAUUAGUUUCCUAAGAGUCAAGCCUUUUGCUAAUUUUUUUUUCUCUCCCAUGGAUUUUAAUAAUUUUCCAACCUAUACUUUUAGUCAAAUAAUAAAGAGAAAAAAUAAAUCUUGAAUUUAAAAUAAUAAAAAGGUUAUAAAUUCAUUAAAUGUAUUUCAAAAAUAUUUUUAAUUUAAAUUUAACUAUUUUUUACCUUCAAAGUUUUAAUGAGAAAGUGUUUUUAAGCUACCCCAUUGCUUUCUUACUCUAUCUUUCUCUAUUUUCAUCUGUCAACCUUGGAAAAAGACUUGAUUUUGAAUAUCGUCUUUGCUUCCUUAUCUCUCAAUCUUUGUUAAUUAUGUAAUUGUGUAAAUAAUUAAUUUAAGAAGAAAGUUUUUUUUCAUUACUCAUGACAUGAAAUGAUAAAAAUAAAAAUAAAAAAGUAAAAAAGUAAUUAUAUGAAUAGCAUAUGAAAGCUUAAUCUCUUCUUAUGAAGGUAUAUGAUCAUAGUAAUGGAAUGUGAAAUCCAUUCCAUCUUGAACCUGCAUGAGAUUGUUUUAUUACAUGCCAAAAUCUAUUUAUAGCCAAAGAAAAAAAACAGUCUAAACUACUUCUAGGGACGUACCCAUGGGAGCACUUUUUUUUUUCUUUAUGUUAGGACCAAACACGAGUUCAAAUCUUCCUGUAGAGAGGUUGGAAAUCUUGCCAAGAAGCUGACAAUUUUGAAGGCUGGGCUUAGGAUUUUGGAUCGAAACUUUCAUGUAUCUUUAAUGGUAUCACUGGGUAUGAUGCUUAAGACAGAAGCUUUGACAAGAUAACCAGAGCCUAAAGCGCAAGUUUGUAGACAUGGAAGCUCAUGUGCAAUGGAAAAGAUGAAAAUGGUUGGUGAAGAUCCAACAAUGCACUAAUCGAGGCUUGUGGGGAUUGGAGAAGCUUGUCAUGUCUUUCUUUGAGCUUUUGCAUUUUGGUUUUUGAAUUUCGCAGAGAUUAAGGGAUAGUUUCCUGGAAAAGGAGGUUGGAGAAAAAUAGUUGAUGAUGUUGCCAAGCAAUCUUUACAAAUAACAUCUAUUUUUGCAUUUUUUUCUACAAGAAUUUUACUUGGCGGUUGUGCAUAAUCUAAUAGCUCCAUGACUCCUGAGUCCCAAACAAUCUAAUGAAGUGUGUAGAGUGAGAAACUAGGGAGAAAUUAAAUAUAAUCAAAAUUCAUGAAAUGUUAAGAUAAUAUUUCAAAUAGAAAAUAAAAUAAUAUCUUGAGAGACCGACUCAAACAAUCAUAAUGCACAUUUGGACUUAGCCAUAUUUAUAAUAUGAAAAAAAAUUUAAAUACAAUUAUAUAUAAAAAGAAGAAAAAAAGGAUUUUACCUAUAAUGAGACGAAUGCCAUGGGUGCUCAAAUUUCGUCUUGAAUUGUGUGGAUUGAAAAUAUGGAGUGAGGUUGUGCAUAAUGGUUUGGUCCUCCCACUGCAAUUCAUCCUACCAUUUUUUUUCUCCACUGAUUUUCUCUAAUAAUUUCUAGCUCAUUCCAAUGUUGGAAUUAAAUGGUAGCUUCCACAAAUUUAGACAAUUAAACACCUUAAUGUGUCUUAAAGAUGGAAAAGGUAGAGCCCGUCCAUGUAUACUUCUUAGAUUUGGUAGUCAUCUUAAGGUGAGAGAUAUGAGUCUCGAGGAUACACACAAAUGGUCUACUUCAAUUUCUAAAACUUCACUCCUUUCAUCAUCUAUCACUUUUUCCAUUGAUUAACAGAAUUUAACACUUAGAAAUUGAAGACUUGGAGCACAAAUAAGCCUUGUCAAAUUCAACAAUUUAUGACAUCGAAAUAUUUUGACAUCACAAAGGUUGUUCAAGCAUUGGUGCCUUUGGGAAUUUUGAGUAGACCACCAUUUCCUUUUCAAUAUUGAUUUUCACAUCUUGCAAUUCAAAACAAUUUGUAAUACGGAGUGUCUCUAUAUAAAGGGAUAGUUAGACCAGGUUCAUACACUCACAAACUAAUUGUAGAAGGUUCAUCAAUGUGUUCCAACUGCUCUAACUCUUCUAAUAACCUUCUUUCAUCAUCUCCCUUGAAGGUUGACCCUUCUGUGCUAUACAUACUAAACAAUUGCAAAGAGGAAAGACUCGAUACCAUUUGAGAUGAAAGUGACUCAAGUGAAAACAUAUCAUUCAAUAUCAAGCAUGGGUUUGAGACCUCAAAUCUAAAUCUACUAUAUGAGAUCAAGUUACACAAAUUUACCUGGCUACUUAUCUCAAAGGUUUACUUUCUAGUACCUACAACUUGAUCCAUGUCCACGAUACAGUAAUCUCCAAUGCUCUAUUGAAUACUCCCCAGUCUCACUAAAGGGAUGCAAAUCUUCAAACAACCUAAGAUUCAAUAUUUGUCACCUAAUUUACUAUGUUUGAAAUAACAUGUCAAUUUUUGAGCCAAAAUUGACAUUUUAUUUAGCUAAAGAACAUCAAUUGUAAACUUCAUUUGAAACUUCAAUAUAGAUCCCUUUUAUCCAUGCUGACUUUUAUUUUUUAUUUUUUAUUGUUUAUGCCAAACCAUAUUUUUAUAAUGCAUUUCAUUUUUAAAUUGAAGCCAUAUUUCCAAAAUAAGACUUCAAUGCAAAUUUCGAAAAUAUAUUUUUAAUUCAAAAAUAAAACCGCAAUUUUAAAAUGUGUUUCAAUGUAAAAUAUGAAAUUAUUUUUUUGAAAUUACAUGUUGCUUGAAAAUAAAACAUAAAAUCAUAUAUAUUUUUAAAAUAUGAUUUCAGCCUAAAAAAACCAUAUGUAGCUCCAAUAACUUAUGUGGCUCAUAUUUGGCAAAAAGACUAAUUUUAGCAUGUAAGGGUUUGUUUUGGCCUAUUUUGACCCAAAAUUCUAUUUUAAUUAUGAUAAAAUAACUACUUCUUUGACAAAUAAAAUAAUUGAACUUAAGGCUUUAUUUGAUAUUUUUCAGAUUGAAAGGAAAGAAAGCGUGAAGCUGAAAUAACUCCUUUCUAACACCCUCGAUUGGACCGAAUAAGCCCUCCCUUAUGGAAUAAAUAUUCGAAUAAAAUGUACUCCAUUAUCUUUUCUCUUGGUAGGCCAAGAUCCAUUAAUUUUAUUAAGACUUGUCAAGCUUUUCUUUGACAACAAUGAUAUGAUAAAUGGUAUCAAUAAUGUUGUCAAUAAUGCUAGAUAACUUCAAUUAUGAGCGAUGACCAUAGAUUGUAGAAGAUAGAAGAAGGAGAGUCCUCUCUUCAUACCCUUCUCUAAAUAAAUUAUGAACAAAUAACUGGCUUGUCAACCUCGAGCAAUAAAAGCUCAAACUGCCAACAAGUUAAUUGGAUAGCUAUCACUACCUAGCAUUUAUUAUGAUAUCUUGUUAUAUAUAAAUUUUAUUUAUUUAUUUAUAUUAAGAGGGAAAAAUGGUUUAAAAUAAAACUCAUGUUUUAUAUAUUAUGCAUAUUUUUUUUCUUUUUUGCUCAUACUUUUAAUUUUCUCACUUCUUUCCACAUCGAAAAAUAGCCUUUUAUCAAGCAUGGACAUUCCUUUUUACAUUGAAAAAUAACAAUAUAUAUAUAUAUAUAUAUAUAUAUAUAUAUAUUAUUUAAUUUGUAUAUAAAAUAUUUAAAAUAAGUCAAAUAAGUUUGAAGUAACAUAUAUAAAUAUAUAUAUAUAUAUUUUUUACUUUAAAUCAAUGUUUUCAAAAUCAAAUCAAUAAUUGAAUAGACAAAGUUAUUAAUUGAAAAUGGUUUAUCAACCAGGGGUGUAGGAGAAUUAAUUAUUUUGUUAAUUUUUUAUUUAUGUGAAAUUCACAUAUAGACCCUCAUGUGCUUAUAAUAUAGAGUAUACAUGUAUAUUAAAUUAAAUUACAACUACAUUAUUUGACUUCAAUUAUGAGGGGUGACCAUAGAAGAUCAUGGGAAGGGGAGUCCUCUCUAAGCCUUUUUUUGAAAUAAAUUAUGAACAAGUAACUGACUUGCCAACCUCCAACAAUCAAAAAAGAAAAAUACAAUCUCUAGCUAUUAGUAAGUUAAUUAGAUAGCUACCACUGCCUUGUAUUUAUUAUGAUAUCAUGCUAUUUGUAAAAUUUAUUUAUUUAUUUUUAUAAAGAGGAAAAAAUGGUUCAAACUCAAAAAUUAUGCUUAAUUUUUUCUUUAUCUCUUCUUUUAAUUUUCUCACAUGUUUCAAAAUUGAAAAACAACCUUGUUCUACUAAGCAUAUACCAAUUAAGGAAAAUGAUUUCCUUUUGUUUUGUGAAAAAUUGAGGUUAGUAGAGUAACAUCUUAAGGGGGGUGGGGGUGAAUGGGUGUAUUUUAAAAAAUUAAAAUAUAAGGAUUAAGGACUAAUACCCUAAUAUACCUUACUAGAUAAUAGGCAUUAGUAGAAUAUCCAAAAUAUUCAAGAUAACCUAAUAGAUAUGUAAUGAACACAAGAAUUUUUACAUGAAAAACCCCCACAUUAACUGUGGAGAUAAAAACCAUGGGUGUAAGACCUCAAAUCUAAAUAUACUAUAUGAGAUCAAGUUACAAAAAUUUACUUGACUGCUUAUCUCAAAGGUUUACUCUCCAGUACCUACAACUUGAUCCAUGUCCACGAUGUAAUAAUCUCCAAUGCUCCAUUGAAUACUCCUUAGCCUCGCUGAAAGGAUGCAAAUCUUCAAACAACCUAAGAUUCAAUCUUUGAAUCUUUUUGUGAUUAUCCGGUUGAAUUAACAACCUCAAAUCUUCAAUGAAGAGUAAGUCAGUAUCUAAAAAGAUUCCUAAGCUAGAAAAUAAAUUAGAAUAAAAUUGUCAACACAUAAUAAAUACUUAUUGUCCUAACAGUCUCCCCCUUUGGCAAUUUUGUGAGAAAACAUCGUUACAUAACAACCACCCUCCCGUAUGCUCAGGAAAACAUUACAUCAUCUUGUAGUACUUAUCUCUCAAUCUUGUAACCUGCACACAAAAAACUAUACCUAGGGUAAAGUAAUAUGUGGGAUAAAAUAAAGUCAAGGAAGCAAAACAAGAUAGUAAGAAGUUUUUCUUGAGAAAUUACAAAAGAUUAAAGAAGAAACACAAUACUGUAAGGAACCAAUGUGCAAAGUCCAAAUGGACACACAUAUGAUUAGAAGCAAGAACUAAGUCUUAGAGAAGCUUUACAAGCCGCAAUUGAUCAACAGUAAAGCACAUGAGGCUUUCACCAAUCAGAAUAUACACAAAAAGGACCAUGUGAAUAAGCUUCAAUGACAGAAAAUAGUUUAAGAGAGUCAGACAUAUCAAUAAGAAAUAUUUUGUUGGAAACUUCCUUGUCAAAUAUCUCUCUUACACUUCUAAAACAUGUAAUUAACAGAUAAUAUGGUUUUCUCCAAUAUCUCAAGUUUGGUUUCCUCCAAUGCCUUAAUUAAUUUCUCCUAGAAUUUCAUAAAAUUAAAAGAAUUCUCCCCCUUCUUAACAAAAGUUUUAUUCUCCCUUUUUUUGUCACAAAAAUGGUAAAGAAAGAUAAGUACGAGAGACACAAAAAGAAAGGUAUAUAGAUAAUAUAUAAGUAAAGGUUCUAGAUAUAUCGAGAGUUAUGUAAUAGUGAACAAACAUCCAAACCUAACAAAGACUAGCAAUAAACUGGGAAAAAAAAAUGAACUAAGCACUAGGAGCGUGGAAAGAUAACGCUUAAGUGUUGGAAGAAGAGCUUGGGCACUCGAUGUAGAACAUAAAGCCCUAGGUUGAAACAAAAACCUUAAAAUAGGAAGUUGGAAACAAUUAUGAAAGCCAACAUAAGAUAAAGCCAAGACGACACUAGGGAACAAAAUAACCAAACAUUCUAGGGCAAAUUUAUAAUGUAGAAACUCACAAAAUUAGAUUGAAAAAUAAUAAAACAAGUAGAAUUCCCAGAUAGUAUAAGUAAUCAAACAAGAAUGAAGUUUCAGCUCCAUAGAACAAAGUUAAUCCCAAUUUCAGUUUCGAAACUCAAUGCAUAACUAUGAGUAAAUAAGAAGACCGCUAUAGAAAUAUAAGUAUUGAUGUUUAAGGGAAGAUGACUUACUGUCUAGUUUUAUAUUUUGAAAUUAAUCUCUUAGAAGAAAUCCAAGUCAUACAUUUGGUCACAUUAAGAACACAUCCAGUCAAUUUGUUCUAAAAUCGUCGGAUUUCUAUUUUAACAUGACAUCGUUGGUCUACAUACAACACAACUUAACUUUCCCUUAAUUAGAUAUCAUCUUUUUAGUCUUUUUUUUUCUUUUUUCUUUUUUUUUAAAGUGGAGGCAUUCUACACCAUUAUCUCAUUUGAUUUUUCUUUAUUUUUAUUUAUGGUUGCCUUUGUAUCCACUUUUGGGGGUGUUUCUAAAUAUUACAAGUAAGCAACAUAUACAAUAUAUAUAUAUUUAAAGAAAGAAUCUUGGAAAGUAUAUGAGAGUUGAUCUUAGCCAAAGAUUCAAAUUUUGCAUUGACUCACUUUGGGAAAAAUAUUAAUGAUCUUAGUUGAACAAGGUAUAUGGAUAAUGAGAUUUAGGCAUGACAAUAGAUCCUUCCAAAUAAAUCAAAAUCUACUUUAUUAGUUAAACUUAAAAAGUUUCCCUUUUGUUUAAUCACAAAGUAUAAAUAUUGUUGAUUUUCCACUAUACAAAGAUAUUUAAUUAUCAAGAAUCAUGUACCUUAAAAGUGAUUAACAAAUAUCUUAGGAAAAUCAACAUCAAAUAUUGUAGAUUUAAUAUAUUUUUCUGGGUAACAAACUCGAGAUAUUACAAAUCAUGCCAAUAAGGCUAGUAAACAAACAAUAAUCAUAUGCCUAAGAAAGAUAUAAAGAAGGCCAAAGGAGUAGAAAAAAAAAUGAGUAAAACAAGCACGAAACCUUAAGCCUGCACACAUUGACUUUUAAGCAAAAAAGAACUCUCCCUGUGAUGAACACUCCCCCUAAACAAGAAACUUGCUUUCAUCUUCACAAAAAAUACUAAAAAGAAUUCUUAAGAGAAGCAAUGACUUCUAAACAGAACAAAGCUCUAGGACAAAAGAUAAAGCAAUAAAAGAAGGUCCUAGGCUAUGGAACAAUGAGUUAAGUAGAGGUAGAGACUCAUAAUGAUUUUCUAGGAUCUGGAUUCCUAAGAGAAUAUAAAGGAACAUCUUCAAACAUAAUUAAGCCCUUAUUCUAGAGAAAGAUGAGGUCUUAUUUCUUUAUCCAGGUUUUCUUCAUUCUAAGAGGUAUGUUAGGUGGUGUUUUUUUUUAUACUUAGGCUUACUAUUUGUUUUUCUUUCUUUUUCAUUGUUUAAAAUAUUGUUUUUUAGAGAAUUAAAAUCAUUCAGAAGCCUAUUUAGUUGAGACUCAUACCUCUAAAGAAAUCUAAUGUGACACCUAUGUUGAGUAUGUCUAGACUUCUUACAACAUGUGCAAAGUGAAGGAGUGAAGGUGUUACUUGGCUAAGGGUUUCUUCCUUACUUUUAACAAAAAUUGUGUUUCCACUAAUAGGAGUUUCGAUUCGGUUAAUAUACCCAACCCUCUUUUAUCACCAUAGGAUUUGCAUUUAUCAAGAAUUUCAUUUAAAAUUUUAGUUUUAGGGUGAAAUAUCUCAUUAACAUAAGAAAAUAACUUAACUUUUUUAAUAUCUUGAGUGAGAACAUUGUUUCUCUCAAGAAGGGAAUGAUGUCCAAACUAAAAAAAAAAAAUCAAUUUUUUGAAGGAAAUUUGUCCUCUUUUUUAUUAAGCAAAUCAAUCUUAGCUUUAUGAGCAUCUAGAAUAUCAUGAUUCCUCAAAAUUGUUUUAAUAAAAUUCUCAUGCUCAACAAUAAGAUUAUUCAAGUAGCAUUUUGUUUAUCAGUGUACUCACAAUCACUAUCAUGCACAAAAUUAGUAGAUGCAACAAAAGUUAAAAAGUUAUUUUGAUCCUAUCUUGCAUUUUCAGAAGUUGUGGAGUCACUCUCUUCAGAAUCCAUGUCACUCCAAGUAUCCUGCAUAGGCUUUUUAAUAUCCUUGGAAAUAGGACAACAAGUAGCAAAGUGUCCUAGACCACCAUAGUUAAAAUAUUCUAUCUUUACCUUUGGAGAUAUUUUUAUCCUUUUCUUUAGAGGAUUUAUCAUUAGUUCUUUUUUCCUUUUCCAUAUUCUUGAUUUUUAUUAAAUUUUCUAGUGAAUUUCAUGACCUUUUUAAUUCUUUUAGCCAUAUGAGUUAGUUCAUCCUUAGUUAUGUUAUUUGACAUUUUAAUGUCUUCUUCCUCAAUCUUAGAGGCCUUGAAAGUAUAAUCUUUAGGCCUUUAAGAGUUGGGAAUGGUCAUCUCAUAUGUUUGAAUGAAGUCAACAAGUUUAUCAAUUCUCAUCAAAUCAAUGUCCUUGCUCUCUUCUAAAGCAAUGACUUUAGGCCUAAAUCUUUCUGGAGGGGAUCUUAGGAUUUUCCUUAUCACUUUAGAAUUGGGAAAAUUCACAAUAUUACUCAAUUGAGAAUAAAAAGAAGAAAAAUUUUGAUUUUCAUGCAUCCUAUCAUUUUUUUUUCUUUUCACCAUUUUUUUUCUCCUAUAUAUUUUAAUAAUUUUUCAACUGACAUUGUUAGGUAAAUAUUUCUUACCAUCUUUAUUUUAUUUUGACAAAUGUAUCAUUUAAAGCUUCCUUUGAACACAAAAGCAUCAUUUUAAAGUUUUAUAAGAAUAGUGAAAGUAAAACAGAAGCAAUCAAAUUGAUUAAAUUUCUUGUUUUACCUCUGAGAACUGAAUCUCAAUGUGCAGUGUGCAUCUGAGCUUGUGAUGUGAAAUCAAAGCUGGUUUAUGCCGGAAAUUUGAACAGAUUUGUGGUGAAAAUUGGAGCUCAUAUGCCAUGAAAAUUGAAGCAAAUUGAAGGUAAAGUGUAUUAGAGAUAUAAGCAAAUGUGUGGUGGAGAAGAUAUGCACUAUUUGAUGCUUUUGGGAAUUGGAGAAGAUUGCCAUGUCUUCCUCUGAGCUUCUGUAUUUUGGUUUUCGAAUUCUUUGGAGAUUAAGGGAUUGUUUCUUGGAGAAAGAGAUAAGUGAAAAUAAGGCCUAGGAGCUGAAGAUUGUAUAGUUGAAGUGAUAGAUGGGAGAAAGAAGAAUAAUAGUUGAAGUGCCAUGUCUUCCUUUUCAAAAUUCAUUUCCACAUCUUCCAAUUCAUUACCAUAUGUUAUACAAAGCUCUUCUAUGUAAGGGCUUAGUUGGAGCAAUUUCAUACACUUUGCUGUUAAUGAUUCCUAACCGUCUUAUAGACCUUUACAAUCUCUGGGGGUUUAAUAAUGUUUGGAUGGACAACACAAAUGUAAGGUCGAUGGUUGUAUCAUCAAUAGUUUUUUUUUCAUCAUUUCCCUUAUACUCUUGACUCAAACAUAUUGAACAAUUGCAAAGAUGAAAGCAUUUGAUACCAUUUCAGAUGGAAGUGUGUCAAGUGAUUACAUACUGUCAAAUAUCAAGCACCUCAAUUUUUUCAAGUUCUUGAGCUCCAUUGGUAAGUAUUUUAUCCUUCUAUCCACAAAGUAAGAUAUUGCAAGGUAACUAAGUUGCCAAUCUCCACAGGUAAAUUCAUAAGUUGAUCAUUGUUUGACAUGUCUAAACCUCUUAUGAUAGGCAUGUUUGUGAAGGAUCCAUUUUGAAAUAUGACUCACUACACUCACUCGAUGCCAGAAAGGUCAUAGUAUGAGGGAAAUAUGGUGGUUCCUUAAGUUUCUUCAAUGUUGGUAUCCCACAAUGGCAUCCUCUGCGUCUCUUUCCAUUCUUCAACUUCAUGAGCUCUGUGUAUCAGGGAAAUAUGUGAAAUCAUUCUCCAUCUUCAACUGCUGCAUCAACUGCAGAAGGAAAUGUAGAAGGAAGAAGUUGAUUCCAAUUAUUCUCCUUUGUUUUGUGAUUUUGCAUUAAAGAAACACAUCCCAACAGCCUGACAGAUAAUGCUUAUGAAAAAUAAAAUAAAGAGAUAUUAUGAAGUGAAAAUAGGAUUAUCCCAAUGAAUGAAACAAAGGCAUUCUCUUGAUUUUCAGUUGAUGCUUCGUUUUCCCUGUUUUAGCUCCUUAAACUCUUUCUUUCAGCUGCACUCUAAAAUCUCUGAAUUUUCACCUUCUUUCCCCCAAUGCUCCCUUGGAUUUACAGUAGGCAACCUCCCAAGAUUUGAUUUUGGGUAUCAAUUUCAUAGUUCUAAGAUUUAAAAUUCCAAUUCAUUUUCUUUUUCUUUACAUUAUUUUUCUCAACAAAUAAGUAGUUUAUUAUCUUCUAAUUUUAUGAAAUCAACCAAAAUCUCAAACAGAGCACCUACAAAACCACAAAAAAAGAAAGGGAAAAAGGGAAAAACUACUAAUUCAAGCUUCCUUUCAAUACGAAAGUGUUGAAUCUAUAUUUAUAAUCUUCUAUUUUUAAGGCACAGGAUGACAAUAGACUAAUGAAAGUAAAACAGAAGCUUUGACAAGAUAAUCAGAGCUUGGAGCUCAAGUUUGUAGACAUGGAAGCUCAUGUGCAGUUGAAACGAUGAAAAUGCCUAGUGAUGAUUCAGCAAUGCACUAAUCGAGGCUUGUGGGGAUUGUCGUGUCUUCCUUUGAGCUUCUGCAUUUUGGUUUUUGAAUUUCGUGGAGAUUAAGAGAUUGUUUCCUGGAGGAGGUGGGAGAAAAAUAAAUGAUGAUGUUGCUAAACAAUCUUUACAAAUAACAUCUAUUUUUGCAUUUUUCUACAAGAAUUUUACUCCCAAGUCCCAAACAAUCUAAUGAAGUAUGUAGAGUGAGAAAUCAAAGAGAAACUAAAUAUAAUUAAAAUACAUGAAAAGUUAAAAUAAUAUUCCAAAUAGAAAAUAAAAUAAUAUCUUGAGAGGUCGACUCAAACAAUCACAAUGCACAUUUGGAACUGGCCAUAUUUAUAAAAUGAAAUUUUUUAAAUACAAUUAUAUAUAUAUAUAUAUAUAAGGAAGAAAAAGAAGGAAUUACUUGUAAUGAGACGAAUGCAAUAGGUGUUCAUCACUCGGAUUGAAAAUAUGGAGUGAGGUUGUGCAUAAUGGUUUGAUCCUCCCACUCCAAUUCAUCCCACCAUUCUUGGUCUCCCUUGAUUUUCUCGAAUUUCUUGCUCACUCCAGUAUUGGAAUGAAAUGGCAGCUUCCUCAAACUUGGACAUCCAGACACAUGGAUGUGUCUUAAAGAUGGAAAAGGUAGGGCACGUCCAUAUAUACUUCUUAGCUUUGGUAGCCAUAUUAAAGUGAGAGAUAUGAGUCUCGAGAAUACACCCACAUGAUCUACUUCAAUUUCUAAAACUUCACUCUUUUCAUCAUCUAUCACUUUUUCCAUUGAUUUACAUGCUGAAACACUUAGAAAUUGAAGGCUUGGAGCACAAAUAAGCCAUGUCAAAUUCAACAAUUCACCACAUCCGGAUAUGUCGACAUCACAAAGGUUGUUCAAGCAUUGGUGCCUUGGGAAUUUUGAGUAGACCACCACUUCCUUUUCAAAAUUGAUUUUCACAUCUUGCAAUUCAAAACAAUUUCUAAUACGGAGUGUCUCUAUAUAAAGGGAUAGUUGGACCAGGUUCAUACGCUCACAACCUAAUUGCACCCAUCUUGUGGAUCUUUGCAACUUGUGGGAGUUAAGUAAUGUUUGGAUGGAUGAUACACUUGUAAGGUGGAUAGAUAUAUCAUCAAUGUGUUCUAGCUGCUCUAACUCUUCUAAUAACCUUCCUUCAUCAUCUCCCGUAAAGUCUGACCCUACAAUCGUGCUAUACAUGCUGAACAAUUGCAAAGAGGAAAGACUUGAUACCAUUUGAGAUGGAAGUGACUUGAGCGAAUACAUUUCAUUCAAUAUCAAGCACCUUAAUUUUUUCAAAUUCUUGAGCUCCGCAGGUAAGUAUUUUAUACUUAGACCCGAAAAAUUAAGAUAUUGCAAAGUAACUAAGUUUCCAAUCUCCGCAGGUAACUCUGUAAGUUUAAAAUUGUUUGACAAGACCAAAACUCUUAUAAUAGGCAUGUUUGUAAAGAAUCUAUUUGGAAAUGACCGAAUAAACUUAUGUGAUGCCAAAAAGGUGUCCAUAUUAGGGAAAUAUGGUGGUUUCCUAAGUUCUUCAAUGUUGGUAUCCCACAAUGAUAUCCUCUGUGUCUCUUUCCAUUUUUCAACUUCCUGAGCUCUAAUCGGUUCAACUCCAUCUUUUACCACAAAUUUGUUCUUCUUCUUCCCGUUUUCACGAGCCAACCACAAAGCCAUAUCACGAAUAACAUCAUGCAUCUUCAAAUAUUUGUCUUUUUCAUCUAAUGGAGAUCUGCCAUUCUCUAAUAGACAUGCCAGCUGUAAACUUUUAAUAACUUCUUCUCCUUGAUUUCUUGCUUGUUGUAUGUUGUCAUAUUCAUCCAGAAAACCCUCCCCGAUCCAAAGUUGUAUAAGAUUUCGAUGAGAGAUUUCAUAAUCCUCCGGAAAUAAAGAGCAAUAUAGGAAACACAAUUUGAUGGUUUCAUCGGGUAGGCUAUCAUAACUGAAUGCCAAGCGUGAAAACAGACGAUUCUCCAUACCUGGAAACUUUGCCGGAUAAUUCUUCAACAUUUUUAUUUUUUUCUCCCAUUCUUCGGGUGUUUUUGUUCCCGCCAUUGCUCGCCCUAUGGUGAUGAGGGCAAGUGGUAAGCCGCAACACUCUUUGGCAACCAUCUCCGCCAACUUUGGUAUAUCUGGAUGAGAAUUUAUGGUGUCUGCUCCCACCUUGGUCUGAAACAGAGCAAAAGCAUCCUCCCAUGGGAGACAAUUCAUUUCAAUGCUCUCUGUAACUUCCAUAUCUUGGCACACAUCUUUAGAUCGCGUUGUAAGUACCAUCUUCAACUUAUCUUGAGGAUUGAGAGGAGGAAUACCAACUUUGGAUAGAUCCAGCCGCUCCCAUAUGUCAUCUAACAAAAGCACAAAUUUCUUUGUCUUCAGGACAUUGAAUAUUUCUUCUGCCCUUUCAUCCUCACUCCUACCUUCCCAUUUAUCUUGGGGAAUCUCCACUUUAUUGAAAAGAACUCGCUGAACCUUUUCCACAUUGGCUGGUCUGGACACAGUCACCCAAAUCACUGCAUCAAAUUCAAGCCUGGUUUUGAGGAGCUCAUUGUUGAUCCUGGUCAAGAGGGUGGUUUUGCCCACACCCCCCAUUCCAUAUAAUCCGAUACUGCUUACCUGCUCUCCACCAUCUUGGAGCCAUUUCCAGACCUUCCCAAACAACAAAUCUUGGCCCACAGUCUUUUCAAGCUGCCUCUCCAUCACGGGAGGACUAGGCAAAGGUUCAGCAACUACACUGAAAUUUGAGCCCUCCGUCUUCUUGACCGUCACAGCAUCCAUCUUUUCAAGUACCAUCUUGCCAAGAUUGUAGCUAGCGCCACAGUUUUUAGGACAACAGGUUCCGAGACAUUUCUUCUGGAUUUCUUCAUCACCUUUCGCCAAUAUUUCCUGCACUUCUUUUUCCAUGGCUUCUACUCCGCGGAGCCAGCCAUCAACUACACGAAGAUGCUUCUUCUGACGUUUCUCUUCACGUUCCACCCUUUCCUUCACAUCUUCGUACAGGUUCUUGAGUUCCUCCAUUUCAGUUCUCAAAGAGUUGAGAUUUUGUGGGAGGUGACGGAUGUAAACAGCACGCUUAGCAGUGCAAUCCCACAAGCGAGUGGCGGCAUCCAGGAUGGGGCUCACACAAUCCAUGGAGAAAACAGGUGAUGGAUUGGAGUUGGAGAGGUGGAGAGAAGAUGAGCAAGGAGAAAAGUAAUAGUGGAAUAUCACCUCUCUUUUUCCCAGUAAAAGACUGAGAAAUCAGUGCCGGCCGGAGAUUGUGGUUGGAGCCUACGUUGAAUGCUAUAAAAAAUUCAUAAUCUGUAGAUAAUACCAAUAAAUAAUGUCAUUGUCUUCUAUGUACAGACUGUGUAAAGAUUAAUAAAAGACUCACCACUUGUGAUACUUAGACUCGUAUAAAAAAUUAAUAAACUGAAUACAUAUUGCCUAUAAAAGACUCCACCAUUUGUGAUAAGUCACAAUUUUUCUAGGGUAAGGGUAAGUUACUAUUUAUUUCUUUUUAUUAUAUUUAUUUAAACUUUAAUGGUAUUAUAUAUAUAUAUAUAUAUAUAUAUAUAUAUAUAUAUAUAUAUAUAUAUAUAUAUAUAUAUAUAUAUAUAUAUAUAUAUAUGUUUUAGAGCGUUCAUAAUAGGAAACCCUAGAUUUUCUUUUUUCUCUUUGAAUUUUUUGGAUUUCACAUGGUAUUAUAGAGCAAAAUUGAUCUUUUAAUAAAACUUUUGAUUUAUGAUCUCAUGGAAGAGAGUUUAAUCUCAUACAUUUGCAAAAAAUGGUCUUUUUAUAUUCGUUUUAUUAUAAAAUUCUCUUUUGUCAUAUUUAAUUAUGGAACAUCGUAAUGGAUGAUCACAUCAUUUUUUCCCCAUUUGAUAUGCUAUUGAAAUAGCUUUUCUAGCUAUAUUUUUUCCCUAUUUGAUAUGCUAUUGAAAUAGCUUUUCUAGCUAUAUUUUAUGCUACUCCGCUCAUUUCAUAAAAUAUUAUUCCUUAUUUAAUUAUAACUACCCAAUAUUUGGGAGAUCCUUUCCCCGGACCCAUACGUCUUUCUAUAGGUUGGAUGGUGAUCGUUGACUAAUAUAUUAUGAUAUCAUGUUGUAUAUAAAAUUCAUUCAUUCAUUUACUUUUAAUUUUUAUUAGGGGAUAAAAUACAUUUAACCUCAACUUAUGUUUCAUAUAUUAAGCUUAAUUUUUUUCCCCUUUUCCUUUAUUUCUUAUCCUUUCAUUUUUUUUCUCAAUCUUUCAAGAUCCAAAAACAAUAUUGUAUUAAUCGGUAAUAUAAUGGCUAUAAUAUAUUUACAUUAAUUAUGAGAAACUUCGAUGGUGUUUGUUUGUUUUUUUUUUUUUUUAUUGAAUAGAAAAAGUUUAAAUAUUUAAUUUUUUUAUUCAGUUAAAAGUAAUUUACUAUAUCAACUAACAUAAUUAAAAUGAACUUGUUAUUCAUAGGUUCAUUUUAAUUAUAUGGGACGAUAUCAACAUGUUACUAUUAAUGAAAAAACCAAAUAUUUUAACUUUUUCUAUUCAAUCAAAAAACAAAUGAAGUUAUAUGGCUUCAUAUAGAUAAUACCCAAGUUUAACUAAGGUAGUACUUGAGGCCAGUUAAGAUAGUACCUAAAGUAAAUUAAGGUCGCACCUAAGGGUUAUUGAGGUAGUACUUAAGGUACAGUCGCGGGUUCAUUCGGACCCAAUACUUUAAGAGUCUCUCUUGCUUCAUUUUCUACAUUGUUUCCUUUAGUUUUUUAAGGAUUUCGCCGAUUUAAUGGUCUAGGAGAGAUGUUUGGUGUUAUUUCUUGCUGAUAAAACUAUAUUUGACAAGAAUUUGCUAAUCUAGGACACAUUUGGAGGUUAGGGUUUCAAUUUUUGGGUACAUACUCUCUCCACUCGAGCUCCUUUUCGUUUUUCCUGGAUUCUCUUGGACUCCCAUGGCUCCUAGAUGAGCCGAAAGACGCGUUUAAUUGACACCGCCUUGGAGUUUUGGAUUUGGGUUUUUGAACUUAAAUGAGAGAGAUUUUGAGUUUUCAAGAGUGAAAAAAGAUGAGAGAAAACUUCCAAAUGAGAGAGGGUGGCAUGGAGGUUGGGAUGAUGCUGAGGAUGUUGAGCUGGAGAAAUGGAGGGACAAUUUGGACAUAGAAGAUGGAGCCGGCUCAAAAAUGAUAAUACUUUUCCUAUUAAAAGCUUAUUCUCAUAUUUCCAUUGUUGGGUUUUAAAAAUGCUAUUAUAUUGGGAUGGGAAGCCCAAAGCACAACUUUCCCAAAAAAAAAUGCCAUUCUCUUCAACGUACAGACUGUGUAAAGAUUAAUAAAAGACUCCACCACUGGUAUAAAAAUUAGUAAACUGAAUACAUAAUGCCAAUAAAGUAAUAAUGUCAUCGUCUUCUAUGUACAGGCUGUCAAGCACCAUAAAGAUUAAUAAAAGACUCCACCAUGUGAUACAUAGAAUGUUAUAAAAAAUUAAUAAACUGAAUACAUAAUGCCAAUAGAUAAAUGUCAUUGUCUUCUAUGUACAGACUGUCAAGCUCUAUAGCAAUUAAUACAAGACAAUUCAGAAAUAAAACUAUAUAAUGCAUGUUAGAGUACUUAUUUAUUUAGAAGUUUUAUUUAGUUACUAUUUUUCUAGAGUAUGGGUAAGGUUGUUGUAGACCCCCAUUUUGGGGCUGAUUUUUCUCACCAUUUUUGCAGCUCAUUUUUUGCCAGGUGUCACGUUUCUAAGUUACUACAUGCUAUCUUCUGGUUAACUGUUGAAGAAUCAGGUGAACUUUUGAGAGCCAUUGGAAGCUUGACACAUGGCUGGAAUAUUCAGAGGAAACGCAUUUUGGCUGUUAGAGGGAGCGUUGCCAGCUGCAUGGAGAGGUGCCUUUUUUUGCCAGAAAAAGAUAUUUUUGAGGGGUUGUUGGGGAAGAUUUUUUUGGAGGGUGCUUUUGGUGGUUGUUUUUGGAUAGGGAUUUGGGGAGUUUUUUUUUUUUUUUGGCUUGAGGAAUACCAGUUAGGAGGGGAGAGAGUUGUAGGGAGAUAUUUUUGAGAGGUAUGGGUAUCCAUUGCCGAGGGGAGAGACAUUUUCUGGAGGGAAGUUCAUUUUUCUUGGGUAGUGACAGAGAGAGAGAUACAGAGUGUUUUGUUUGAGAGAGAUUUUGGCUUGGGAGAUUAUAGAGGAAGAGAUACAGAGUCAGAGACAAGAAGAGAUACGCGUGGGGAAAGCCUUGAAAGAAGAGGGUUUAGGUAUUAUUUCUGUGGGUUAGCGUUUCGGCGGGAAAUCGCUAAGUUGGUUAGAGUCCUGGUCCGUCACGCCAGAAGUCGCGGGUCCCUGUUCUUGCUGUUUUACUGUUUUAGGUAUCAUGAGACUCUGUUUUUAAUGUUUGAAUGUGUUUGUUGGGGAUUUUCACUUGACUCAGCUUUGAUUUCUAACCUGUUUUUGUGUCCUCUGCUUUUGGUAUUCCAUAUGUGAUAUUGGCAUUCAUGAUUUGAUUUUGUUUUCAAAACUCAUUUGAAAUCUGUUUUAGCCCAUUCUUAUAUCUGAGCCCAUUGAUUGAUAUAUGAAAUGAGAUUUGUGGGGUUUUUUUCGUUUUCUUCUACUUGUGCCCUUUUUUUUUUUUUUUUGUUUUUUGUCCGUCCCCUGUCUCUAGCAUCCGCCCAUGGUGUACAUCAAUUUUCACAUCUUUACUUGAGGAAGUAAAGAACUACAAGAAAUGUAUUCUCAGUUGGUGAGUAUGAUGAGUUGCAGCAUGUUUGUCAAGUUAUGGGGUGUCUGAUUCAUUUUGUGGGAGGCUAUUCUCGACCAAGAGCAUCAUUUUGUACACUCCUCUUCCAGUUUUUAUUGACUUUUUCAGUUUCCACCUGGUUUGGAUAGCAAGGCCACUGCAUCCUUUUACUAGAGAGCGAUUUAUAUAUUGAAGACAAACCCACUUUGCGUUUUGGAAGCGUGCUUGAUUCAAUUCCAGAAUAACUUCUCAUUGUUUCUCAAAUCACGAUUGGAAGAGAUAUUUCCCAGGGGACGCAUGGUAUUAUCAUUCAUGGGCAAGAGAUCUCCAGAUCCCGCUGCAGAUGAAAGUUGGAACCAUUGGCAGUAUUGGCAGCUUGACUAUACUAGAAUCCGAGUUAUCAGCUGUUCCAGUGAUACUUGAAGAGUGACUAUGCUUAACAGAUGUCACAGAAAGAAUUACAUAUUUGUGAACGGAUUGAAAUGCAGAUGGGAUUCCCGUCAAUGUGAUUAUCGGUGGUUUAGUGAAAUACAUAUUUGUUUAUUCCCUUUCACCUUUAAUCACGUGCAUGUGUCUCAUCCCAUAUCACCUAUCCCAUGCAUGCACCCAUAGCCAUCAAAUCUAUUGCUUCACACCCACCAAACCCGCGCCACAUGUACCCACGACUAAUCCAUCCCAUGCAUGCACCCAUGGCCAUCAAACCCAUUGUUCCGUACCCACAUCAACCUAUCCUACACCCACGGCUGUAACUCAUCCCAUAUCACCCAUCCCAUGCAUGCACCCAUAGCCAUCAAAUCCCUUGCUUGGCACCCACCAAGCCCGCGCCGCAUGCACCCACGGCUAAUCAGCGCUGCAUGCAUCCAUGGCCAUCAAACCCACUGCUUCAUUCACAUCACCCAUCCCACACGUACACCAUCCUAUUCUUGUCAAUGAGAUAUGUCACCCGCUACCGGCGUCAUGUGAUGAAGGUGGAGCCUUUUGAGAAUGAGCAAGUUGCAGCUGCAUCUAUGGGUACAGUCAAGAAUUGGGCAAUUUCUUUCGAAUACAUGGAAAUCAUUCUUCCAGCUAACGACAAUGAAACGAAACCAUGCAUGGCGUUUAGCAAGAUUAAUUUCCCGUCUUUGGCACCUGUGACCCAAGUCUCAACAUCCCACAAUCAUGCAGCCUUCGUCAUGCAGUCUGGAGAGGCUUCCACUUGUGGAAAUUAUUCCUCCUUUCGCUGUGGGCAUGGAGAUACAGUUUGUCCCAUGUUCCGGCUCGACUUUGUUGAAGCACUGAAGGAAGUUCCUUACAAGCAGGUUGUUGCUAGGUUUAGUUUCGCCGCGUUUCUCCCAAUAAAAGGCCAUGUCUUUGCAUGUGGAAUGAACAUACAUGGUCAGCUUGGUUAUGGUGACACUGUAGACAGACGGACACUUAAAAUUGUUGAACUACUUGAAGGUGUUGAUCCUGUGGUUCAGAUGGCUGCAUGACCAAGUUGUGUCAUGGCCGCAAAUGAUGAUGGGACUGCCCACUCUUUUGGGUUUGUGACAAAUUUCUGUCUUGCCUAGGAUGAACAGCAUAAUGAGCUCUGACCACGUGUAAUUCAAUCAAUUAAAAGAAAGACUGUUCAUGUGGUUCUCAUCUCUGCUGGUGAUGAGCACGUGGCGACACUUGACUCCAGUGGAUUUGUAUAUACCUGGGGCAAAGGUUAUUAGGGUGCAUUGGACCAUGGUGAUGAGAUUGGUAAGACUGCUCCUGAGAUCUUAAGCAGCCUUAAGAGCCACCUUGCUGUGCAGGUUUGUGUAUGGAAGAGGAAAACCUUCGUCUUGGUGGAUACCGGUUCUGCAUAUGGUCUUGGGCAGAUGGGUUUUGGUAGUUUUGGGUUUCCAGACAGGGGAGAUUCUGAUAAAGUCACGAGGCCUUGGAUCCUUGAUAACCUGAGAGGCCACUACAUUUCUCAAAUGAGCACAGGUCUGUAUCGCACCAUUACAGUCAUUAAUAAGGGACAAGUCUUUGGGUUAGGUGACAAUGAAAGAGUACGACUCGGGCACGACACCUUGAGAGGAAGCCCCGAACUUGCUGAAAUUUUUUGUUCAAGAAGCAACUGAUAAUGCAGGCCUUGACUCGAAAAGUUGCAAUGAGGACUAGGUUAGGAGCACCCUAGAAGAAUAUUUUUGUGUCAUGUGGGGAGGUUUCAAGGAUUUCUAUCCCUAAAGAUCGUGAGUCCGGUUCUGUUGAGGAUGAAUGGAAUGUGAUCUGGGAAAUCCUCAAGUGAACUAGGGAAUCGGUCAUAUCCUGCGCAUUCUAUUCUGCAUGUAUCAAUUCGCAUGAGGCGAAAACUGUUAGGUUCACACCUUCCUCCACCUCUCAUAUGCAUGGCACGUGGCGUUCUCUAGCAUGUAUAGAAAUGGAAGGAUGAUUUGAAAGUAUGGGACAGAUUGUUGCUGUUGAAUGACUGGAUGGAAAGAGGGUCUUCAAGGCUACUGUGCUGAUGGAGAACAAUGACUUCUGGUCUAUAAGUUUACGCCUCUGAAACCACUGGAGUAUCGUCAUCUAGAUCUUCCACCUAAUAAAGAAUUACUGGAUUGGAAUAUAAGAAUGAAAAUAGUGGUUGGUACAAUCAUGAGAUUGGAGCACUUGCAUGAUGAAGCGAGUCCUUCAGUUAUUUAUGAAGACUUCAAGUCACCCAAUACUUCACUAGAAGAAAGGUCUCACUUCUAGCUUUUCGAUUGGGGCUUGCAAAGUCAGUGUUAGAUGCCUAUGCAUAUGUGACAGCAUGAGUAAUAGGAACUUUUGGACAUGUGGCUUCACAAUAAGUACCGAGGUGCAGUUGAUUGUGAUGCUUAUCAUGUGACUGAUCUGAGACCUGAAGAGUAUGGUAUUUCAUCAUGCAUUGAGGGCAGCUUGAAAACAGUGAUAUCACCCAUCCUUUUCCAACUAAGAUAGCGGUGUUGAACGCAAAUGGAGAAUGGGUGCUUCCCAAUGACUCCUCAGUGGCCACAAGCAGAGGGGUGAACAGGGUCCCACAACACUGUUGUCCGAGUUGAUUAUUAUUCAAGCAUCCAUUGUCAUGGGAUGGCCACCCUUAAUCCGGAUGCCAUCACCACACUUCAUCCUCUUUGAUUUCGAAAACAAUUUUUCAAAUCUCUUUUCCUCUAAUAAUUUUCAGGAUUUUAGUUUUUCAUUAAAAUGACUUAAAAUCUCCAAAUUUUUUCAUCCUUAGCCUUUUUCUUAGGCUUCAAAAUAAUACGUUCUUCAAUAAAAUUUGCUGUCAUUUUCUUUGGCAUGCAAUCUUCAUAAUCUCUUCUAUUUUGAAAUGUUUUGAAAUAAAAUCAGAAUCAAAUUUCGUAAUUCCAAGUGAUGGAAUUUAUGAAAUUAGUUCAAGCAAAAAUAAAUGGGCUUUGGUGGGGGCCCGACAUGUGAUUUCCUAAUUGAUUGAUUGAUUGAUCGGCUUGUUUGCCAUGCAUGAUUGAUUUGCUCUGUUCCAUGAUAUGUAUAUAAUUAUUUUGUGGUUGUACACUAAUCUCAUUUUCUUAAAAGCGUGUUGCGGUUAGUGGUCCAGGUAUACGUCUACUCUCUUUUUGGUCAUUAUCUAUGUAUUUUCUGAUUCCCGUAUGUGCAUGAUAGAUUAGGAUAUCCAUUGAUUUUUCUAUUGAUUGCCACGUCAGUUUCAUCCUAUUAGUAGAGACUUGACUUCAGGGACUUAGAGGGGUGCUACGGUUCAUACCGUACCUUCCCAAUAAAUAACCUGAUCCCCAAACCCGAUCCGAUUUUUCAUAGAUCACCUUUUUUCCAAAAUAAGGAGUCGUACUUAGGGUUUUCUUUCUUAUUUUGUUUGCCCUUUAAAAAAUAAAUCAAAAAUAAGUGGCGACUCCAAGUCAUUUUUAAUUAAUAAAUCAUUUUUUAAAUAAAAAUUGAGUUCGCCAUUGAGUGAGAAAUGCAUGAGCUGAAAUGUGGGGUCCACAGUUGUAUUUUUUUUCCUUUUAUUAUAUUUAUUUAAAUUUUAAUGGUAUUGUAUAUAUAUAUUUUUUUAAAUGUUCAUAAUAGGAAACCCUAAAUUUUCUUUUUUCUCUUUAAAUCUUUUGGAUUUCACAUGGUAUAUAUCAUAGCAAAAUUGAUUCUUUAAUAAGACUUUUGAUUUAUAAUUUCAUUGAAAAGAGUUUAAUCUCAUACACUUGUAAACAAAGUUUAUUCAUAUCCGUUUGAUCGUGAAAUUCUCUUUUGUUGUAUUUAAUCAUGGGAUAUCAUAAUGGGUGAUCACAUCACUUUUUUCUUAUUAGAUCCGUUAUUAAAAUAGCUUUUCUAGUUAUAUUUUCUACUACUCCGCCCAUUUCAUAAAGUAUUCUUCCUAGUUUAACUACAAUUACCCAGUAUUUCGAAGAUCCUUUCCCCAAACCCAUACAUCUUUUUAUAGGUUGGAUGGUGAUUGCUGGCUGAUAUAUUAUGAUAUCAUGUUAUAUAUAAAAUUCAUUCAUUCAUUUAUUUUUAAUUUUUACGAGGGGAUAAAAUACAUUUAAACUCAAACUUAUGUUUUAUAUAUUAUGCUUAAUUUUUUUUUCCCUUUUUCUUUAUUUCUUAUCCUUUCCAUUUUUUCACGUCUUUCAAGAUCCAAAAACAACAUUGUAUUAAUAGUAAAUAAGUGGAUAUAUAGUAAUAUAAUGGCUAUAAUAUAUUUACAUUAAUUAUGAGAAACUUUGAUGGUGUUUGUUUUUUUAUUGAAUAGGAAAAGUUAAAAUAUUUUAUUUUUUUAUUUAGUAUAAAGUAAUUCGCUGAUAUCAACUAAUAUAAUUAAAAUGUACUUAUUAUUCAUAGGUUCAGUUUAAUUAUAUUGGAUGAUAUCAAUAUAUUACUAUUAAUGAAAAAAUCAAAUACUUUGAUUUUUUCUAUUCAAUCAAAAAACAAAUAUCACUUUCUAAAUUAUAUUUGGUUUAGAAAAGUAUUAAGAAAAAAAAUAUUUUAAAAAAAUUAUUCAUGAUUGGUUGUAAACUGAAAAAUAAAAAAAUAAAAUCAAUUAUAAUUAAAAUUAAUAAGAAACUUAUAUGUUUUAAAAUUAUUUAAUUUUUAUAUAAAAAAUUAAAAUAAAUAAGACCAAUUUAAAAUAACAUAUAAAAAAUAAUUUAUUGACUUUAAAUUUAUUUUUUAUUUUCCUUCACUUUUUCUUUUAUUCUAUUUUUUCUACCUCUUUAUUUUUUAUGAUAUUUUCUCUCUCUUUUUUUCCAAAAUAAGAAAUAGUCAUAAUUUUUUGUUAUCCCAAAAUUGGUCAAUUAUGAUCCAAUACUGUGAAAGCAAAAUUUGUAGGCGGUGGGUGGAUGACAUAUAAGCUUCACUAGUUGUUUGAUCCACAUGUGUAAAUUUUAAAAAUUUAUUGAAUAUGACUUAUCAAUUUUUGUGGAAAUGACAUAUAAUCUUCACUAGGAUAUGGAAAUUUCUAAUAAGCAUCCUUCAUUUUUCAUAAUAUUACGAGCAUGCCACUAAAAUUGUCAAGAAGUAAAUUCAACAUAAAAUUCCAAAAAAAAAAAAAAGAGGUCAAUCAGUAUUGGAACUACAAGACCCAAUGCCAGUCCCAAAACUAAGAAAAACUAAGCCUAACCUUGGACUGAAGGCAGCAAUGCUCCUUCUCCUACUUUGAAUUGCUCCCAUCAAGUACUGGAAGAGACCCGGAAAGAACCUCAGCUGCCAACUCCAACUCCUCCUCUGUUAUGAUCAAUGGAGGCACCAGCCUCACAACAUUCCCCUUUCCAGCAGUUAGCACCAGGAGGCCGGCUUCUCGACAGGCAUCCACCAGCGGCGAGGCCUGGACAUCAAGCUCAAUCCCAACAAUGAGCCCAACCCCACGUACUUCUUUCACAUGUGGGUUAUGUCCCAACUUCUGGGUUAAAAUUUGUUUCAGGUAUUGGCCCUUCUUGGCGACACUGGCCAAGAAGCUGGGUUCUGAGAUUUUUUUUAAGGACAGCAAGAGCAGCGUUGCAGACAAGGGGGCUGCCAGCAAAAGUGCUUCCAUGGUCACCGAAGUUUACGGCAGAAGCAACUUGUUCGGUAACCAGUACAGCACCAAUAGGUAGGCCUCCAGCAAGAGGCUUGGCAAGUGUCAUUAUGUCAGGGAAUACACCAUAGGACUCAUGAGCCCAGAGGUGCCCAGUUCGGCCUAGACCACAUUGAACCUAUAGAACAGGAUCAGAACAUGAUCAAGAUAGGAAAAUUGAACAAAUAAUUAGAGGACAAGAAGUAUGAAUUUGGCUUAAAACAGAAGGUUCUGCUGUUGGAGCUACAAACAAGAUGAAACAGAUUUAUUCACACGGAAUAAAUCUCAAAUGAAGUCUCAUUGCCUUUGGCCACUUCUGCUUUUCAGACACAGAAUCCUCUACCGUUUUUCAUUCUAGUUGGGAUUCAGCAAACAAUGCAGUGUGCUUUUAUGUAUUAAUUCCCUAACUGCAUGAUAAAUGGAAACUGGAUUCUGACAACAGCUUGUUUUUUAUUUCAAUUCAUAUUUGGUGUGGGAAUUGGAGUUAUAUAGGAAGAAAAAAGCACCUUCACCUCACUCAUUUAAACAUAAAAGCAAUAAUGGCGAUUUAGGGAUUCAUCUAUAGAAUUCCUAUCUUUUUUGUAUCUUUUCGUGCAGCAAGUAUUUUAAUUUUUCUUUUUUCCUUUUUAAUUUCUUAUGGGGUUGGGAGUGCAAACAAUUCUUCCUAGUCUAGUCAUCAUCCCAAUAUCUUCUGGAAAACAUUAUUCAUUAACGAAGUAGUGAAGCAGAAAGUUUUUACCUGAAAUGAGUUGAGGCCUAGCAGUUAAGUGGACAUCUAAAGAAGGUAAACCAAGAGACACCAGAUUGAGGCAAAUACCCAAUAUGCGCACCGAACUUAAAAUCUAUGAAAUCAAAUAUAAGGGGAUUGAAAAACGACUUUCACAGAUAUUAUUUUCUGAUAUAAUACAGUAGGUUUUAGGAAAAUCCGACCAUAAAAUAAAAUCCUUGCAUGCAUGUACUGAAAAAAUUAUCUGCAAUUUGGCUAUUUCCAAUCGAGCAAUAUAGGCAACAUGAUUGAACAUAUAGGACCAGUUUGAGUAACUAUAUUUCAUCACUGAAAUGUUUAUUGCCUCAUCGAAAACAAGGAGAGCCCCAGCAUCAUCACAAGCACUUCGCAAAAAUUGUAAAAAUUCCUUUGUUGCACUGUAUAUACCCCCUUCUCCCUGGAUGCGUUCCACCUGCAGCAAAAUCGCUACUGCUUAACAAACAGAGGAAAGCUUUCGUGCACCAAUUUAAGAAGAAGGCCUCACAGCAAAUGGAGGAUAUAAAAAAGAGGAGUCGAAUAUUAUGUUACAGUCGGGAGUAGGGGUCUCCAAAAAGCCCGCGGCCCGCGGCCCGCUUUAGGCCCGGCCCGGCCCGAGCUCGUUUAUGGGCGGGCCGGGCCGCGGGCCUAAAUUUAGGCCCGGCCUGGCCCGUAGGCCCGCCCUUAGGCCCGGCCUGGCCCGUAGGCCCGCCCUUAGGCCCGGCCCGUAGGCCCGCCCUUAGGCCCGCCCAUUUAAAAAAAAAAACUACAAAAAUAAAAAGUAUUAAAAAAAAUAUUCAUUUCAAAAUUUUAUUCAUUGAAUGUAUAAUUACAUUUAAAAAUGUGGGAAAAUUUUACAUCACUACAAAAUAAAUACAUCCCAACUAGGUUGGCACCUAUUUAUUUGUCAAUCAUUUGUAUUUUUCAACCACAAAAAAUAAAAAUAAAAAUAUAAUAUACAUUUAGUCAUUAUUUUCUGGCGGUGAUGGCGAACUAUCAUGCAUCCAUGAAGAUCUUGAUAGUUUUAAAGAUUCCAUAUCGGCAAGCAUCUCUGUUUCUCGAAUGGAAUCGUACAUCCUUUUUUCUGCAAUUUCCCAAUCUUUUACACAUAUCCCUGCUUCAAUAACGUCUGGCGCUAAGUUGCAUCGUUUUUUACUAAUAACUCUUCCACCUGCACUAAAAGCAGCUUCUGAUGCAACUGUACUCACAGGAACUGUUAGUACAUCACGAGCAAUUAUAGAAAGCACAGGAUAUUUGUGUUGAUGUGAUUUCCACCAUAUUAAAAUAUCAAAAUCUUCUUGAUCUUCAAAUGGAAUUAUAUCAGUAUUAAGAUAUUUAUCUAAAUCAGAUGUAUUAUUUGGAGAACUAUUUGUUGUCUUUUUUCGACUUUUCAACAUUUCUAGAGCUCCUUUAUAAAAAGAUGAGGAGUUUGUAGAUGUAGGUGGUAAUUUAUUAGUAUUAAUAUCAUUACCAUAUUUUUCUUUAUAAUAGUUAUAUAAAUUAUAUAAUAAUGAAUUUAUUUCAUUUUUAAUUUCUUCAAUUUUUAUUUGGUCAUUAAAAUAAAUAAUUGUUAACCAUUCAUCCAAAGCUUCAAAUUUCAAUCUAGGGUCCACAAUUAAAGCAAUAUAAAAAAUUAAAGGUAUUUCUCCCCAAUAUUUUCUAAAUUUUUCUAUCAUUGCAAAUAUUGUAUCAUUAAAUAUUUCAAAACUUAAAUAUUUUUGAAGUACAAUAAAAAUAUUAGUUAUUUGCAUAAUAACUCGAUUUGAAGUUGGAUAAUAUACACCACAAAAAAUGUUUGUUGAAGUAUCAAAAAUUUCAAAAAGAUCUCUUAAAAGAUCCGCAACAUGCCAAUCAUAAUCACUUAAUGUAUAAAUAUCUGCAUCAGAAUCAUUGUUAAGUAAUUGUAUUUCAUAUAAUUCGACUACUUUUCUAUAUUUUGUAAUAUUUUGUAAAAGUUUAUAUGUGGAAUUCCAUCUAAUGGCCAUAUCCAAAUUUAUAUUUUUUCUUUUCAUAUUUAACAUUUUGCAACAAUAAAAAAAUAAUUCAUGUUUUGCUUGAGAACUAUUAAUACUAUAUGCAAUGCCUCUAAUUUUUUCCAAUGUAUCAUCAACAUUUUUUAAUCCAUCCUUUACAAUUAAAUUUAAAAUAUGUGCACAACAACGCACAUGAAAUAUUUUAGCAUGAUCAUCUUUUACUUGCCAAUAUAGUUUUAGUCUAUUUAUUGUUGCAUCAUUAUUAGCAGCAUUAUCUAAUGUUACUGUCAAUAUUUUAUCACGAAGGCCUAAAUUUAUAAUUUCUUCAUUUAUUAAAGUUGCUAUAUUUUUACCACUAUGUGGAGCAUUUAUUAAUUUAAAUGAAAUUAUUCUUUUAUUUAAUUUCCAUUCAUUAUCAAUGUAAUGAGCAGUUAUACAUAAAAAACCAGUGUGAGUUAAAGAUGUCCAAAUAUCAGAUGUUAAACAAAUAUUUCCUUCAAAAUUUGCAAAAAAAAUUUUUAAAAUUUCUUUUUAUGUAUAAAAUUUUUUCAUAAUAUCUCUUUUAACUAUAUUUCCAGACCAACCUUUAAAUUGAGGAUUAAUACCUCGUUGAAUUGUUCCUACAAAAUCAUGAGUUUCCAUCAUGUUAAAAGGUUGUUCUGCUCUUAUUAUAUAAUCAAUCAUUUCUUCACGACAGUUAGAUUCAUCAUAAGAAAAUGUUUUUAAAUUUCCACUUUCAUUUUUACCUAAUUGCAUAUAAUUUCUAAUAUCUACAUUAUUUUUAGUUUUACAAUUUUCGUGAUGUCUUUUUAAAUGACUUGUGCCUGCAUUUGAGCCACCAGUAAGAAAUUUAUUACAAAUUUUACAUUUUGCUUUUAUUUCUUUUUUAUUAUUUUCUAAAAUUAUUUCUACUCUAUCAAAAAAAUUCCAUAUAUUUGAAGUAAAUUUUUUGUUUGAUGAUAUUUCAUCACAUGGACUAGAUGAAGAAGCACUUGUUAUCAUAUUAUAAUUAUUGAUAAAAUAUUAUGCCAAAAAUAAUAAAGUAAUAAAUAUAAAAAAAAAUGUAACAAAAAAAUAAAGUAGUAGGGGUGAAGUAUGUUACUCAAUUAGAGAACCGAUGCAGAAAUUCCUAGCAAAUUUGAACUCUUGGAGCCACCAAUGCUUGUUUUGCACCACCAACAAUAUUGUAUAAUUUGAGGGAAAAAUAAAAGAAUUUGAAAUAUUGUAGAAUGUGAGAGAAAUAGAGAGAGAAAUAGAGAGAAUUUGAUGAAAAAAUGAAAAGGGAGAAGAUGUAUUUAUAGGAAGGUUUUUUUUUUAAAAAAAAAAAAAAAAAAAAAAAAAAAAUUGGCCAUGUGACCGUUGCCCAACGGUCACAUGGCAGCUAGGAGCAUGGAUUGGAGCUCCAACGGUCACAUGACCGUUGGAGCCUUUAAUUUUUUUUAAAAAAAUAAUAUACUUUAUGUUAUAUAUAUAUAACUAACUCUAACAUUUAACACAAAAGUAAUGUGGCUCAGUUGGUUAGAGCCUUUACUUUGAACCAUGAGGGGAGGGGUUCGAAUCCCCCCCUCUCCAUUCAUUUCUAAAGCCAUUUUGGCUUAUUUAAAAAAGCCCAAGGCUUGGCCCGCCAGCCCGCCCCCAGCCCGGCCCGCUGGCCCGGCCCGCUGCCCGCCCCCAGCCCGCCCCGCCCAGCCCGUGGGCCGAAGAUUUUUCCCUGGCCCGGCCCGGCCCGCCCGUUGGAGACCCCUAGGUCGGGAGCAAUUUUUAUCGUCGACAUAGUUGUUAUUUGCAACGAAUAUGUUUCCUGCUAUAGUGAAUAAAGCCCCACUAUUUAGGCUAAUAAUAACUUGAUGGUAUUGCCAGUAUUUUGGGUAUUCACUUAGAAUUUUUAAAUAUACAAAUAAAGAAAAUCAAUGCAUCAGAAUAGUGCACUUUACCAGGCAUUGACAAAAUAAAUGAUCACAAGUUGUUCUUUUGUUUACAUAAUUAUGAUUAGGAUGACUUAUGCACCCCUAUCUUGGCAAGCUUUACAGGGCUAAGUACUGAACAUAAUCAGGACUGGACAACACUUUUUCAUGGAACGCACUUAUGUUCUUGAGCACCCUAGGACGCCAAAUUAUGAACAUAAGGAAGGUAAAUCUCUUGCCAUCACCCAUCACUAGUUUUCCACAUCAAUUCGCUCAUCUAUGUGCUCAUCAUUAGAAUCACCCAGACAAUUACUCUUACACAGGGAUUUCUAUUGUGGGACAGUUUUAGCAACUGAAACUCGAGCUUCCUUUCAAUACAAAAGUGUUGAAUCCAUAUUUAUCAUCAUCUUCAAGUUUUAUGGCACAGGCUGACAAGAGACUAAUGAAAGUAAAACAAAAGCUUUGACAAGAUAAUCAGAGCUCGGAGCGCAAGUUUGUAGACAUGGAAGCUCAUGUGCAGUGGAAAAGAUGAAAAUGGCUGGUGAAGAUCCAACAAUGCACUAAUUGAGGCUUGUGGGAUUGGAGAAGAUUGUCGCAUCUUCCUUUGAGCUUCUGCAUUUUGGAUUUCGUGGAGAUUAAGGGAUAGUUUCCUGGAAAAGGAGGUUGGAGAGAAAUACUUGAUGUUGUCAAACAAUAUUUACAAAUAAAAUCUAUUUUUGCAUUUUUCUACAAGAAUUUUACCUGGCAGUUGUGCAUAAUGGUUUGAUCCUCCCACUCCGAAGUGCGAACGAAUCUAAUGAAGUAUGUACAGUGAGAAAUCAGAGAGAAACUAAAUAUAAUUAAAAUACAUGAAAAGUUAAAAUAAUAUUCCAAAUAGAAAAUAGAAUAAUAUCUUGAGAGGCCGACUCAAACAAUCACAAUGCACAUUUGGGCUUGGCCAUAUUUAUAAUAUGAAAUUUUUUAAAUACAAUUAUGUAUAUAUAUAAAACGAAGAAAAAGAAGGAAUUACUUGUAAUGAGACGAAUCGGAUUGAAAAUAUGGAGUGAGUUUGUGCAUAAUGGUUUGAUCCUCCCACUCCAAUUCAUCCCACCAUUCUUGUUCUCCCUUGAUUUUCUCCAAUUUCUUGCUCACUCCAAUAUUGGAAUCAAAUGGCAGCUUCCUCAAACUUGGACAUUGAAACACACAGAUGUAUCUUAAAGAUGGAAAAGUUAGGGCACGUCCAUGUAUACUUCUUAGCUCUGGUAAACAAAACAAAGCGAGAGAUCUGAGUCUCGAGAAUACGCCCAAAUGAUCUACUGCAAUUUCUAAUAUUUCACUCCUUUCAUCAUCUAUCACUUUUUCCAUUGAUUCACAUGCUGAAACACUUAGAAAUUGAAGGCUUGGAGCAAAAAUAAGCCAUGUCAAAUUCAACAGUUCACCACAUCCAGAUAUGUAGACAUCACAAAGGUUGUUCAAGCAUUGGUGCCUUGGGAAUUUUGAGUAGACCACCACUUCCUUUUCAAAAUUGAUUUUCACAUCUUGCAAUUCAAAACAAUUUAUAAUACGGAGUGUCUCUAUAUAAAGGGAUAGUUGGACCAGUUUCACAUGCUCACAAGCUAAUUGUAGCCAUCUUAUGGAUCUUUGCAACUUGUGGGAGUUUAAUAAUGUUUGGAUGGAUGAUACAUUUGUAAGGUCGAUGGAUAUAUCAUCAAUGUGUUCCAACUGCUCUAACUCUUCUAAUAACCUUCUUUCAUAAUCUCCCAUAUAGUAUGAGUUUGCAGUGUCAUAACUACUAAACAAUUGCAAAGAGGAAAGACUCGAUACCAUUUGAGAUGGAAGUGGCUUAAGAAAAUACAUAUUUUUCAAUAUCAAGCACCUUAAUUUUUUCAAGUUCUUGAGCUCCAUAGGUAAGUAUUGAAUACUUGUCCUCGACAAAUUAAGAUAUUGCAAGGUAACUAAGUCUCCAAUCUCCUCAGGUAACUCCUUAAGUUCAAAAUUGUUUGACAAGUCCAAAACUCUUAUGAUAGGCAUGUUUGUAAAGAAUCUAUUUGGAAAGAAUCUAUUUGGAAAGAAUCGAAUAAACUUACAUGAUGCCAAAAAGGUCUCCAUAUUAGGGAAAUAUGGUGGUUCCCUGAGUUCUUCAAUGUUGGAAUCCCACAAUGAUAUCCUUUGUGUCUUUUUCCAUUUUUCAACUUCCUGAGCUCUAAUCGAUUCAACUCCAUCUUUUACCACAAAUUUGUUCUUCUUCUUCCCGUUUUCGCCAGCCAACCACAAAGCCAUAUCACGAAUAACAUCAUGCAUCUUCAAAUAUUCGUCUUUUUCACCUUCUUCAUUUACGGGAGAUAUGACAUUUUCCAAUAAACAUGCAAGCUGUAAACUUUUAAUAACUUCUUCUCCUUGAUUUCUUGCUUCUUGUAUGUUGUCAUAUUCAUCCAGAAAACCCUCCCCGAUCCAAAGUUGUAUAAGUUUUCGAUGAGAGAUUUCAUAAUCCUCCGGAAAUAAAGAGCAAUAUAGGAAACACGAUUUGAUGGCUUCAUCGGGCAGGCUAUCAUAACUGAUUGCUAAUACUCGAAACAAAUCCUCCUCUGUACCUGGAAACUUUGCUGGAUAAUUCUUCAACAUUUGUAUUUUUUUCUCCCAUUCCUCGGGUGUUUUUGCUCCCGCCAUUGCUCGCCCUGUGGUGAUGAGGGCAAGUGGUAAGCCGUCACACUCUUUGGCAACCAUCUCCGCCAGCUUUGGUAUAUCUGGAUGAGAACUUAUAGUGUCUGCUCCUACCUUGGUCUGAAACAGAGCAAAAGCAUCCUCCCAUGGGAGGCAAUUCACUUCAAUGCUCUUGGUAGCUUCCAUCUUUUGGCAUACUUGUUUAGAUCGCGUUGUAAAUACCAUCUUCAACUUAUCUUGAUGAUUCAGAGGAGGAAUACCAACUUUGGAUAGAUCCAGCCGCUCCCAUAUGUCAUCUAACAAGAGCACAAAUUUCUUUGUCUUCAGGACAUUGAAUAUUUCUUCUGCCCUUUCAUCCUCACUCCUACCUUCCCAUUUAUCUUUGGGAAUCUCCAAUUUAUUGAAAAGAACUUGCUGAACCUUUUCCACAUUGGCUGGUCUGGACACAGUCACCCAAAUCACUGCAUCAAAUUCAACCCUGGUUUUGUGGAGCUCAUUGUUGGUCCUGGUCAAGAGGGUGGUUUUGCCCACACCCCCCAUUCCAUAUAAUCCGAUACUGCUUACCUUCUCUCCAUCAUCUUGGAGCCAUUUCCAGACCUUCCCAAACAACAAAUCUUGGCCCACAGUCUUGUCCAGCUGCCUCUCGAUCACGGGAGGAAUAGGCAAAGGUUCAGCAACUACACUGAAAUUUGAGCCCUCCCUCUUCUUUACCGUCACAGCAUCCAUCUUUUCAAGUACCAUCUUGCCAAGCUUAUAGCUAGCGCCACAGUUUUUAGGACAACAGGUUCCGAGACAUUUCUUCUGGAUUUCUUCAUCACCUUUUGCCAAUAUUUCCUGCACUUCUUUUUCCAUGGCUUCUACUCCGCGGAGCCAGCCAUCAACUACACGAAGACGCUUCUUCUGACGUUUCUCUUCACGUUCCACCCUUUCCUUCACAUCUUCGUACAGGUUCUUGAGUUCCUCCAUUUCAG
RNAcentral lists this long non-coding RNA (92379 nucleotides) under Vitis vinifera (wine grape). RNAcentral describes it as "long non-coding RNA (VVIN_LNC006748)". The record is from RNAcentral. Lineage: Eukaryota; Viridiplantae; Streptophyta; Magnoliopsida; Vitales; Vitaceae.